This 94672-nucleotide long non-coding RNA is filed under the name Solanum tuberosum (potato). Its description in RNAcentral is "long non-coding RNA (STUB_LNC009738)". The record is from RNAcentral. Lineage: Eukaryota; Viridiplantae; Streptophyta; Magnoliopsida; Solanales; Solanaceae.
UUGUCUGAACUGUUUGGGUAUAUGGUCGAAAGACUGGGCUACUGGAGACCUGUAAGAAUAGCCUCGAACACCGGCGUUCGGUCUGCUGCGACUAUGAAGAAGAGAAGCUGAAAAGAAGAAAUUGGGGCUGGGAAGGAAAGUUGAUUUAUGGAGUACAAUACGAGAGCCAAGUUCGCGAUUAUUAGCAGGAGUCGGGCAAGAAAGUGGAGAGAGAAGCAAGGAAGAAGCCAUGGAUGGACACACUUGUGGUGUUUACUUCCUGAUGAGGAGGAGGAACAAGUGUAAAGUGUGGCUGGGAAUUGAACUGCAUCACUUCACGUUAAUGGGUCGGAUUGGAGGACGUGAAACCCAAUUCACCUGCUGUUGUGGUGUCCAAUUUUAUUAAGUAUAUUUAUGUGAAUAGUUUGUUGGAAAUUCAUCUAAUAUUUAUGUAGUUCAAAUUUUUAGUCGUCUAAUUAAUCUUUUUUCUAUUUUUUUGUGAUUUCGUUUUAAUAUUUCAAAUUUAUUUGAAUCUAUAAAUUCAUUCAUAUGUUUAUUUUGUUUGAUUUUUAAUACAUUUAUAUUUGAUAAUUUUGAAAUUUGAUUUUAGGGUUUUAGAUUGGGGGAAAACAUCUGUCAUUCUACAAUGUCUGAAUCAAUCAGAAUUACUAGAGUUAUACCAAAAUCACAUAUUGUUACUAUUUACAUUAAACAUAAUGGGAUACAAAAAAAUUGUAUGCAUUCAAAUAAAAAGAAAACAGCUACGAAACUUAAAAGAAUCAAGCACUUUUCAAUAGUUCUUGCAUCAUAGAUGGGAUACAAAAAAGCUAAAAAUAUCAAACCAUACAAAGAUUUCACCGAUUCAAAAUAAUCAACAAAACAAAAUACCUGAUAUACGAAUAUAUUAUCCAAACAAAUAAAAUAAUCAACAAAAAUAAAAAUACAUGAUGUCGAAAUUUCUUGAAUUCAAUGGAACUGACGAAAUUAUAGUCGUGAAUUUUGAAAACAUCUGUUUCAAGAAUAUACUGAAUUCAAUUCAAGAAGCUAUGAAGAUUAUCAAUUGAAUGAUUCGAAAGACAACUUAUUUUUUGCAAUUUUUUUUUUUUGGAAUUCUUAAGAACAGAGGGCAAAAAAAAUGCUCGAAAGAAAAAAUGGCAACAUCCUCUUUCAAAACAUAACUGAUUUAUAUUUAAAAUCGUUUUUUCCUUUUUUGAAAUUUUAUGUUCCAUGAUUUUCUCUAUUCUGUUAUUAAUUAUUUGUAUUCUUUCAAAUUAAUCAAAAUAAAAUAAAUACAUAACUCAUCUUUUAACAAACUAAAAUAUUGUCAUUUUUAAUAAAAUAGUGAAACUAUUGCUAAGGAGUCCCACUAAAGGCUAAAGUAUUGUUGUUUUAAAAAUUUUGAAAAAAUUAGCUAUCUAGUCAUAAUACUUAACAUAAUUAGUCAAAACAACAACACUUUAAAAUAUUUAUUUAAAAUGUCAAAAUGUCAAUAUAUUCAAAAAUAAUUUGUAUCCACGUUUUAUUAUUUAUAUUUCAUUUUAUUUAUCAAAAGAGUCCAUCAUUGGACCAAACUCUAACCAAUAACCUACUAAAAAUAAAAAACAAAUACAAAACUACCCAUUAAUAUUCUUUCCACAUCUUACACAUUUUUCACCUUUCACGUUUCUCAGUUAAAGAAUUUAUUUUUCCCACCUUUCACGUUCCGAGUUUCUCUUUCUUCACGUUUUUCUGCUCACUUAGAAACACAAGUUAUUCAAAGUUCUGAUAAAUUAUUCAACAAAAUCUCUGUAUAAAUUCAAGGAAUUUCUCGAUUGGUAAACAAAAUCUCUAUAUUAAUUAAAGAAAUUUCUUGAUUGGUAAAGGUAAUUUCGUUUAUUUAUGCAGAAUUCUUUUGAUUUGUUUACAAAAUCACCUAUUAUCGUGUAUAUUUUGGAUGGUAUAUAUUACGGAUUUUCCGUCAAUUUUCUCAAUUUUUAUGCGGUUUAGAUAUUCAUCUAAUAUCUAUGUGGUUCAGAUUUUUAGUCGUCUAAACAAACUUUUUUUAUUUUUUUUGUGAUUUCGUUUUAAUAUUUCAGAUUUAUUAGAAUCUACAAAUUCAUUCAUAUGUUUAUUUUGUUUGAUUUUUAAUACAUUUAUAUUUGAUAAUUUCGAAAUUUGAUUUUACGAUUUUAGAUUUGGGAAAAGCAUCUGUCAUUCUACAAUGUUUAAUCAAUUAGAAUUACUAGAGGUAUACCAAAAUCUCAUAUUGUUACUAUUUACAUUAAAUAUAAUAGGAUACCAAAAAAUUGUAUGCAUUCAAAUAAAAAGAAAACAACUACGAAACUAAAAAAAAAUCAAGCACUUUUCAAUUGUUCUGCAUCAUAGAUUGGAUACAAAACAUCCAAAAAAAGCUAAAAAUAUCAAAUCAUACAAAGAUUUCACCGAUUCAAAAUAAUCAACAAAAACAAAAAUACCUGAUAUACGAAUAUAUUAUCCAAACAAAUAAAAUAAUCAACAAAAAUAAAAAUACUUGAUGUCGAAAUUUAUUGAAUUCAAUGAAACAAACGAAAUUAUAGUCGUGAAUUUUGAAAACAUCUAUUUCAAGAAUAUGCCGAAUUCAACUCGAAGAAGCUAUGAAGAUAAUCAAUUGAAUGAUUUGGAAGACAAAACUAUUUUUUGCAAUUUUUUUUGGAAUUCUUAAGAACAGAGGAAAAAAAACGCUCGAUAGAAAAAAUGGCAACAUCCUCUUUCAAAACGUAACUGAUUUAUAUUUAAAAUCGUUUUUUCCUUUUUUGAAAUUUUAUGUUCCAUGAUUUUCUCUAUUCCGUUAUUAAUUAUUUGUAUUCUUUCAAAUUAAUCAAAAUAAAAUAAAUACAUAACUCAUCUUUUAACAAACUAAAAUAUUGUCAUUUUUAAUAAAUAGUGAAACUAUUGCUAAGGAGUCCCACUAAAGGCUAAAAUAUUGUUGUUUUGAAAAUUUUCCUAAUUAUUUUUUGGAAAUUUUUUCAAAACAGCAAUAUUUUGGUAUCUAAUAGGAUUCCUUGUCAACACUUUUAAUAUUUAUUUAAAAUGUCAAUAUUGUUAUUUGUUAUAAGGCUGACUUUUGUAUUAUUUAAUUUAUUUAAUUUGAAAGAAUACAUUUUUUUAACAACAGAAUGGAGAAAAUAAUGGAAGAAUAUAUUUUUAAAAAGGUAAAAAUGAUAAAAUAUCUAAUCAAUUACUAUUGGAGUCCUACAAUGUGCCAUUUCUCUCUUCUUCAUUCAAACCCUUUCACCAUUGUCCUAAAAAUAUUAAAUAUCCAUUUUUGAAUAAUUCCAUUGAAAUUGAAGUGGAGUUUUCAUUGAUUUGUGUCAGUUUUAUUUAGAUAACAAACUAUUGAAUUAAUCGAUUGAUAUUUCAAACGUAAUUCCAUCAAUUUCCUUUAAAGUUCAAGAUUACUAGUGAAAAUAAAAAAGUUGUCAGGUAUUGUUUAAGUUUCAAUUUUUUUUUAUGAAAGUAAUUGGAUCAGUGUAUAUUUGACAUUUUGUAUCUUAGUUUGAUUUUAAUACAAAAUUAGUAUGAAUACGAAAUUUUAAUAUAAAGAUACUUUUGUGGACGAAAUGAACUUGUGUUUGACUGUUUAUUUUUAGAUUUUUAAACUGGUUUGUUCUACACUGAACGUGUGGAGCUUUUUUAGGUGGAUAUUUUUUGUAACAUAAAAAUUAUUUGCCUGCAUAUAUUGAAAUAAUGAAAAUAUAAAUUUAUUAUUCAUUGAUAAAUAAAUGCAUUUUGAAAAACAAUAUAGUAUGUGUCACGACCCGAGCCUACACCCUGGACGUGGCCGGAACUCAAAGACCAUUGUUGGUCCCUAAGCGAACCCUCAUCCUGGCUGACUACAAGCGGAAGACUAACUCAAGCAUGCAAAAGCUUAAAAAUUGAAUAAAAUUCAAGAAACUGAAAUACAAAACUUUAACUCAAAUGAAAAACUCUGAAUAAAUAUAAUAUAUUCAAAUUGCCACAAAAUAGGCAACUUAAGUCUUUAUAACAUUUAACUAAAUAAAUGAACAGACUUCCGAAACUCUACUGUCUAUCUAUGAAGCCUCUAAAUGACAAAGAUAGAAGUCNNNNNNNNNNNNNNNNNNNNNNNNNNNNNNNNNNNNNNNNNNNNNNNNNNNNNNNNNNNNNNNNNNNNNNNNNNNNNNNNNNNNNNNNNNNNNNNNNNNNNNNNNNNNNNNNNNNNNNNNNNNNNNNNNNNNNNNNNNNNNNNNNNNNNNNNNNNNNNNNNNNNNNNNNNNNNNNNNNNNNNNNNNNNNNNNNNNNNNNNNNNNNNNNNNNNNNNNNNNNNNNNNNNNNNNNNNNNNNNNNNNNNNNNNNNNNNNNNNNNNNNNNNNNNNNNNNNNNNNNNNNNNNNNNNNNNNNNNNNNNNNNNNNNNNNNNNNNNNNNNNNNNNNNNNNNNNNNNNNNNNNNNNNNNNNNNNNNNNNNNNNNNNNNNNNNNNNNNNNNNNNNNNNNNNNNNNNNNNNNNNNNNNNNNNNNNNNNNNNNNNNNNNNNNNNNNNNNNNNNNNNNNNNNNNNNNNNNNNNNNNNNNNNNNNNNNNNNNNNNNNNNNNNNNNNNNNNNNNNNNNNNNNNNNNNNNNNNNNNNNNNNNNNNNNNNNNNNNNNNNNNNNNNNNNNNNNNNNNNNNNNNNNNNNNNNNNNNNNNNNNNNNNNNNNNNNNNNNNNNNNNNNNNNNNNNNNNNNNNNNNNNNNNNNNNNNNNNNNNNNNNNNNNNNNNNNNNNNNNNNNNNNNNNNNNNNNNNNNNNNNNNNNNNNNNNNNNNNNNNNNNNNNNNNNNNNNNNNNNNNNNNNNNNNNNNNNNNNNNNNNNNNNNNNNNNNNNNNNNNNNNNNNNNNNNNNNNNNNNNNNNNNNNNNNNNNNNNNNNNNNNNNNNNNNNNNNNNNNNNNNNNNNNNNNNNNNNNNNNNNNNNNNNNNNNNNNNNNNNNNNNNNNNNNNNNNNNNNNNNNNNNNNNNNNNNNNNNNNNNNNNNNNNNNNNNNNNNNNNNNNNNNNNNNNNNNNNNNNNNNNNNNNNNNNNNNNNNNNNNNNNNNNNNNNNNNNNNNNNNNNNNNNNNNNNNNNNNNNNNNNNNNNNNNNNNNNNNNNNNNNNNNNNNNNNNNNNNNNNNNNNNNNNNNNNNNNNNNNNNNNNNNNNNNNNNNNNNNNNNNNNNNNNNNNNNNNNNNNNNNNNNNNNNNNNNNNNNNNNNNNNNNNNNNNNNNNNNNNNNNNNNNNNNNNNNNNNNNNNNNNNNNNNNNNNNNNNNNNNNNNNNNNNNNNNNNNNNNNNNNNNNNNNNNNNNNNNNNNNNNNNNNNNNNNNNNNNNNNNNNNNNNNNNNNNNNNNNNNNNNNNNNNNNNNNNNNNNNNNNNNNNNNNNNNNNNNNNNNNNNNNNNNNNNNNNNNNNNNNNNNNNNNNNNNNNNNNNNNNNNNNNNNNNNNNNNNNNNNNNNNNNNNNNNNNNNNUAGAACUUGAAGAUACUACUCCUCUCAAAGGUACUCAACUGAUAAAGUUCAUACGGAAGUUAUGGGCAUGAACGACUCGACUCAAGGGUCAAAAUAUCAAUAAGGAACUCAUGUAUACGACUCUUCUCAUUCUCAUACUUACUUCCUCAAAACUUAGUUCAGAUCAAUAGUUGAUCUCAAAGGAUUCACAAUUGAACUCAAAGCUUUGCUAAAACUUUACUCUUAACUCUCUCUUAAAUGCGAAUUAUGAAUUCAAGAGUUCUGGUUCAUGGUAUGAAGGAUCUCGUGAUGAAAAAAAUAGACUCAAGAAUACGUUCUCCUUAUUCUCAUACUCACUUGCUCGAGUCUUGAAACAUGUUACUAGAAGUUGUAGAAGACUCCACAAAAUGACUCAAAGGGACUUCCUUAGAAUGUUUGAAAGAAUUCUCAAAACUUAACUCUUAACUCUACCUUGAAUUUGAAUUAUGAAUUCAAGGUUGUGAUCAUGUUAGGAAUGAUUUAGGUGUUUAGAAGUAGCUUAGAGUAUUUAGAAUCCAAAGGGAGUGAAGGUGCACUUUAAACGAACUCAAACGGGGCAACCGACGACAAACUGGAUGGGGCAGGCGACCCUGGCGCUAUGGCUAGCGCGGGGCGCCAGCCCCUAAACUUCAGAGGAGGGUUUGGGGCGCUCUGGCUGGCGCAUCGCGCUAGGCCCCAACCCAGAAAAUCUGACGAAAAUCUUUGCUCAUUUUCUCACCCUAAUUCGCCUAGAAUCGAACGGUUUCUUCCCCAAUCACUUGGAUUCGAUUACUUAACAUAAGUACACUCUAAUAUACUCAAAACAACACUCAAAUUACUAAAUUUCAUAUCAAGAAAUCAUUAAAACCCCAAUACAACAAGAUUUAGAAUGAACUUCAAGAACACCUAUCAAGAACUCUAAUCUUUCAACUUCAACAAUGAAAUUUCGCUGAAAAUAACAUGAUUGGCGUGUGGGUGAACUAACCCAACACUAUGGAAGCUUACAUACCUCUUACCGCAAGAGAACUCAAGAACUUCGAAGAACGCCUUCAUCCUUUCCUCUUUUCUCUUCUUUUCUCUUNNNNNNNNNNNNNNNNNNNNNNNNNNNNNNNNNNNNNNNNNNNNNNNNNNNNNNNNNNNNNNNNNNNNNNNNNNNNNNNNNNNNNNNNNNNNNNNNNNNNNNNNNNNNNNNNNNNNNNNNNNNNNNNNNNNNNNNNNNNNNNNNNNNNNNNNNNNNNNNNNNNNNNNNNNNNNNNNNNNNNNNNNNNNNNNNNNNNNNNNNNNNNNNNNNNNNNNNNNNNNNNNNNNNNNNNNNNNNNNNNNNNNNNNNNNNNNNNNNNNNNNNNNNNNNNNNNNNNNNNNNNNNNNNNNNNNNNNNNNNNNNNNNNNNNNNNNNNNNNNNNNNNNNNNNNNNNNNNNNNNNNNNNNNNNNNNNNNNNNNNNNNNNNNNNNNNNNNNNNNNNNNNNNNNNNNNNNNNNNNNNNNNNNNNNNNNNNNUUUGAAGUCGACUAAAACUCUUACUUAAGCAUAACUUGCAAAAUUUCAGAUUUUGCUAUUUCCAAUUUAGUUCUUUUUCGAACUCAAGGUGCUACAUCUAGUGAACUUAACACUUAAGAAAUUUUAAUUCCUCGGUAUAAUCCUACUCACAACGAAAGAUGGUUCAAGUCUUAGCUCAAAAAUUUUCUGGGGUGUUAUAAUAUCUCCCCCUUGGGAUCAUUCGUCCUCGAAUGACGACUGGACUGGGUAUGAAAUGGUUUACUCUUACUAAGGUUUGAGUCUAAGGUAUUCUCUUACUAUAUUCAAGCUUAACCCAAAUCCUUAUGUUCGGAUUAUAUACCUCUCUAUAGGAAAUCUCAUCCCAAACUAUUACUCUUUACCACCACAUUGGGCUCAUAUCAAGAACCACCAAAUAUUUAACAACACCACAUUCAAGCUUAGUAUUCUAACAACUCCAUGGACUCCUACUAAACAACUCCUUAAGAAAUUAUCAACACUUGACUUGAUUUCUCCUCUUAUCAAAUCCUUAAUUUUCUGGGGUGUUACAAUAUGUGACAUACUAAUAGACACAAAAAGAAUACAAUUUAAGAACAUACUAAUAAACAAAACAAGACUACGAUAUGAAAAAAGACAAAAAGAAUACAAUCUAAGAACAUACUAAUGCACAAACACAAGAAUACAAUCUGGAAAAGGACAAAAAGAAUACAAUUUAAUAACAUACUAAUACACAAAACAUGAAUACAAUCUGGAAAAAUAUACAAUUUAAUAACAUACUAAUACACAAAACAAGAAUACAAGCUAAGAACAUACUAAUACAUAAAACAAUAAUACAAUCUCAAGAAGGACAAAAUGAAUACAAUCUAAAAACAUACUAAUACACAAAACAAUAAUACAAUCUGGAAAAAGAUAUAUAAACAUGACACAUAUAUUAAACAACUACAUAAUGGAGCUAAUAUAAUUCUUCUUUUGGAUACUACUAAUUUGGGAUACAUAAUGGAUCUAGUAGAAUACAAUUUUCUUCAACACUAAUCCAGGAUAUAUAAUGUAGAUAAAAACACAAAUACUUUAUGUAUUUACCUGUAUAAUCGGGAUAAAAUAUUUCAAAAGAUUGUAUUCAGAAAAGAAAAAAAAAACAAAAUCUCAAAAGAUACUUGAUGAGAUUGUAUUUACCUAUAUAAUCGGGCUAAAAUCUUUCAAGAAUAUACCGAAUGUCUCAUGAAAUUGCUUUAAAAGUGGAUUAAUUUGUAAGAAAUUUUGUAGGAGAUAACAAUGGUGGAAACGGAAGAGAGAGAAUGGAGAGAUUUGGGGGUAAAAACAUAGAGAGAGGAAAUAGGGUUGUGGGGUCUCUUUUUUUUACUUUUAAUCGGGUAGUGGAGUCAUAAAUGUGGACCUGAUUUUGGGGUUUUUUUUUUGGGAAAAUAAUUAUAUUAGGAUAGUAAAAUAAUCAUAAUUAUAUUAUGAUACAUUAUAUUUGCUAAAAUAAUGACAUAAUGACAUUUUUAAUAAUUAUUUUAAAGUGUGGAUGUUUUUAUUAAUUAUGUUAGGAAUUUUGACUAUUUGAUAAUUUUCCCUUAUUUUUUUCCUUAUUUUUCUACUUCUAUCUACUAUAUUGAAAAGCCAUGAAUGAGACGACCAAGAGCACUUCUGAAAAUAUGACUUUUAUUAAGGGCAAAAUAGUAAAUUUUGAAGUGAUCAUUUCAGAAAAAUCAGAUUGUUUCUUCUUCUCUGGAGAAAGAUCAAAUACAAGUACAAAAAUAUCUUUCUCUGGAAAUUUCUACUCACGCUUUAAAUAAACAUUAGGUUCCACCAGCUCUCAAAAACUUUAGUUCAUCUUGUGGCUUGUCAAAUUGUUGGUUCUAACUUUGUCUAUUCUUCGAUUUGUUUCAAUUUUAGGUAAGCAAUUCGUAAUUUGUUUUUAAUUGUUCUCUUGAAUUUGUUUGAUCUCCAUAAAAAAAACUUCUAUCUUUAGUUUGUUUGCUAAUUCAUGUAGAUGUUGUUCUUCUAUUGCCUAUUAAAAAAAGAAAAGAAAAAUGUUUGGAGUGUUGUAGUAUUAUUGGUAAUAGUAGGACUUGAACAGGUUUUAGGUAGGGGCGGACCCACGUGUACCCUCACGUGCAUCCGGUAACUUUUUAAAAAAAUCGUAUAUAUAUGUAUAGACAGUUGAUAAAAGUAAAUAUAUUUAAUUGUGCAUCCUAACGACCAAAAGUUAUUAUGGGUGCACUGGUCGAACGCGCCAACUCACUGCACGAUCGCGUGAGAUCGAUUCCCGGCGAAGGCAACAUUUUUUUAACUUUAAAUUCAGCAUUUUCUCUUUAAAAAAACUUUUAAAAAAUUGCUUUUAUUAAAAUUCGUUUUUGCCACCUCAUCUGGCCCCACCCUAUUUCUUAACCACCCUUUUUUUUGUCAUCCGGUCUCAUUCCUUUCUUAAUUGAAUUUAAAAACAAAUAAAGCCCUAACACAAUUCUAAACAAAAUAUAAGACUAAUUUUCCCUAGCACAAGUCUAAACAAAAUAUAUGACUGCUAGAAAAUCUACAACUUACAAGUAUUCUUCACUGCAUAAUUGAAGUCCUACUCCUAUUAUCUCUGCGUUAAUUGGUAAGUUCUUCUUUAUAAGCAUAUUUUUUUUGCAAUAAUUUGUUGUUGAUUCUUGUGAUUUGAGAUGGAUAGAUUUUUGACGAAAAAUAAUUCUUCUCAACCAAGUGCUAGUUUUAGAGAAAAGUCUUCACGUUUUAUAGAUGAGUUUGAUUUGCAGUCACUUAAAUUGGAUCCUGGAGAAAGAAUAUCCAUUGAUAAAUAUAGCCCUAGAAUACGAGAUGAAGUGAGAAGACACUAUAUUCAACAAGGGCCUUGUCAACCAGGUAUUAAUGAUAAUGAAUAUCCUCAAACUACAUUCGAAACGAAAAUGCGUCGAUUUUGUAAGACAUGGUUUAAGGGUUCAUAUUUUAGAUGGUUGGAGUAUAUUAUGAAGAAAGAUGUUGUGUUUUGCUUAUGUUGCUAUUUAUUUAAAAAUGACCAUGUAAAGGGAAAUGUAGGUGAUUAUUUUACGAAAACUGGUUUUAAGACUUGGAAUCAUAGUUUUGAACGAUUCAAUUUACAUGUUGGUGAAGUAAAUAGUGUCCACAAUAGGUGUUUCAACAAGAUGCUAGAUUUUUAGAAUCAAUCUCAAUCCAUUCAAGUUGCUUUUAACAAGCAAUUUGAGAAAACAAGAAGUGAGCAUCGAAUUCGUUUAGAGGCUUCUACUAAUAUGGCAAGGUUCCUCUUGGAAUUUGGAUUGUCUUUUCGAGGUGUCAUGAUGAAAGUGAUUCUUCAAAAAAUAAAGGUAUUUUUUUAGGUCUUUUGGAUUGGCUUAGAAAAAUUCUUCCGGAUAUGAUUAAUGUUAUUUUAAAACAUGCUCCAAAAAAUGCUAUGAUGACUUCUCCAAAAAUUCAAAAGGAUAUUGUGAAUUCUUGUGCACAAGAAAUCGCGAAAGCUAUAAUUGAUGACUUGGAUGGAGAUUUUUUUGAAAUAUUAGUUGAUGAAUCUAAAGGCAUAUCACACAAUGAACAAAUGGCCCUUGCUUUGAGGUAUGUUAAUAAAAAAAGGCAAAGUGAAUAAGCGAGUAUUACUAUUGUCCGUGUUGGUGACACAUCUGCACAAUCAUUGAAGGAAACAAUAUGUUCUUUGCUUUUGAGACACUCUUUGAGUACAUCUAAAAUACGUGGACAAGGUUAUGAUGGGGCUAGCAACAUGCAGGGAAAAAUGAAUGGUCUUAAAGCUUUGAUUUUGCAGGAAACUCCAUCUGUAUAUUGCAUUCAUUGUUUUACUCACCAAUUACAAUUGACACUUGUAGCUGUUGCCAAUUUUUUUUACUUAUGGACAACUUCUUUGCUAUUAUUGCUAACGUGUUGAAUGUGGUUGGAUCAUCAUCUAAGCAUAGAGAUCAACUUCGGGACCAUCAAGUAGAGAGAUUGGAACAACUACUAGAAAGCGGUGAGGUUCAAAGUGGAAAAGGUGUGAAUCAAGAACGAGGGAUUCAAAGACCAGGUGACACUCGUUGGGGAUAUCAUUUUAAAACAUUGGAUAACUUUGUUAUUUUAUUUUCAUCUAUAGUUCAUGUGCUUGAUGCAAUUAAAUGUGGAAGUUCCAGCCCCAAUGAUAUAUUGCAAGCAUGAGCUUUCUUGAAUAUGAUCAAUGAAUUUGAAUUUGUUUUCUUGCUUCAUUUGAUGUUAAAAAUAUUGGUGAUGUCAAAUGAGUUGAGUGCAGCAUUGCAGAGAAAGGAGCAAGAUAUUGUUAAUGCCAUGAUAUUUCUUGACAUUACUAAAAAUAGACUGCAAUUGUUGAGAGCUGACGGGUGGGAAUCUUUGAUGAAUGAAGUUUCUUUAUUGUGUGAUAAACAUGAAAUUUUGGUACCUAAAAUGGAUGAAUUUAUAUUCCUAGAAAGUCAAAGCGUAAGUCUUGUAGUGUUAUUUAUACACAUCACUUACGUGUUGAGAUCUUUUAUGUUAUUAUUGACUUACAACUGCAAGAGCUUAAUAGUCGAUUUGAUGUUGUGAGUGGUAACUUGCUUCUUGGUAUGACAAGCUUGAAUCCGGUCAAUGCUUUUGCUAAUUUUGAUAAGGAAAAAUAAUGAUAUUGGCCAAACAUUAUCCAGAUGAGUUUGGCGAACCAAAGCUUUGAAAUCUAAGUCACCAACUUGAUACUUUCAUAAUACAUAUGCGACGUGGUGAUCCUAGAUUUUCUGAUUUGAAAGAAAUUGGUGAUUUGGCAGAAGCACUGGUUAAUGAAAAUCUCAUAGAGACUUAUUCUCGUGUGUACUCACUUGUGAAGUUGACCUUGAUUUUAUUUGUCGCUACUGCAACGGUAGAGAGAGUAUUCACAUCCAUGAAGUAUAUCAAGAACGAACUGCGUAGUAGUAUUAGCGAUGAAUUUUUUAAAUGAUUGUUUAGUUUGUUACAUCGAGAAGGAUAUUUUUGUAAAUAUAAGUAACAAUCGUUUUCAGAAUAUGAAAAUGCGUCGGUGUCAAAUAUGAACGGAUGAUCUUCUUUUUUUAAAAUUGAAAUUGGGCAUUAGUGCCCUUUAUUGACUUAAAAACGAUACAAGGCCUCAUAAAGACAGCUCAACAGUUCCCAAUCUGCCAAGACAAGAAAAUGAAAAUACAAAAUCAAAAUAAGAAAGCAUCCUAAAAUCCCAACUCCAACUUCAAGCUCCAGCUUUCUGCUAUAGUGAUUGUCAAAAUCGAAUCUGCUGGUGAGUGUCCUCGAGUCGUCAAAGGCUGCAACAAGUUGUGGUCGGGAUGUUUCCACACGAGGCACUAUAAUCAUCUCACGAAUGACAUGGAAGCAUAUCCCAUUGAAUUCACUUCACCUCAGCUCGAACAAACCAAGUAAGAUUCGAUUCCCUACAUGUCUCGUUGCAUCAUGCUUUUCAUCCGAUCUUUAAGCUCCAUUACCAAGAUUUUUACCCUUUCCUGCAGAUUGAGCCAGAGAUCUAGCUAAUACCACUGCAAAGUCCAGGUAUUUCUCGUUAAUGUUGCUAAAAAUCAUUCAUUUAUUACUCCAAAAUAUUAGUUGAGCCGCUUUGUAAUGAUGCUCUAGUGAUAUAAAUAAGUUGAACGGAUAAUCUAUUUUUGUUAUAUUAGUACUAAAUUAUUGGCAUUUGAUCAACUUAUACUUUGGCCAUAAUAUUUCGCAUUUAAUUGUAUGUCAAUUUUGUAGUGAAUAAAAAGUUAGACAUUUGUUUGCAAUACAUCACGUUGGACGUUGAUGUAAACUUUAUUUAUUAAUAUGAAUAUUUGAGUUUUUUAUUCAAAUUUCUAUAAUAUUCUUGAUAAAAAGUAGAUUGUUCUUCUUUUAUUUUUUUAUUUUUUAAAUUAUAAUGUUCAAUAUUGGUUUAAGUGAAAUAAAAUAAUAAAUUCACUAUUGAAAUUUAUUGGGGCCCCAAACUUUUGGAGGCCUAAGUAGGCUUUGCUAACGUUAUCCUUGUGCCACUCCUAGCCUUACCCUUAAGUCACUCUUAGUAGUGCCCCCCUAUCUUCAAAUCCUGGGUUCGCCUCUGAUUCUAGGAAAGAGGUGGCUAAAGUUUUUUAGGUUCCCUUUAGAUUUCGACAUGUUCAAAUGACCGAUUACGAUCAUUCCAUGGAUUAACAAAAAAGAACUGAAUUUAUGGAUCUAAGAGACUCAAGAGUCAAAUAGAAAGCCUUGAGAAUUAGAAUCUUCUCAUUUAUUUGAUCCAUGCACUGAUAUUUAUGUGUCACAUCACUUAUUUAGAAUUGAAAUAUAGUGAUUAUAUAUUUAAAUAGCUCUUCCCGCUGCAUUUUUUUUAGACUUGCAUAAGUUGUUGUUUUCAGAUUGCGUUGUUGCGCGAGAGAACUUCAAUAAGGAUGCUUGAAAGUAUAUGAAAUUGAUUCUAUUUCUUAACUUCUAUGUUGAAAACUAGCUCAAACAUGUAUAUUGCAUCCUUCCAUUAUAUAGUUCUUCCUUUUGUUUUGUACAAAUGAAAAUUGCUAUCAUUCCUGACUUGUUUGUUUCUUGAAUCACAUGAAUAGCACUUACUUCACUUCAAUAUCUUGUUCAUGAAAUUUACGAGUCCCAUCGAUCAUUCCUUCCAAAACACUUGAAGGAACUCCAUGAUUUAUCAAUUGGAAAAAACCUCAUUUUUCAGAUGUUUUCCUUAUUUCUUCAGCAAUCUUCUUACAUGAUCUUCAACUUCUAUGCUACUGAGAUCCACCACCGGAACAUGUAGCAUUGAUUUACAUAUAUAACUCCUCAACACUUAUAUGUUGCGGGUAUUCUUGCUAAAUGAGUUACAAGGAUACAAUAGGUUAUAAUUUUUUGCCGUUAUUAAUCUACCCAAGUAUGAUUUGGUUUAUAUUCUCUUGAUAUAAUUCAAAUGCCUAUUUGGGGCAUAAAACUAUCAAAAACACUCUGUAAGUAGGUGAUCUAUUUGUAAAAGUUGCUGCCUAUUCUUGCCAAGGCUGUUAAUUUUUUUUCUUGCUCUGUACAUCUCUUUUCUGGUUUAAAAGUUUUAUAGUGAGUACUCUGCUUCGGAAUGCUUAGCAGAUUUGUGGAGUAAAUUUACAUGUGAUUUGCGUAAUUUCGUUUAUAGAUUUAAGAAUAUGUUUUUUGUUUGUUUGUUUGUUUGCUAUGGAGGUUUCUUGUUCCUUCCCAUCUCAUAAUAUUUUACUUAUUAAUAAAUAAGAUAGGGAUCUAUGUCAAAUGCUCCAUCACAACAUAAGGUGAGAGCCCUGGUUGUUGGAUUGGUAAUAAAUAAAUAAAUAAGAUAGGGAUCUGGUUAUUUUUGUGUGUAUAAUAAUAAGACUUCAAAAUGAGUUGGCAUAACAUAAUUGGUCAUUUAAUCCACGUGGACAUGUUUGGUCAACACGCGCAUAGGGUCAACAAAAUAUUGUGAAAAAAUGUCAAAAUGACACAGCAGGGUUAAAAUAUCUAAAUGAAAAUUGAUGCCAACUCUAGGAAGUUACGUAAGAGUUCAACCUUUAAAUAAUAAGACUAAGUCAAUAUCAAUAAAUAAAUAAUUUGUAUUUUAUUUUUUCUCUAUGAGCUAUUUACAUUACCUAACAACGCAAGCAAUCAAACCAAUAAACAUUGGCUUAUGAAAUGAGAUGCCUUGAGAUCUUUUGAACUUUUGGACUUUUUAUUUAUCUUCCUUUAUUUACCAUUGCUGCUAAAAUAGAGCAAUUCGAAGUUAGAGUGGUUGUGUAGCUAAUGGAAAGUUCAUGACCAUUAUACAUUUGUUGAUAGGGAGUUGCUUGAAGUUCACAUGUGCGCAAUCUUCAAUAGAGUUAGGAACUAACGAAUUAGGAUACUUUAUUUCAUUUUAUAAUUAACUAUCAAGUUUAUAUAGAAAUUGAUUAUUUUUAAUGAGACUUUAUCAAAUUAGCAGAUUAGCUAGUUGAUUAAGUAAGGAGUUAAAAGGUGGUUAAGAGCAUCAAGGGCAGAAUAGUAUUUGUUGUUAAAGUUUGUUGUAACUAACUCUUACGGUAAUUAGUUACAGAAGCAGCUAUAAAUACAUGAUCUUCUUCAUUGUAUUUUUUAGACUUUUCAAGCUCAAUAAUGGAAUCUCUCCUCCUCUUCUUCUUCUUCUUCUUCUAGUAGCUUCCAUGAACUACUUGUGAUUUACGUACAUGCAGUCUCUCUAAAUGGCUGGUCUAAAUGAGGAAAACUUAUCUUUCGUUCGGUUCCCGAUGCCGCAGGUCUAGAGAGGCAUCACGACAAUAGAAAUACAAGGUUCUUCUGUGAGAGAGGUUUCGUUUAACUCAAGCUGGAGGAGAAAGCGCCUGCCUUUUAUGCUCGCCUGAUGGAGUUCGAAUGGACUCCACUGAUUGGGCUCCCCCGGAUGCACGUUCCACUUGGGUGAGAGAGUUCUACGCUAUCCUUCCCACUGUACGAUGGGACGAUCCUCAUCCCUUAUCUAUAUCCGGGGAGUUGACAUUCCCCUUAAUGCCACAUCCAUCAAUGAGGCGCUAGAGGUGCCCGAGGCCUCGAAUGCGGAGUACGAGGCUAAGCUGAGGAAGAUGGAUCUAGGUUGGUUGAGAGACACUCUGAUUGAGCCUACGCGCCCGGAUCAGGUCUAGUGGGCUACUGCAGAGGGUAUUACUAGCACAGAUUGGUCACUUGAUGCUAAGAGGUGGCUACACUUGGUCACUAGAAGGAUCCGCACGUCGGGCAACCGUACCGACGUGACCUUUCCUCGGGCUUUGGUGGUGGCGUGCGCCAUACAGGGUAUAAAGCUAAAUGUGGGGGCGCAGAUCAUUUCGGAGUGGAAGAUGUUCUACCGCGGCAACAAAAAGGCUUUCUUCCUAUCGAGACUCAUCACCGCGCUGUGCAAACGGGCGGGGGUUCCACUUUUUAACGCCGAUGAGGUACUUCCUAUGGAUCCCCCCUUCACCCCCUUUUGGUUAGGUCAUGUUCUACUUCCAAGAGCAAGAUGAGGAGAACGGGCAAGUCUAACAGCAGUAAGACGGUCGUGGAUUCGGACGACGAGUCCCCAUUCUCAAGUGCAUAAGUCGAGGAGAAUCUGGCGGCCGUCCGAAAGAGAUUGGGGAGUGUUGUUGCUGACUUCACUCUAGUUCCACCCAGCACUGCCCUAGAGGUCGACAUACUCCAUCGCGAGCUGCGCCAGGAGAGAAGGAAGGGUCUGGAGAGGGAUCGUCUAAUGGUUUGGAUAUGGAAGGCCGUGAGGACCAUAUUCACUUGUGUCACCCCUAAUCAGGAGCUUCCCCAAAUCGAGAAGGGGGAUUUUAAGCAUUUUACUUUUAUAAAUGAGGCAGCGAUCGGUCUGGUACCUCCGGAGGAUCUAUGCUCCGAUGUUGACACCUCCCAGUCCGAGGGUUCUUGAUUUGGCUUUUCGCCCUCCUUGGGCUUGUAAUUUAGAACAAGACUUCCCUUUACCUUUUCGUCUUUCCUUAUGAUUUGUAAGCACGUAGAUGCUUCUUUUUGCUGCCUGACACAACCGAUACUUAAAUACUAAAGUUAUGACUUACUGUUUUAUUGUUGAUCAUUGAUUGACUUGCAGGGGUUAGUUCGGAUACCAUUCGGGGUCUAAAUUUGCAACUUAGGAAAAACAGGGGAGACAGGGCUGAGAUUCUGCCUCGCCCUGUCCCGCUCUGGCGGCCUCGCCUUGGCGGGAAAAAUCCCGCCCCAGCGGCCAUAACGGAAACAGAACCCCUGUCAACAAUUUUCUAGGGUUUUUUCUUUUCUACAUCCCCAACGGUUUCCAGCUAUAACACAUGCAUUAUUAGAGUACUUCCCUUAGCUAGAUAGUCGAUGUCUACCCCGAGUCAACCCAACAAUACACGCUCCCCAAAUCCCUUCACAUUACUUCAGUACUACAACACACUCAUUCCCAGGAUACACCCAGGAAUUCACACGAUUAUUUCAAACGAGAAGAAGCACGCAUUCAUAGUUACAAACUACACAUCACAACAAUUUCACCUUGUUAGUUAGUUCGUUCCAUAGAUGACCAUUACGGAUCAUCUAUGCCUUAUACAACCCCUAAGGCCAGAUACCAAUUGGAACCUUCUCAGUUUCAAUUAACUUUGCUUGUGUCCCUUGAGUCAUCACCACGACGUCUAGUCUACUUCGUUGAGAUACUAAUUGGAAUCGGGAGAUACCAAUUGGACUCAACUCAUACCACAAAUGACACUCGCACGAAAGGAGAAAAAGGAUGAGACAACUUUCUAGAAUGCUUUAUAGCUUCCUGAAGAUUAGGUGUGGAUGUCAACACACCAAUCCUUAGGAGUCUAUUCCACAUUUUACUAUUGUAUUGGGAGACCGGUAACUUGGUCUCUGAUACCAAUUUGUCACGACCCAACCCACCGGACCGUGCAGGCACCCGCUCUAACACCUAAGUAGGAGAAUCCUCAUAUCCUAAUAAUUAAAACAUGUGGAAAAUUAACGAAAAACGGAGAUAAAUGAAAUCAUAGAGUUUUUAUAAGUAAAACUUUUAAACAAUUUUGAGUUAAAAAUUAUAAAGUAACUAACACCACCAAGAUUCUAGUCUAAAUAUGUGCAAGAGCUACUAAGAGUACAAACGGGACAUAAUAAAUAAAAUACACAGCUCCCACCAUGCUGAAGGAAAAGUAGAAGCUGCUGGAGAAUUCUUCGUCUUCAUCUAAUGAAACAUCACCAACCUGCAUCCAGACUAUGCCAAAAAGACAUAGCAAGAGUAGUAUCAGUACAAACACACGUACUGGUAGGCAUCAUCAGUCAACCCGACUCCCACCGCAUAAAAUAAGAAAUCAACUAGCAAGAACAUACAAUAAACCACUCGCUUCUCCACCCUUACCCACCUUUGAAUACUUUAGAAAUACACUAGUAACCACCUUCCCAUUCAACCUACUUACUAGGUUUUUGAUCAUAGCCUAACCAUUCUAACGCAUAGAAAAGUCCACAGAUAUAACUACAAGCAUCUCGACUAACUACCCACGACAUACCCUUACUUUCUCUUUUAUCUUUCCCAGUCCUUGCCACAUGGUACAUUAUAUCAAGCCUUCUAACUACUAACUACGAACCCCUUUCCCCAAGGUGAAAUUCAAUUAAGAAUUUACAACAUGCAUACUACCUCCACUUCUCACCCUUGCAACAUACAAAUAUCCCUUGUCUCACAAACCUUAACAAUUCUUGUUCCCUUGGCCCUUCUCAUUUCAUUCAACUACGAGAUACAUAUCGGGUUAAAUCAACAUAAUCGAACCAACAUAUAUAGGUCAGCAAAAUCAUUUAACCUUCCGGAUCAAUGCAAUGUUAGUACCAUUAAGAACUACAUACAACUUCACCGUUUCAAGUAUACAAUAUGUCAAGUCAUUGGUUCUCUCAUGGAUCCCAAACCCAAACUGUUAGCAUAUCGGAACGUGACACCCGAUCCAAUGUUUUAUGCCGGAACAUGGCAAUCGAUCCUAUAAUUAUGCUGAAACGUGGCAACCGAUCUAAAUUAGUAUGUCAGAACGCAACACCCGAUUCAUUCAACAAGCCACAAUCACAAUCACAAAGUACACUCUCAUAAUCAUACGAUCAACUCAUGAUUCAUGGAAUUCAUCAUUUAUAUAUCCUCAUUUACUAUUAAUGUGAUCAAUAAUGCAACAUUCGUAUACAAACAUGUAUCAUAAUGAAGCAAAAACAAACAUACAUCACCAAAUCAUAGAAUCACAACAAUCACCUACAACUAUUCAUCGACGUAUAUAAUAUAAACAUUAACUAGACCAUACCCAGCCCUAGUUCAUCAUCUAAGGCUUCUUCCUACGAUUUAAUCAUCUUUUGUUCGGUGCACGAAGGCUUACGCAUGAAUCCUACCAUUGAUUAUCAUCAUACUACGCAGUGGGCAUAGAGUUUUGGUCUUCGAUUUUUGUUUCUGGGACUCAUGACGGUGAUCUUGACCGGAAAUCCGCAAUCCAUCGACAUCCUUAUGCUAGAAAUAUCUCUCUCCAUUUUUCCCAAGCUUGGAGUAGCUUUUUGGGGGUUUCUAGGGUGUUUUACGACUAAUUAAGGUAUUUAGGAAGAAAUAAGGAAUAAAAAUUUGCGUUAUUUACAUUCUGCCUCGCUUAUCCCGCCCUGGCAACUACUUUCCCCGCUGUGGCACUGCCGCCCUAGCGGCAUCUGUCCCGCCUUGACGGGACAGUGGUCUAGAAUUCCCUAAUUUUUUAUUUUCCCUAAAUAACGACGGUUUGGGUCGUUACACUAUAGGAUGCAGAUGGGCAUACAAAAUUAAGUAUAAGGCUACACGUGAAUUAUAAAGAUUCAAAGCAAAGUUGGUUGCUAAAGGGUAGUAUAGUCAACAAGAGGGUAUUGAUUAUAAGGAGACUUUCUCACCAGAUGUUAAAAUGGUGACUGUAAGGUCCAUAGUGUCUUUUGCAGCCUCAAGGCAGUGGCAUAUCCAUCAUAUGGAUAUUUUUAAUGCUUUUCUGCAGGGUGAUCUGGAGGAUGAAAUCUAUAUGCAACUUCCUCAAGGUUUUGUCAGUCAAGGGGAGAAGGUAUGCAGACUGACAAAGUCUUUGUAUAGGCUUAAACAAGCUAUAAGACAGUAGAAUCAAAAGUUGACCGAAUCUCUUGUUAAUCUCAAGUUCAGACAUAGUCAAUAUGACUACUCCUUGUUUAUUAACAAAUCAUCGGUUGGAAUAGUAAUUAUGUUUGUAUAUGUAGAUGAUAUGUUGAUCACUGGUAGCAGUCUUAAGUUGAUAGAGGAGACAAAACAGGCAUUGCAAAAGGAUUUUAAGAUGAAGGAUAUAAGGGGAGCUAAAAUACUUCCUAGGUAUUGAGUUCACUAGAUCAGCAGAAGGUAUACUUAUGCAUCAGAGAAAAUACACUUUGGAACUUAUAGAUGAAGUAGGAAUGUCAGCAGCCAAACCUACAGGAACUCCUAUUGAUGUUAAUGUCAAACUAACAUCAAAGCAAUAUAAUGAGCAAAUGAAAAACAAGAAGACUCCUAAAGAUCAGUUGGUAGAUCAGACAACAUAUCAAAAACUGAUUGGGAAAUUAUUGUAUAUGAACAUGACAAGACCAGACAUAUCAUUCAGUACUCAAACUCUAAGUCAAUUCUUGCAGCAACCAAAGAAGUCACACAUGGAUGUUGCAUUAAGGGUAGUUAGAUAUCUUAAGAGGCAACCUGGACAUGGUGUACUAUUGACUAGUUCUUCAGAUGAAGUAGUUACUGCAUUUUGUGAUGCAGACUGGGCCUUUUGACCAUUCACCAGAAGAUCUAUAACAGGCUACAUUGUCAAGAUAGGUAAUUCUUUGGUGUCUUGGAAAGCAAAGAAACAGACCACAGUCCCCAAGAGUUCAGCUGAAGUUGAGUAUAAGAGUCUUGCCUCUACUGUGUCUGAACUAGUAUGGUUACUUGGAAAAGGAAGUAGGAGCUGAAGUGCAGUUGCCAAUACAAGUAUAUAGUGAUAGUAAAAUAGCCAUACAAAUUGCUGCAAAUCCAGUCUACCAUGAGAGGACAAAACACAUAGAAAUAGAUUGUCAUUUUUAAGAGAAAGGAUACAACAGGGAUCAAUCAAAGUGAACUAUAUACAAACAUAAGAACAACCAGCAGAUGUCUUAACAAAAGGGUUGUCCAGAAGUCAACAUGAGUAUUUGUUAUCCAAGCUAGGUGGGUUGAACAUCUUUACCCCUCCUAGCUUGAAGGGGAGUAAUGAUACUUUAUCAUAUUAGCAGAUUAUCUAGUUGAUUAAGUAAGGAGCUAAACGGUGGUUAAGAGCAUUAAGGGCAGAAUAGUCUUUGUUGUUAAAGUUUGUGUAACUAGCUCUUACAGUAAUUAGUUACAAAAGCAGCUAUAAAUACAUGCUCUUCUUCAUUGUAUUUUUAGACUUUUCAAGCUCAAUAAUGGAAUCUCUCUUCUUCUUCUUCUUCUUCUUCUAGUAGCUUCCAUAUGAACUACUUGUGAUUUACGUACAAUUUUACAUAAUUUUUUAAUAUAUUAUAUGUGAAUGACUUAAUAUAUUUGAUAAGAUCAGUUAACAUUUGAUUGUAUAUCGACUGAUUGGAUCUUUAAUGUUGGGAUUGCUAAAUACUUAACUAGAAAUUAGCGAAGGAAAAUUUUGUCGAUAAAAAAAAAUUAACGAUCGUAAUUUUAGUCGUCUCUAAAGGAUUCUUAACGAUCCGAUUGUGAAUUCAGCCAUUAAAUUUUAACGAAAAAACUUUUAAUGAUAAAGUUUUUAACGAUUGGUGACGAUAAAAAAAAUUUGGUUGUAAUUUGAACUUUUAACGACUAGAUUAUCUUUCGCUAAAAGUUAUUUUUCUUUUAGUGAUCAUGAGCAGACUCAUGUAGUGUCAUAUUAGUUCAACUAAAUUUGAAAUGUCCAAAAAUUUAUUGUUUAUAUAAGAAAAACAAUUAUACGAUUCUAUUCCACCGCAAAAGGAAAAUGAUAUCAAAUGACCAAUUCAUCAUCGAAAACUACUAUAUCAAUAUGACACAAACUGUGGUUGUGGAGCAGUGGUCAAGCAAGUUCAAAGUCGCAAUGCAUAUUUAAGUCCGAGUCCCUUUAAUGAUAUUUAUAGACUUUGUGCAUCAAUAGGUAUAUAGACCAAAAAAAAAAAACAAUUGGCCAUCAUAUCACAUAUUCUAGUCAAAUACUAACUGGUACACUAAUUAUCUUUAUAUUAUUUUUUUGCUAUUUCAACUUAUAUAUGUUUUGCUCUUAUACAAAUUCAAUAAAAAAUUAAUAUCUAUUAACAAAAAAUAUUUAACUUUUGGUACUCUUUCAUAGUGUUUGCACAUGCAACUAUAUUCGUUAAAAUUAUUUAGUUUGUUAGUUUACUUUAUUUUAGUUAUACUAAAUCUAAAUAGGUUCUUCUUAGAUAUAGAGGUCACCCGUAGUUCUCUCAACCUAGAUAUUUCUCACCGGAAUGGCCAAUUUGGCCGCCGGCCAGCGUUUGAUGAGUGAAGGCUCGGCUUUUCCACUCAACUCAGAUACUUAUUUCCCCAUAUUACACCACCACAAAGCUCCACAACCAAUAACUUUGCCUAGCCCUAAUUCAAAAUUGCCUAACCCUAAUGCAGAAGAUGGUAAGGAAGGAUUACCAGAAACACGACAAUAUGCUGAUAUUCUUAAGACAAAUAAUGCAGUAACAGUCAUUAACCCAACAAUGGAACCUAUUCUUGUGAAACAACUUAGCUACAAAGAUGGAAUCACAUAGGUGAUUUGGACGGAAGAGGAAGUGAAAAGAAUGAACACAUUGGAAAAUCUGCAAUAUGCAGUAGUUGGUAAGUUUUCCUAUGGAUGGCCAGAUAUUGAAGAAUUGCAACUACGAAUCCCAAUACAAUGCGAUGUAAAAGGGGAAUGCAAAAUUGGAUUACUACGACAUAAACACAUACUGAUGCGUUUUAGUAGACAAGAUGACUUUAUCAAUAUGAUGUCUAAAUCAAGUUACUACAUACUAUCAAAGGAUGGAUAUUCAUAUAUGAUGAGACCACUUAUUUAUGAUGCGAAAUUCAGUGUUGAGGAAGAAACUACAGAGGCUAUGGCAUGGAUUUCCUUUCUGGAUUUAAAGCCGACCUUCUUUGUUAAGGAAUCCAUAUUCUCAAUGGCAUCAGCGGUAGGUAAACCAUUACAUCUAGAUAUGAUCACGAUUAACAAGACACGAUCAAGUUGUGCUAGGUCAAGGUACAAGUUGAUUUAAUGGCAGAUCUCCCUAAAUUCAUCGAGCUGGAGGUAGUGAAUGAAGCUACUAAGACAUCGAGGGUGGAGAAAUACACAUAUAAUAUGAUUUGUUGCCAAAGUAUUGUAAGCAUUGCCAAUUACAGGGACAUGAUGAGAAUGUAUGUAGAGUAUUGCAUCCAGAACUCAGAAAGUCAGAAUUGCAGAGUGAGAACAAUGAAGUUAUCGCAAGUGACAUACAAAAGGGGCAGCCUAAAGUUCCGUUGAUUAGGAUAGGAAGAUACUUCAAGAAGUGGCUUCCCAUGAAUAAAACUACAACAAAACAAAGACAUGAUGAUACAAAAAAAAAGAAAAGGAAGUUGUUAGUACAUGCAAUUCUUUUGCAGCAUUAAAUUAUGGGGGCACAUGCAAGAAAAGGCUACAGUAUAGUAAAGUAAAUACAAGCAAUACAAUAGGCCUGGAAACAGAUAAUGGUGAAGAUGAUGAAGUUACAACUAAAGAAAAGGCAACACAAAUGGAAGAGAAAGAUCAACAACAUAGGUCCACUAAAAAUUGGGUCAAUAAGACAUUUGCUCAAAGUAAUCAUAUUACAGAAAAUCACUAGAAGAACAUAACAGAUAAAGGCAAUGACAUUUAGGAAGAUACAACGGAGGGGAAUACAAUACAACAUAUAAAAUCAACAAAACUGAAUGCAACUACUACUGGACUGGAAAUAAUCCUCAGGAAUGACAAUCUGCAUCUGCUAGCAGUUGAGCAAGAUGAAGGAAGGCUAAAGAAAAAAGAAUGAGACCUAAUGUUAGCACAACAGUCAGGACAUGCAAUAAGCUCAAACAGAUAUGUCAAUACAGAGUCACCUGAAUAUAUUCUUGAUGAACUAGCUACUUUGCAAGAGCCAUUACAAAUAGUUGGGAGUGAGAAAAUAUUGUCAAUUGAAAGUAAUUCCACAAGAGAUGUAACAGUUACAGAGGGAGUGGGAGAAGUGACAAGGAAGAGAGACUUGGAUAUUGCCCCUGCAAUCAGUCAGACCUGCAAAAAAUCAAGUCCUAUUAGUACUUUACACAAUCUAGUUUCCCAUCAGACUACAGAAGGAGAUUUCCAGGCAAUAUCAAAAAAUUAUGGGGUUGAAGAUAUAAAAGAUUCAGAAGAAAAAAAUAACACAUCCAAUGAAGAUCAAAUAAUGAAGACUGUUGGGAUAAAUGCUAAAUCAAGUUCUAAAGGAAUCAAAGGUAAAAUUAAUGUGGAAAGUAGACCUGUUAGGAUAAAUCCUAAGAGGGGUGUGAAAACAGUUUCUAAAUGAAGAUGAAGACUCUAUUUUGGAAUGUGAGAUCUGUAAGAACUCAAAAUUCAUUUCAAAGGAUUCAAAUGCUAAAUAGACAUCAUAAUUUCACUUUCAUUGCAUUAAUGGAACCUUUUCAAGAAGGAAAUCAAAUUCACUAGUAUAAAAGAAAGUUGGAUAUGCCCUAUGCAACUCACAAUCAGAAUGGGAAGAUAUGGGUAUUUGUUCAAGAUCAUAUUCAUGUUGGGGUGAUUUCAGACACAGAUCAACAAUUGACAUUGCAGCUUCAUUUUCAAGAUACUGGAGAUAUUAUUUUGGCUACAAUGGUUUAUGCAAAAUGUGAUGCAUUGGAAAGAAUCAACUUGUGGGAUGAUAUAUAUAACAUCGGUGUCAAUUACAAUAUGCCCUGGUUAGUGGGGGGGAGACUUUAAUGUCAUUAUGAGUGAUGAGGAAACAAUAGGGGGCCUUCCAGUAUACCCCCAUGAGUAUGGAAACUUUGCCUUCUGCAUGAAUUCCUGUGAACUACUGGACAUAAAUUUCAAGGGUAGCCCUUUUACAUGGUGGAAUGGCAGAAUUGAUGGGGAGUGUAUUUUUAAGAGAUUGGAUAGAAUUAUGGUCAAACAAUCUUUUAUCGAUUUCUCAGGUAACAUUGAAAUGGAGAACUUGGAAAGGAUUGACUCUGACCAUGCUCAUAUUCUUCUAACUUGUGGUGGUCAAAGUUCAUAUGUGAGGAAGCCAUUCAGAUUCCUGAAGUUUUGGGUGGAAAAAGAAGGUUUUCUAGAAACUGUUACGGAUAGUUGGAAAUCAAUGGAUUCUACAGAUAUGUUCAUUAACUUGAAACAAAAGAUGAAAAAUACCAAAACAGCUGGAACUGUUAUUGAUAGUUGGAAAUCAAUGGAUUCUACAGAUAUGUUCAUUAACUUGAAACAAAAGAUGAAAAAUACCAAAACAGCUCUAUCUAGGUGGAGUAGAGAGAAUUUUGGUGACAUUUUCAAGAAACUAGCUAUCAGAGAAGAGAUUGUGAAAUUGAAAGAAGCUCUAUUUGAAGAACAUCCUACAACUCCUAACAGGAUGAUUUUUCAGCAGUCUCAGGCAGAGCUACAAAAAUAUAUUCACUAUGAAGAAGAAUAUUGGAGACAGAAAGCAAGUUUUCAGUGGUAUAUUGAAGGAGAUAAAAAUACUAGAUUCUUUAACUGCCUAGUGAAUGGGAGGAGAAAGAGACUUUCGGUGAGUAGAAUGCUUCAGGAAGAUGGGCAAUGGACUGAAGGCAAUGAUCGGGUGGUUGAAGAGGCAAUCAAUUUUUUUAAGGGUCAAUUUGUUGUAGAAGAUAGUGCAGAGGAGCUGACUUUGCUAAUGCAUGUGCCAUAGUUAAUUUCUGAAGGGAAUAAUGAGCUUAUCAAAGUCUGUCCUACUAAGGAAGAGGUAAAGAAGGUAGUAUUUAAACUAAAUGGUAACAGUGCUAGUGGUCCUGAUAGAUUCAUUGGCCUUUUCUUUCAAACUUGUUGGGAGAUUGUUGGUAAUGAUGUUUUUGAUGUGGUGACUGCCUUUUUUUAAUGAUUUUACCUUACCAAAGUCCAUUACUGAUACAAACUUGGUGCUUAUUACAAAGAAGGAUUUUGUUCAAUCAUUUACUGAUAUGAGUCCAAUUAGUUUGAGUAAUUUCCUUCAUAAGGUGAUAUCUAGGAUUGUACAUGAUAAAUUGCAAAGUGUGCUUCCUUUCAUUAUCUCUAAAAAUCAAUCAGGCUUUCUAAGGGCAGAAAUAUAUAUGAAAAUGUCUUACUAGCUCAAAAGAUUGUUUCUGAUAUAAAAAUAAGGGGUAAGACUGCGAAUGUGGUGAUCAAGUUAGACAUGGCAAAGGCUUAUGACAGGGUAAAUUGGCAAUUCUUAAUUAAGGUGCUGGAAAAAAUGGGAUUUGAUUGUAAUGUGGUGGAUAUGGUUUGGAGGUUUAUUGCAAAUAAUUGGUAUUCUGUACUCAUCAAUGGCCAAGCUCAUGGCUUCUUUCAUUCAUCUAGGGGUGUCAAGUAGGGGGAUCCUCUUUCACCUGCUCUAUUUAUUUUAGCAGCUGAGGUGCUAGCUAGGGCCUUGAAUGAUUUGUUUAACAACAAAGAUUUUAAGGGUUAUGGAAUGCCUAAGUGGAUUAAUAACAUUAAUCAUUUAGCUUAUGCAGAUGAUACUAUCAUAUUUGUGUCAACUGAUAGGGUGUCUCUAAAGCUGGUCAUGAAUACAUUAGAAGAUUAUGAAGCUUAAUCUGGUCAACUAAUCAACAAAGGGAAAAGUGCAUGUUACAUGUUUAUAAAGGCAAAUAUUGCUCAUGUAGAUGUGGUAGAAGAGGUCACAGGUUUCAGUAGAGGAUCUUUUCCAAUCAAUUAUUUGGGUUGUCCUAUAGGUCAUGAAAAGAAGCAGAAGAUUCAUUUCAAAUAAUUAAUCAAAAGAGUGCAAAAGAAACUACGGGUGUGAAAGGGUAAAUUAUUAUCAUUUGGAGGUAAAUUGGCUUUGAUUCAAUCUGUCCUUAAUAGUAUCCCUAUUUAUCUCCUGCCUGUUAUGAAUCCUCAUAGGCAUGUACUCCAUGAUUUACAUAGAAUCUUUGCUAGAUUUCUAUGGAAUUUUAAAGAAAAUGGGAGAAAUAAACAUUGGGUUUCUUGGUCGGAUAUAUGUUUACCUACGGAGGAAGGUGGACUAGCUACUAGAUCUCUUUUUGAUGUCUCUAAAGCUUUAUUUGCUAAAUUAUGGUGGAACGUUAGGACCCAAAAAUCUAUGUGGUCUGAUUUUUUAUGGAACAAAUAUUGCAAAAAUUUGGGUCCUCAGAUUGUAGAAUGGAAAGGAUGAUCACAAGUUUGGAAGCUUAUGCUCGAAGCAAGAAGUAUGAUAGACCAACAAAUAUAGUAGGAAGCUAAGAUUGGUCACUCCAUUCUAUGGUGGGAUAACUGGACCCAGUUGGGGGCUUUACAUUAUUAUCUACCUUUGAAUCAUGAGGGUGAGCACCCUCUUGAGGAAUUGAAUCAAGUAUACAGUCAAGGAGAUUGGAACUGGGAGUUAAUGAAUAAUAUGUUCAAUGAAGAGGUGUGUUCUCAUAUUGCUAAUCAUGUUACAUUCACUCUACAUUCCGAAGAAUGGGACAAACCUUGGUGAAUGUUAAGUAGAUUAGGAAAAUUUUCUAUCAAAUCUGCCUGGAAUUAUGUGAGACAGAACAAAGAUCACAAUGAGCUUUUCAAAAAUAUUUGGGUAAAAGGGAUGCCAUAUAGGAUCUCUUUCUUCAUUUGGAGGUUGUGGAAGAAAAUGAUUCCUAUGUGAGACAAUGUACUGUGUGUUUGUUGUGGGAUAGGGUGUCUAGAAACUAUAGAACAUUUAUUCAUUUAUUGUGAAUCUUCUAAUAGAUUAUGGUCUGAGUUUACAGCUACUGCAGGGAUUGAUGAUCAUUUUCUUCAUCUAAAGGACAUUGUCUGGAAAUAGUGGAAGGCAGAUGUAUCACCUAAGCUUAAUAUCACGGACUUAGGCAUUUCUCUAAACCCUCGUGCAGCGCUUGACAACUUACUCACUACUCUUGCAAGAUCUUGUAAGCUCAAGCAAGCCUUUAAGACUAGGAUCUCUAAUAGAGUGCAAACAAAGACUUAGAAAGAUUUGAGAAGAUUGGAAGAAGGCUUUGUAUUACUUGGAAGAAAGCUUUACAACUGGUUGAUGCUUAGCAAAUGAAUGCCCCCUCUAUUUAUACUACAACCUAGGGACUAAAGUGUAAUUAAUAAUUACUUUACAAGUCCCUAAAGUAUUUACACUUUGGUCCCUCUCUAGAAUUCUCUACACAUUCUAGGAUAUUCCAAAGCCUUUUUGAAAUAUAUAAGGGCUUCUAGAGUUAUCCAUAAGCCUCUUCACAACUCUAGAUUCUUCCGCCCCUAUUUGGAUGCAAAAUUUGACUGGCAAAGUGGCGGGGCAUGACAUUCUCCCCCACCGGUUGAUGCGACGACCGCGGUGCACUGUUGCAAAAACUCUCGGAUUUGAUCUUUAAACUGCCACAAGUCUUCAUAUCUUUCACAUGUGACCUCCUCCAAAAUUUGUCCCUUCCAAUGUAUAAGGAACAUGGCGUUGGCUUGUUGACCUCGCUUCCGUUUGGCUUGAUAGUCUAUGAUAGCCUCAAUCUCUCAGUCGUGCGAGGCGGUGACAGUUAUGCGUGCCUGUCGUGAUUGGUUCCGGCUAGGAUCUUUCUUGUCCUCAUGGUAUGGCUUGAGGACACUUGCAUGAAAGACCGUAUGGAUUUUGAAGUGUGGAGGCAACUCCACCUUGUAUGAGAUCUUUCCCACCUUGGCAACGAUCUUGAACAGACCCUUAUAUUUCCGCACUAAGUUUUGAUGAACUCCCCUUAGUGCAUUGAACUGUCUUGGCUCGAAUUUCACCAAGAUCAAGUCGCCCUCUUUGUAGUCUGUGAGACGCCUUUUGCAGUCGGCAAACUUUUUCAUCUUCUUUGCUGCCUUGUCCAAGUAGGACUUGGCAAUGUCAAGUUGUUCCUCCCAUCGAUUGGCAAAAUGGUAGGCUCCCAAACUCUUUCCUUGGAAAGUAGCUGGCAAUGAAUGCGGAGUUUGGGGUUGUUGGCCCAUCGCCAAUUCAAAUGGUGUGCACCCGGUAGACUCACUCAUUUGCAAAUUGUAAGAAAACUGCGCCAUGUCUAGGAGUUUAGCCCAAUCCUUCUGGUACGCACUGACAUAGUGCCUCAGAUAGCACUUCAAUAGGGCAUUGACGCGUUCGGUUUGGCCGUUGGUCUGCAUGUGGAAACUUGUGAAGAAGUGAAGUUCCGUGCCAAGUAUCUCGAACAGCUCCCUCCAAAAGUUCCCGGUAAAGCGGGGGUCUCGAUCGCUAAUGACAUGUAUUGGAAGCCCCCAAUAUUUCACCACAUUCUUGAAGAACAAUCGAGCAGCCCGCUUUGUGGUGAAACCGGCUGUGGCGGGUACGAAGGUAGCAUACUUUGAGAAUUUAUCCACCAUGAACAUGAUGGUUCCGUACCCGUCGGACUUAGGCAAGAAAGUGAUGAAGUCCAUGGUCACGUUUUCCCAUGGGCGUUCCGCUACGGGUAGUGGUUAUAGUAGUCCUCCCAGUAGCCUUUGCUCCACCUUGUCUUGUUGGCACACAAGACAAGUCUGCACAUAGCACUCGAUGUCAUCCCGCAUGCACGGCCAAAAAUAGAUAGCCUCGUUCAACUCCCCCGUUCUUCGCUGCCCCGGAUGCCCAGCCCACGGUGUAUCGUGGCUCUCCCAGAUGAUUCACCGCCUGAUAGACCCAAACUUGGGUACAUAGACCCUCCGAUCGGAUGUGAGCAAAAGGUCGUCUUCCACCAAAAAAUGCGUUGUCUUUCCUUGGGCGUCCAACUCAAUCAGCUUCUUGACCUCGAGGUCAUGUUGCAGGCCAUCCUUGAUCGCAUCUCGAAUGUCACAAUGGGCCAUAGUGAUAGCAUAAAGUUCGGCCUUCCUACUUAGUGCAUCAGCCACUACAUUGCCUCUUCCUGGCUUGUACUCCAGGAUGUAGUCAAAUUCAGCUAGAAAAUCUUGCCACCUAGCUUGCUUUGGGGUGAUCUUCUUCUGUGACUAAAAGUAGCUAGUGGCCACGUUGUCCGGCUUGAACACGAACUUAAAUCCUAGUAGGUAAUGUCUCCAUGUGCGCAGACAAUGUACGAUGGUCGUCAUCUCUUUCUCCUGCACCUGUAGCGUCGUUUGGUCUUGUUCAACUUGCGGCUCUCAAAUGAUAUUGGGUGUCUAUCCUGUAUUAGGACUCCCCCAAUGGCGAAGGAUGAAGCAUCUGUAUGUACUUCAAAGGUUUCAAAAAAUUGGGCAGCGUCAAGACCGGCUCUUCUUUCACAGCGGUCUUGAGACCUUCGAAUGCUUGUUGGCACUCCUAGCUCCAAACCCACAACUUAUUUUUCUUCAACAAUUCGGUCAGCAGAGUAGCCACUUAUGAACCUGCGGUAAUAGUUCGCAAGUACAAGAAAUAAUCGUAUCUCGAUCACUUUGGUGGGAGCCUCCUACUCUUGGAUCGUCUGAAUUUUAGCCUCGUCCAUCUGUAGCUCGCAUUGACUGAUGAUAUCCCCCAAGAAGUGCACCUUGUGCUGGGUGAACUCACACUUCUCCCACUUAAUAUAGAGCUCGUUCUCCCAUAAGACUUGGAAGACCUUCCUUAGAUACUCCACGUGCUCCUCCAAGGUGUUACUAUAGAUGACUAUGUCAUCCAAGUACACCACCACGAACUGAUCCAAUUAGGAAUGAAAGAUCUUGUUCAUUAGCGUGCAAAAAGUAGCAGGUGCGUUGGUUAAGACGAAGGGCAUCACCAACCACUCGUAAGCUAUAUAUUUUGUCACGCACGCCGUCUUCGGCUCAUCCCCCUCCGCAAUACGUACUUGGCAGUAGCCUUUCCGGAGAUCCACCUUGGUGAAGUACUUUGCCUGUCCAAGCCUAUCAAAUAAAUCUUCAAUGAGCGAGAUAGGAUACUUGUUCUUAAUAGUUACCUUAUUGAGCGUCCGGUUGUUAAUUCAUAAGCGCAAUGAUCUGUCCUUCUCUUUUUAAAUAAGACCGGCGCGCCAUAAGGUGUUUUGGACGGACGAAUAUGACCGGCCUCGAGAAGCUCCUUCAAUUGCUUUCUUAGUUCCUCUAACUCGGGCGGAGCCAUGCGAUAAGGUGCAUGUGCGGGUGGCUUGGCUCCCACCUCCAACUCAAUCUUGUGAUCUACAUCGUGCCUAAGAGGUAGAGUUUUUGGAAGCUCGUCUGGCAUCACGUCCUUGUUUUCUUCAAUGACCUUUUCUACGAUCGGUGGCAAGGGCUCCUUAGCACCAUUGUCUUCUCCCGAAAUUACAAUUGUGGCUAUAAAUGUUGGCUCCCCUUUCUUUAGGCCCUUCACAAUCUGCAUGGCCGACAUGUGGGUGUGUCCUUCCUUCUUCGACACUUUGAAUAAAAGUACCAUGCAUGUACCGUCCCGCUCCAAGACCAUGAGUUGUUGGAGGUAGGGGUCGAUCAUAUGGCAUAUUUGGAAGAAUUCCUGCCCAAGAAUGAUGUCCAAGAUAUGUAAAGGAGCGACGGUAAAGUUUGUCUUACCUUGCCACUUUACCAUGAUGCUCACUCCUUGGGCGACUCCGCACACGGGAGUCGGUGGUGCAUUGACCAUCUUGAGGCGGGUGUUGCUUGGGCUGUAACUUAGCCCUAGCCUUGAUGCCGCCGUCUUGGUCAUAAUGUUAGCUUCAGCCCCGGAGUCUACCAUGGCACGAGCUAGUAGUCCAUUAAUGGAGAUGUCUACAUACUGCGUGUUGAAAUCUCCUGGAUUCUCUUCUUGCUUGGCUAUAACCCCGCAUAGUCCAACCAUGCCCAACUGCAUCGUGCCCGCGUCCUGCCCUUGCUCUUGUGCGUUUUUCUCCUUCUGUUUGCUUAGGAUGGCACCAAGGUUCUUCAGCUCUAGGCACCGGGCAUAGCCAUGCGGUCCUCCGCAUAUGUAGCAACCAUCUCCCUUGGUGGUUUGCGCCUUUUUCUCCGUGUAGUUCUGGCGCCCGAACCAUUUACCAUACGACUUGUAGGAGUCGUGCUACUUAGGGUGUGCCUGUUGUUCCUUGCCUCAGCCACAAUCUCACCCACCUUUAGCAUGACUAGUCCUCGCAUCCUUCGCCUUUGCCUUGUCAUGCCUGUCAUGCUUAAAGUCAAUCAAGGAUUCGGCUUGUGUGAUGGCCUCAUUAAUGGUCUUGACUUGUCGCCGCUCCAACUCUGUCUUGGCCCAAUUUUGUAGUCCGUCCAUGAAGUGGAACAACAUGUCUUUGUCUGUGAGGUUGGGAAUCUGAAGCGUUAGAGUUGUGAACUCAUUCACGUACGCCCGAAUGCUACCCAUUUGCUUCAAUUCCCUAAACUUGUGUUUGACCUCAUAUAUGACGUUGUUAGGGAAAAAAGCUUUCUUGAACUCUUCGCAGAAUUGCUCCCAAGUAUUGAUGGUGCACAUCCCCUUCCCUAGCUCGGCCUCCUUGCGUCUCCACCAUAGCAUGGCCAUCUCCGAAAGAUACAACACGACAGUGUUGAUCUUGUUCUCGUCGCUCUUCACCCGACUACACUUGAAGUAAUUCUCCAAGUGCCACAAGAAGUUCUCCACCGCUUGAGCGUCACAAACGCCUUUGAAUAUAGGUGGCUUGGGUGCCUCGACCCUGGCCUCCCUAUCACGGUUGAAUGACAUAGAUCAUCCAGCUUCCACGCCUUCCUUGAGUGCUUUCAUCUCGGCCUUCAUGAUCGUGCUUAACGCCUCCAUGAGCCGACACUCCAAGGAAGUGGUGGCCUCCUUCAUCUCGAACUCAUCCCGCUGGUAUCCCUCCAACUCCUUGAGAAGUUUGUCAGUCUCCUCAAGGGUGAAGUCAUCGAGGGUCUUGAACUUGCCAACAACCACAUUCAAACGCCGGCCUAAUAUCUCAAUGACAUGUCUUGCCAUUUCAACCCUUGUGACCCAUUCCUCUCUGGCGGUGAAGUCAAUGGCCUCCUCGCCAAGUUCAUCGUCACUUGCUUCGGUGGUCGAAGAUGGGUGAAAUGUUAGUGCCUCGCUUAGUGUGGGGUCGAGCAACAUAUCCUCACUACCCUUUUGGUGCUUCUUUCCCUUGCGGUUCUUUUUUCCUCUUUCCGAACAGACGUUGGUGGUGCUAGCGGUGUUUACGUCUCCUUCGUUAGUCAUUCCCUUAGUACAAACCUUUGCUCUGAUACCACGUUAUCACGGACUUAGAGUUUUCGCUAAUGCCCCGUGCGGCGCUUGAAAACUUACUCACUACUCUUGCAAGAUCUUGUAAGCUCAAGCAAGCCUUCAAGACUAAGAUCGCUAAGAGAAUGCAAAGAAAGACUUAGAAAGAUUUGAGAGGUUUGGAAGAAGGCCUUGUAUUACUUGGAAGAAAGCUUUACAACUUGGUUGAUGCCUAGCAAAUGAAUGUCCUCUCUAUUUAUACUACAACCUAGGGGCUAAAGUGUAAUUAGUAAUUACUUUACAAGUCCCUAAAGUAUUUACACUUUGGUCCCUCUCUAUAAUUCUCUACACAUUCUAGGAUAUUCCAAAGCCUUCUUGAAAUAUCUAAGGGCUUCUAGAGUUAUCCAUAAGCCUCUCCACAACUCUAGAUUCUUCCAUCCCUAUCCAGAUGCAAAAUUUGACUGGCAAAGUGGUAGGACAUGACAUUAAGCUCAUUUAUAAGGCAGUCCCUUUGUUCAUCUUAUGGCAAAUUUGGAAAAGAAGGAACAAGAUCAAGCAUGGUGGGAAGAUGUCUCCAAAUUCUAUGAUAUGGUGGUGGAAAGAUUAAUACAUCUUAUGGCAAAGAAUCUAUAUCUAUGGAUGAGGGAUAUUCCAGGCUUCUUGCCUAGGUUGGUUAAAUUUAUGGAAGACUACACUCCAGUUAUAGGAUGUAAAGUGGUGAAAUGGAUUAAGCAUAUGGUUGGUUAUAAAUGCAAUUUAGAUGGUGCCUCGAAAGGCAAUCCGGGCCCUAGCUCCAGAGCAUAUUGUAUAAGAGAUGUGGAAGGUAAUUUUGUGUAUGCUGAAGUCAAGAGGAUAGAGGAUAAUAAUAACCUCAAGGCAGAGAUCAAGGCUAUCACUAUGGGACUGGAAUAUUGUAGGACCAAAGAGAUAUUCCCUGUUAUUCUGGAAACAGGCUCCCUGGCAGUUAAAAAAAUGAUUUAUGGGGAAUGGGAUGUCCCAUGGAGUGUUACAAUGGAAAUUAGGAAAAUUAAGCACUUGAUGAAGGAGAGAGAGGUGGUGAUUGAGCAUGUGUUCAGAGAAGGCAACAAGGUUGCUGAUUUUUUAGCUAACUAUGUUUUCUCUUUUGCAGGAAUAGAUAGCAUUAUUUUUUCAUCUUUUUAGGAGUUACCAAAUGAUGCAAAGGUAUUGCUUAAUAUGGAUAAAGCAAGAAUUGCAAACCUAAGAAUCAGAAAAAUGCAAAAUACAAACUACAGAUACAAUGAAAUCAAUCACAAUGCACAGUGAAAGAAAGGAACAAAAUAGCAAUAGAUCAUCAAAAUCGCAAGCGUUGAAAAACAUAGGAUCAAAUGCAACGAAUACAGAGCAGCACAACAGAUAACUGGAGUAAUAAAGGAACGAUUGUGAGAAACAUUAACAAGAAAUACUUGGACUAUGAUGAGAAUAUAAAGUAUAAUUAGUUAGUUGUGAACAGUAGAGUCGGUCAUGUACAGUAGAGUUAGUUAGAAUCAAGUUUGUUAGUUAGUUAAUUUCUGCCAUACCUAGAUGAUCAGUGAUUGUAUAUAUAUAGUCACAUUGUAAUUCUUAAAGCUUUAAUUCACAUUCAAUACAAACACAAGUUUUCUCCCUUAAUUCAGUUACUCUCCAGUCGACUCCAUUGACAGAGGAAUGAAGCUAAUCAAUGGUGUUAGUUUUGUCAUGGUAUCAAAGUUCGGUUGAUUGAUCGUAGUUCUUCUUCGUUUCAUAAGCUUCAUCCCUCUACAUUUGCAGAAACUCAUCUGUGUUGUUUUUCGAUUAGCUGUUUGGGGGUUUGUGUUGUGAAUUCUCUGUUUUCUGCCAAUUUUGAUUUCUUGAUUGAGGAAUUGUGUGGUGAUUUCUCUGUUUCUAUCAAUUUUUGAUUUUGUGUUUGGGAUUAGUUGUUCUGGUUGUUUUUGUGUUGAGUUUCCUUACAAAUACUCGAACACCAUGGUUGAUCUUCAAACUGAUUUCGCUUCUAGUUCGACUACAGUUCGAUUGGACUUUGCUAGUCCCUUUUACCUGCAUCCCUCAGAGAGUGUAGGAUCCUCUCUUUUACCUUGAGUUUUCGAUGGUACUGGUUAUAGAUCUUGGCGAAGGGCUGUUCUCAGAGCUCUCUCAGUCAAGAGCAAAACAGGGUUUAUAAACGGAGCUAUUGUGCGACCUGCUCCUACUGAUCCUAGUUUCAUGCAGUGGGAGAGAUGUGACGACAUGGUCACAUCUUGGAUCUUAAAUUCCUUGUCCCCUGAAUUGCGUGAUAGUUUGCAGUACGUGAACAAUGCCAAGGAACUCUGGGCAGAGUUGGAAGAAAGGUACGAUCAAACCAAUGGGUGUAAAUUGUAUCAACUGCAAAAGGAAAUUAAUGAUCUGGUCCAAGGCACUUUAGACAUCACUGGAUAUUACACAAGAAUGAAGAAGCUGUGGGAGGAAAUGAGUAUCAUUGAUGUCAAUUCGCAGUGUACUUGUGUGUGCAUUUGUGGGGGUAAAAGCAAAUUACACAAGGCUGAACAAGACAGAAGAUUGAUACAUUUUCUAAUGGGAUUGAAUGAGAUAUAUACGACUGUCAGAGGCAGCAUUCUCAUGAUGAACACACUUCCAAGCAUGGCUCAAGCUUUUGCCAUAUUAUCCCAAGAGGAAAAACAAAGGGAGGUGAAGCCUCAUAAUCAUACAGCCUUGGAUUCUACCUCUCUCAAUGCCUAUGGACAGACCAACAACAGUGCAGGAUACAAGGGAUUUAGGACAAACUACAGUUCAUCUAGAGGAGGUGGAACCAGUUUUGGGAAUACAAACAAUAAUACUGGGUUUAGAGGCAAUUCUAGCACUAGCAAGUCUUCUUUGUUUUGUGACUACUGUAAGAAAUCAGGACACACAAAGGAUAGAUGUUACAAGCUUCAUGGAUACCCAUCCAAUCCAAAUCCAAGGUUCCAAAAGGGAAAAGGCACAGGUUCUGCAGCAAAUGUGUGUGCCCCUGAUAUGAAUGGAGCUCAAUCUGAAGAAGAACCUGAAGUAAGGAGACAAAUGCCAUUGAACUUGUCCAAAGAUCAAUAUGAACAACUACUCAAUCUCCUGGGAACUUUACAAGUUGGAAAUGGAGCCUCAAAUUCAGACAACUCAAACAACAUGCUGAAUGGAGUUGUGAACUUGGCAGGUAUACUUGCCUGCUAUUCUUCUAUUACUGAUAUAGGUGAUCUUUCUUGUAAAUGUGUUAAACUGACUGCUGGCUCUUGGAUCAUAGAUUCAGGAGCAUCACACCAUAUGACCUAUGAUAAGACCACCCUCACAAACAUCAUUUCACUUCCAUAUCCCUUUUUAAUUUCACUCCUUAAUGGUUACAAGGUUAAAGUGACUGAAAUUGGCGAUGCUUGUUUAAAUCCAGCUUUGACUCUAAGCAAAGUGUUGUUUGUACCUAGCUUCAAGUUUAAUCUCAUUUAUGUUCAUUGUUUAGCACUACAAUUCAAUGGUGUAGUCAGUUUUGACAAAUUUUCUUGUUUGUUGCAGGGCCCUUCUCUGAAGAGCCCUCUGGAACUUGGUAAAGCCAAGAAUGGCCUGUACUUCUUAUGUCACAAAUGCCACAAUUGUUGUCCAUCUACUGAGAGUAAAUCACCUCAUGUUAAUUGUCAUCUUGUCUCUUCUUUAGGCAAUACUAGCAGGGUUUCAGAUUCUAAUGUGUCCACUGGUUCUUCUGUAAAAUACUCUCUUAUGAAUAAGGCAGAUUGUACUGUUUUUCCUUCCUCUUCUUUUACUCAUGCUUGUCCUUCAUUUUGCAAAUGUCUCUAAUCACACUCAUGAUGAUGAACUUUUGUGGCAUGCUAGAUUAGGACAUGUACCUUUUCUAAAAAUGAAAAAUAUCUCAACUAUACCUGUUAUUUUUUCUCCCAAACAGCCUUUUACUUGUAACAUAUGCCCUAUGGCUAGGCAAACCAGGAUGCCUUUUCCAGAAAGUAUCACCACCACCACUAAAGUGUUUAAGUUGUUACAUGUUGACCUAUGGGGACCAUCUCAUGUUCCCACUCAUGAUGGAUAUCAUUAUUUCCUCAAUAUGGUCGAUGACCACAGUAGUUCCACUUGGACACAAUUGCUGAGAUGUAAGAGUAUUGUUCUCCAAACUAUCAAAGCCUUCAUAUCUCUCAUAGAAAACCAAUUCCAAACCAAGUUAAAAGCCAUAAGAUCUGACAAUGGGUUAGAGUUUACUUCAGCUGAAGCCACAAAUUUCUUCCAAACCAAAGGUAUCAUACACCAAAGAACUUGUCCUUAUACACCUCAACAAAAUGGGGUGGUAGAAAAGAAACAUAAAUACCUACUUGAAAUGGCAAGGGCACUUUUGUUUCAGUCAAAGUUGCUUAUGAGGUACUGGGGGGAAUGUGUAUUGACUGCCACAUACCUGAUUAAUAGACUGCCCACUCAACUUCUACAGAAUAAGUCUCCAUAUGAAAUGUUGUACCAUAAAUCACCUACAUAUUCCCACCUUAAGAGUUUUGGUUGUCUUUGUUUUCCCACUAACUUGAAAACUCACAAGGAUAAAUUUGAACCUAGAACCACACCUCAUGUUUUUGUUGGUUACCCUUUCAAUACAAAAGGUUACAAAGUUUUGAAUUUAGCUACCAAGAAAGUUCAUAUAUCAAGAGAUGUUAUUUUUCAAGAAAAGAUUUUUCCCUUUGUUAUUGCCCCUGAUGGUUCUAGUUUCAAUUCCAUUUUGCAACUGCUUACUCAUACCACUAGCAUGACUUGUAUGCCUGGUCAAAUAAAUACUUUUGCUAAUGAUGAUCUACUGGAAAAUUUCACACCACAUGAAGUCAUUAAUAAUCAAGUAACCAUUAAUACCAACAUGAAUGAAGUACCAUCUGUUGUCCUACAUGAACCUACAACUCAACCUACCUUACCUGAUCCAAAUGUCACCAUGCACCAUGAUACUUUACCAGUACCCACAAUAUCAGCACCUAGAAGAGCAACCAGAACCAUACACACUCCUAAUUACCUAAAAGAAUACACCUACACCAUACCUAAGCUGCACUCUCUUACUUCCUUUAUACCUCCCCAUAAACAUGUAUGUUUCACCCGUCUUUGUUCUGAUAGUCAGCAGUUAGUAACAACCAUUUCACAUGAAUGUGAGCCUAUUUCAUUUGAGGAAGCAAUAUUGCAUCCUGCCUGGCAGCAGGCCAUGACACAGGAGUUUGAAGCUUUGUAUGCUAAUGACACUUGGGAGAUGGUCAUGUUACCUGAUGGGAAGAAAGCUAUUGGAUGCAAGUGGGUGUACAAAAUCAAGCACAAAGUUGAUGGAAGUGUGGAGAGGUUUAAGGCUAGGUUGGUGGUCAAAGGUUAUACACAACAAGUUGGGGUAGAUUACACUGAAACCUUCUCACCUAUAGUUAAAAUGACUACAGUUAGAACAUUAAUCUCUUUAGCUGUUAAGAAAGAUUGGAGCUUGUAUCAACUAGAUGUCAAUAAUGCAUUCUUACAUGGUGAUUUACACGAGGAAGUGUACAUGGCACCUCCACAAGGUCUUGUAGUAGGUUGUGAUAACAUGGUGUGCAAAUUGAAGAAGUCUUUGUAUGGACUAAAACAGGCCAGCAGGCAAUGGUAUGAGAAGUUGGCAAACUGUCUAUGUUCAAGAGGGUAUCAGCACUCAGACAGUGACUAUUCAUUGUUCUACAAAAGGAAGGGCUGCUCCUUGGUGUUUGUUGCCAUAUAUGUGGAUGAUAUAAUUCUAACUGGACCAGAUGUGGCUGAAAUCAACUCCUUAAAGAGCUUCUUAAAUGAUCAGUUCAAGAUAAAGGAUUUGGGCAAACUACACUACUUUCUGGGACUGAAAAUAUUAUACAGACAUGAUGGGGUGCUAGUUUCACAAAGGAAAUUCACUUCUGAUCUCCUGAAAGAUUUUGAUGUGUUAAGUUACAAGGCCACUACAUCACCACUUGAUUGCACUGAGAAGUUAACAGCUACAGACGGCAAACUUUUAUCUGAUCCUACUCAAUAUAGGAAGUUGGUUGGCAAGUUAAAUUUUUUAACCAACACUAGAAUGGACAUAGCUUAUAGUGUACAACACUUGAGCCAAUUUAUGCAAUCACCUAGGGAACCUCAUUUGAAAGCAGCAUACCAUGUGCUCAGAUAUUUGAAACAGGAUCCAACAUUGGGGAUUUUUAUCUCAAACAAGCCUGAUCUCACUAUCAGUGCUUAUUGUGACUCUGAUUGGGCUGCUUGCCCUGACUCCAGGAAGUCUGUUAGUGGAUACCUAGUGCUUCUGGGUGAUAGUCCUAUCAGCUGGAAGUCUAAGAAGCAAGCAACAGUAUCUUUGUCGUCUGCUGAAGCUGAAUAUAGGGCUGUGAGACAAGUUGUAGGAGAACUAGUGUGGCUUGAAAGAUUGUUGAAUGAGUUGACUGUACAAUGCUCCUUACCUAUCCCUGUCCAUUGUGACAGUCAAGCAGCAGUCCACAUUGCAAAGAAUCCAGUUUUUCAUGAGAGGACAAAGCACAUAGAAAUCGAUUGUCAUUUUGUUAGGACCAAGCUUCAACAAGGCCUAAUCACACUCCAUCAUAUUCCCACUGAUUCACAAUUGGCAGACAUCUUCACCAAGGCUCUGAUUAGAGUUAAACAUAUUGCCCUAUUGCACAAGUUGUCAGUAAUUACAUCACCUCCAACUUGAGGGGGGUGAUGAGAAUAUAAAGUAUAAUUAGUUAGUUGUGAACAGUAGAGUCGGUUAUGUACAGUAGAGUUAGUUAGAAUCAAGUUUGUUAGUUAGUUAAUUUCUGCCAUACCUAGAUGAUCAGUGAUUGUAUAUAUAUAUAUAGUCACAUUGUAAUUCUUAAAGCUUUAAUUCACAUUCAAUACAAACACAAGUUUUCUCCCUUAAUUCAGUUACUCUCCAGUCGACUCCAUUGACAGAGGAAUGAAGCUAAUCAAUGGUGUUAGUUUUGUCAGACUAUGCAGUGGUAUUAGCUAGAUUUAUGUCUCAAUCUGCAGGAAAGGGCUAAUCUAAGAAAUGAAGCUCAAAGAUCGGAUGUAAAGCUUGAUAACAAGAAGACAUGGUGUAAAUCGAAUCUUACAUGAGUUGUUCGUGUUGGGGUGAAGUGUAUUCAAUGGGCUAGGUUUCCAUGGCAUUCGUGAGAAUUUGGAGUGUCUCAUGUGGAAACAACCCGACCUCAACUUGUUGCAGCCAUCGACGAAUCGAAUGCACCCACCGGUAGACCAGUUUUCAGCACUCACCAUUGCAGAGAAUAGCUGAGUCCUGCAUUCUGGAAUUGGGGAUUUAGGAAUCUUUAUUUCUUUUGUUCUUUUUGUCAUUUAGUUUGUUGUCUUAACAGAUAGAUUUAUUAGCUGGGCUGGGUCAUUUUGAGGCGUGGUCCCUUUUUCUCAUUUUAGUAAAGGGCCCUGGCAGCCCAAUUUCGUAUAAAAAAAUUAGGUUCUUCUUAAAAUUUUAAAGUUUUUCUCAAUUUUUUUUUUAUAAUAGACGAUAAACUAUUAUCAUACCACUAAAAUAAAUUCAAAUACAAGUAAGAAAUACACAUAGACUCAAUCAUCUUUUGAAAAGAGUGUUAAGUUAGUGAGCCUCACGAGCAAAGCCUAAUUAUAUAAAGACUGAAUCAAAUAUUCACUCUUCCUACCGUACGUAUUUCAUGCAUUUAAACAUAUGUAAUCUCUCCCUAAUGUAUCAUAAACUCUCUAUUUACACUUUGUGGUCGAAAGAUGUUUUGGUUCCUAUUAUGAAUUCAAAUGUUAUAAAUAGUAGCUCCAUAUAUAUAUAGUUGUUAUUGUCUCCUUCUUAAAUCUGCUCCAAUGUUUCAUUUUGAUCUUCAAUAGCUCCACAAACAUGUAUUUGUUAUGUAGAUGUAGUCUAGUCCAAGUCUUAGUUCACUGCCUCUCAUAAUUUUUAUUCUUUGUAAGACAGUAAUGUUCUCGAUCCCCUAUAUAUAUGUCUGUGUUCUAAUCUUCAACCUAUAUAGUUGUCUCCAGUACCAGUUACUUGUUGGACUUGGGGCAUGUGACCAAAAAGUCUCAUUGUUGUUCAUCUACAACUCAUUCACCCACUUUAUCUAGAUCAGUACGUCCUUCUUCUCCAUUAAUUAAUUUUCAUAUCAGCUUUGCCACCACAUCUUACGAUCCUUAAUAUUUACAUCUCUUUGCUUCUUAAGUAGACAUAGUGCAUGUCUCAUGCCACAAGAGAGACUUUCUUUUUUCCUCAGUGCCACCGCAAAGGAACUCCCUGCUACACUUUCUGUUGACAUCAUUCAAAACACCAUGGGGGGGAGAAUAAAGACAACACCCCAAAAAUUAUGCAAAAAAAAUAACAGUUAAUAAUCAACAACCUACCAGCAUAUGAUAAAUAUCGUGUGGAAUUUUCUGUAACGCCUCGGCUUUCGAAAAGAACUAAAGAGAGGUUCGUCUAAGUCACCAUCAAUUUGUAGUUUUGGGUCAACUUUAAACGAUCAUAUCUUUUAGCACAUAAAUAUUUAAGUGGCUCAUGACCUACCAAAUUGAAGGUAUGAUUCAUCUUUCCAACGUCGCCAAGUUUGCUUAAUUUCAAGCUCGGAAUAAAAAGUUAUGCACAUUUGAGUGAAGCCUCUCUAUUUAAGGCAUCUCAUUCGUUUUAGAAAAGGAUAUUUUUGGUAUUUUCCUUUUACCACUAGGCCUAACACGUUUUUCAUCACCCAAUUAAGGGUCUAAUCAGACACUAAGUUACUUUUUCACAUUCCUAAGCACUUAGAGAAAAUAAGAGAUUAGAGUUCAAGAGGAGAAAGAGCUAGGUUUUGAGCAUUCAUCAAGAUCCCGUCAAUUUUCGCCAAGAACAUUGUUCUUUCCAGGUAUGUAAGGCUUCUCACAGUGUUGAACUUGUUCGUCCUCACACCAUACAUAUGAAUUCAAAGAGUUCUUGAGUAGUUCUUGAUUUUUGUUCAAUUCUUGAACAAUGGAGGUUGUGAAUGCUUUUGUGUUUUUAAUAUUUAGUAAAAGUUGUGUUUACCAAACAGAUUGUGUUUAAUUCCUCAUGUAUUCGUGUUGGGUUUGAUAAUCGAGAAGAGUUUAGGAGAAUUUCCCUCAUUCUAAACGAGUUAGGUCCCUAAAUUGAGUAUAAAAUUUUGUCAGCUUUCUAGGUAUGGGGGGUGGGGUGGCGCACCACCUAGGGCGCCAGAAAUUUUGGUCUGUAGUUUGAGGCCUGGUGCCCCACACCAGCAGUGUGCCCCAAACAUUGCUCAGUAGUUUGGGCCUGGUGCCUCACGCCAGCAAUGCGACGUCGCCUUGUCUUUUUCUUUCCAUGCUUCAUUCCGGACGUGUUCCUUUGAGUCGUGAUUACAUUCUCUUCUUUGUAUUAGCUUCCAUAAACUCCAUUCACCUUUGAGGACUCAUAGAUGUUCAAAUCACAUGUCUUAAUUUACAUUCCGAAUUAAAGUGAGUUUAAGAGAAAAGUUCAAGAGGUCUUUUUGAGUCAUUUUGAGGAUUCUUUUGUAAUCAACUAUGAUUUUGAACUAAGUUUUGAGAAAAUAAAUAUGAGAAAUGAGAGUUGUUUCCAUGUUUGAGAAAUGAUAUAAGGGAACCAAGUAUUCCCAAAAGUAAUAUGUUUACAUUUAAAAGAGAGAAACUUUGAUUUCUAAAUAAAUUUACAAGUUCAGAGAUAUUUCAGAGCAUUACUCCUUUUAAGAGGAUCUAUUGAGUAAUUACCUCAAAUUGAUAAAGAAUUAUGUUGUAUACAUUUAAGCAUGAGUUAUAUAUUAUUGGAAGUAGUAUUGAGCACUGAUAUGGGAAUGAGUUCAAACAACUCAAAUUCCUCAUAAACCAUGUAGCCAACAUGGGUAAAGGGUCGUACUUUUUAAACGAUUCUUUAUUGCUUUUAAGCAUAGCUUAGUGGAUCCACUUAAUUGAGGCGUUCUCUAUCCCGACAAGGUAUAGUAUAAUUUUGGCAGUGUGGGCGAGACAUUGUAUCAUCACAUAGCUCAUAGUGAUGGUUGUCGAUUAGAGAAUCUCUCAAAUAAGAGUAAAUAGUAUCUUAUUGUAUUUUAUACACCAUUAAGCUCAUAUCUUCUGCUUUAUAAUGUUUAAACAUUGCAUUGUCUUCCAAUCUUAUCAUUUCAGUUGUUUAUGCUUUAUGUUUCCCCCUUACAUGCUCGUACAUUAAAUGUACUGACGUUAUUCGACCUGCAUCUUUGUAUGAUGCAGAUACAUGUGCUCAGGGUCAUCAACAAGCGCUUUGUUGAUACCAUUUGCAUUCCAGCUAGCUUUGGUGAGCCUCCUCACUUUUCGGAGGGCUUCACACUUAUUUCCUGCUUUUGUUAGUUUGUCGUGGGUUCUGUCCCGACAUCUAUCUUAGUAUUAGAGGCUUCAUAGAUAGUUAGAUGUUGAGUCUCUUGUUAUUUCCCCUUCUUGUUGAGAUAUUUUGAGAUCUUGAGACAAUUGAUUUUAUAACUUCAUAAGCAUUUCCAGAUGUUCAUUUGGGUUGAGUUUGAUUUAGACUUUAAGUUUAAUUAUGCAAUUGAAGUUCCUAUUUCUAUUUGAGUAAGUCUUCCGCUAAGUAGUCAGCCAGGCCAAGAGUUCACUUGGGGACCAACGAUGGUUCUCGAGUGCCGGUCACGUCCAGAAUAUAAGCUCGGGAGUGACAUUUUCUCAAAUUUGUUAAACAAAGUCACUUUUUUUCGUUGCAUUAUUGACGAAAAAUAACAAAUAAAAAGCAAUUGGCAAAUUGUUUGUUGUGCUCGACAUUGCUAACACUAUUUGCUAUCACUAUUGACACGUAUUUACUGAUUGAGUCCACUUGUGUAAAAUAUUCAUGAUUUGAGCUCCAAACAAAAUAACAAAUGAUUUUGUUAACUAACAACUAAUCUAGACGCCUCUUAACAUUGAUUAAUACUCUCUCCAUUCACUUUUAUUCGUCAUACUUCAUUUUACAAAAGUUAAUUUAAUAUAUUUUAGGAAUUAAAUUGAGUUAGAUUAAUUCAAUUAUUAAAAUUUAAAAUUUAGAUAUUCGGAAACAAUACGAGAAAUACUAUAAGUUGCAAUCCUUUUCAUACUAAUAAGAUGCAUCUUAAGAUGUUGGUCAAAAUCCAUGCAGUUUACCUCUUGAAAAGUAAAACGUGACACGGAAGAAAUAUGACUUUUUAUAUAAUUAAAUAUCUAGUGUGGAUUAAUUUUUCUUAGCACCAAAUGACAUUUAUGAUUAUGGUAGAUAUAUAAUCAGAUCCUUCUGUAAUGAGCAUGUGCUCAUGUUUUAGCCUAUUGAAUGACAUUGUACUAUUUCUUAUAAUUAUUUAGCUCUUAGUACCGUUAGUGAUCUGUAAAUUAACAUGAAAGCUAAUAAUUCCGAACUUGUGAUCUUUCUUAUCAAUUAAUUGCAUUGUCCAACCGUGAUUAAUACAGAGUUCAAUCUCUGCUUCGUUACUAGUAUUAUAUUUGCUAAUUCAAAAAUUCAGAAUAUCACUAAAUUAUAUUACUAGUACUCCUAUUAGUUUAAUCUAUAUAUAUAUAGUUGUGGAAAAAGUUUAAACCAUAUUUAUUUCCUUCAUUGAUUUUUACAUAUUCACUAUAAACCUUACUCGUACCUUUAGAAAUAAUAAUAGGUAUUGAAAAUGAGUUGGCCGGUAAUAAGUUCUUAAUGUUAAAGGUAAAUGAUGGAAAAAAAUUCUUGAUAUAUUAAAACUCAUAAAGUAAAACUGAAAAUUAAUUUUUGAAAUAGUAGACAGCUAAAAGUGAAUUGAGAGAUUAUAUUCCAUAACGAUUUACUCCCUCCUUUCACUUUUUUUUUGUCUACGUUGAACUUUGUACAUCUCUUAAGAAAUAAUGAUCGAUAUGGAUAUUUUACCAUAAUACCCAGAUUAAUCGAUGUUUAAUAUUAAGUCUUGAAAAGUAAUUUGGGGAAUAAGUAAUUAAUACUAAGGGUAAAACAUAAUUUUUUUUUAAAAAAAAAUUGUAUGUUAAAAGUGAAUUUAUAUUUGGAAUAGUGGACAAGUAAAAGUAAACGGAGGGAGUAUAUAUUUCCUCUAUUUUAAUUUGUUUGUUUGUUUUGACUUAACACAAAAAUUAAGAAAAUAAAUAAGACUUUUAAAUUUGUGAUUUUAAAUUUAAAAUAUGAAGAAUGUACCAAAAAUAUCAUUUAACUUAGGCAUAUCAUGUAAAAGAUUAAAAUUAAUUAAAGAAUUGUUUUAAUAAAAAAAGCAUCAUUUUUUAAAUAGAUUAAAAAAAUAAAACAAACAAUUGAAAUAAAGAAGUAGUUCUUAAAGUUAAUAAUAGUGUUAUAGUGAAUAAUGUAUAAAUAGCAUAUGCUAUGUGGUGCUAGUCAUCAGAAUCUUCUUGAUGUUAGGCGGGGAUCCGGCUCCCCUCAUUAAGCCUUUCCUCCAUUUUGUGAAGUGUACAUAUGAGAGACAUGUAUUUUAUUAAAAUUAAAGAUCAUAUUAUAUUGACAAGUAUCAUAAUCAUAGUUAAGUUAAUUAAUUUUGAAAAUUUACUUUCCAAAUUUGAUAAGAACAAAAUAUUCAUAUAUUUUGAUAUUCAUUAAUAUUAUUAAUUUCAUCUUAUAUUUUUUAUAUUCAAAUAUUAAAGUGUAUUUGACAAAAAAUUAUUAGAUUCAAACGUUUCAUGUUCUACCAUUUUAAUACUCAAAUAUUUUGAUUUAAAUUUAAAUUUAUAAGAUGAUUGAAAUUCUAGAGACACAUAUUAACUAAAUUAAUGUUCUAUUACCCCCCUCCCCCUGGUAACGGCCCAGCCUGCUAGUGAUAUUAUCUGCUUUGGGCCUAGCUCGCACCGCUUUAAAACGCAUCACUAGUUGGUAAUGUUUGUUACUUAUAUACCCAUUACUUGUGUUUAUCUUUAUAAGUAAAAAAGUAAAAAUGUUAUACAAAAUGUCAUAUUACUUGUGUCUCAUAAAAAAAAGGGAAAAGGCUCAAAUAUGCCAUCGAACUUUUAGAAAAGGCUCAUUUAUGUCAUCCGUUAAAAGUUGGGUUCAUCUAUGUCAUUAACGUUUAAGAAAAGGCUCAUUCAUGCCACUAUUUUUUAACAGUGGUUUUGCAAAACCAUUUUUGACACGUGGCAAAUUAUAAUUCGAUCACGUCAUUAUUAUUUUUUAUAAAAAAAAAUCAAAAUUCUGAACAAAAAUUGAAUUAAAAUAACUCAUCCAAGUAAAGACAUUAUCACUAUGUAAAAAUGGUUUUGCAAAACCACUAUUAAAAAAUAAUGGCAUGAACGAAUCUUUUCUUAAACGGUAAUGACAUAGAUGAGUCAAACUUUUAACGAAUAACAUAAAUGAGUCUUUUCUAAAAGUUCGAUGACAUAUUUGAACCUUUUCCCUAAAAAAAAAUACUAUGAUACCAAAAAGUUGUUCUAAGUGAUAAUAUUGGGUUUUGGGCUUGUAAGCUUUUGUGACUUGCCUCAAAUUGCAGGAAAUGGGAUACAACUCAUUCUUGAUGCUCACAUAAUUAAUCACAUUAUUAAUGUAGCUUUGUGGGAAAAUACAUUAAAAAAAAUGAAAAUUUACUUUAGUACUUGAACUACACAUGUGUUUAUAUACCCCUUAACAUCUUUUAAGUGAUUUUUUUCAACCCUCCCAUCACCAGCCCAGUUGAAGGCUGAGUGUUGUUGAGUCACACACGUUUUCAUUCGUCCACGUGUACAUUAACAAAAUUCCUAAUUAAUUGCUUAAAUCUCCAUAAUAUUUUUUAAAAAAAAAUAUUGAGCCAAAAAUUAAACACAUCAAUGAAUUUACUCCUCAAUAUACAAACUAUAAUUCAAAUUUCAAUUGCAUUUUUAGUUUAGUUAUACGAUGCCACCUUCCUCAAAAAUUUAAAAAAUUAUUUGCAAUAAAAAUGAAAAAUUAUUAAUGAAUUGGGCGAAAUCUCCAUAAUUAAUCUUUUGCCAACAAUAUCUUUGAUUUUUUUUUAAUGGAAGUCAACUUCAUUCUGAUAACGCUUUAAACUGGUAGAUCUAAUAAUCUUCUUUGAUGUCAAAAAUGGUGGGUGAAUCAAACACCAAAAAUUUAUAAAAAAGAAAGAAACGAUUAAAAAUAGAAAAGAAAAGAAGAAGAAGAAAUGUGGAAGAAGUUAUAAUUGGAAGUAAAUGUUUACUUGAACUAAAUGAAAGAAUAAAAAAGAGAAAGAGUUAUGAGAAGAGAAAAAAAAAUGAAGAAGAAAGAUGCAGAAAAAGAACAAGAAUGGAAAGAAAAAAUGAAGAAGAAGAUGCAGAAAAAGAAAUAUAGAGAGAGAAAAGUUAAUUUAAAAUAAAAUAUUUAAAAAUUAAUAAAAUAAGUUAUUAAGUAUGUUAUCCAAUAAAAAGAUGAUAUGUGUCAGUUUUUUGGUGUCUUUUCCUUUCUCACGCACUUAUGAAAAGUUGGUGAUACAAAUUUUGCCACGUUCCUUUUUAAGGGGUAAUUAAAUUCAAUUCAAAUUAAAUUAGGGGGUAUAUAAACACCCGUGUAAUUUAAGUACUAAAGUAAGUUUUCGUGUCAAGUUCGUAGGGAUUUUAUGUCUUUUCCCUAGCUUUGUCGGUUUGCAACUUUGCAUGGUCUUUUUUUUUUUUACAGACUUUAUGCACGCGGGUCUUUAAUUUGAUGUUAUUCCUCUAAACUUUGCAUUUUAUACAUUAAGUUGAAUGAUUAAUUAAUAUCUCAAAUGACACUGCCUUUUUUAACUUGUUUUUUCUCUAUUGAUAUAAGUUAAGGUCCAAUAGACCAUUAAUAUAUAAUGUGACAGCUCCUAGGCCAAUCAGUGAGAUUUUAAUUACACGCAUUGCUUUUCACUGUAUCAUAAGUUUUUUAAUUUGUUAAUACUCCCUUCAGUCCAAAAUAAAUAAAUUUAUGAUUUGUUGAUAUGACUCAAUGUGAGCCGUGAGAGAAUUUUUCAAAAUUUAAAGAUGUAUUAAUUAUUUUUCUCCAAAAUUAUUCUUCUCUUUAAUAAAGUUUUCAACUAUCUUUAGUUUUAAAAAUAGUUUGGGAAGAAUAAAAGGAUAAUAUUGAUAAAUUACUCUUUUAUUAAUGUCAUUAACUAAAUUUCUUCAAAGAUCAAUUUAUUUAAUCUCAAGGCAUAAUAAAUAAAUAUGUCUUUUAACUUGGUUUCAAAUAAUAUUUAUAUCCUCCAACUUUGGGUGUGCAUAAAUAAGACACUUUAAUUAUUAUAAAGCUGAAUAAAUCGACACACACAUACUGCGUGACAUCAUACAUGACAAUUUGUGUCCUACGUGUAUACUCAUUUGUCUACUUGUUCAACUUUAUACAAGUUUUAAUGUCUAUUUAUGCACAUCAAAAAUUGGAAGGAUAAAUAUGAAAUGAGGAUAAAUUAAUGAUGUAUUUAUGUAUUAUGCCAAUUUUGGAAGGGAGGGAGUAUUGUCACUGUAUUAUUACCCACGAAUAUAUAUCAUGUUAAUUUACUUUUAUGGAAAAUAUAAUUAUGUAUAAAGGGAGAGGCUGUGUUUUGAGUUUCCUUGGAUACCCUGGCAUGAUGAGGUUUUUAGUUGUUGAUAUUUAAUUAACUGUCUUGAUUUCUGUUUUGUGAGAUGAUUCUUUUGUCUGCUAGAUCCUCUUUUACUUGUUCCUUUGAAUAAUGUCCACUAUAUAAAUUUCUUUUAUUUUUAUAGAUCCUUUUUGUCUACCUUUUUGGUGCCACCUUUAACUCAUACCAAGAUGGUGUUUUAUAUUGGCAAGCUCCCAACUUUAGAUGGAAAAUAGGAAAAAUCUUUUUGAUCAGAAAAUUUGGUCAGAGUGAUAUUUUAUCUAUGUUAUUUUAUUUUUUAAAAUAUUUUUAUCCUUUUAACUUUAAUAUCUUUUAACUAAAAAUGGAAAAAAGAUUAGUUUAUUUUAAGAUAAAAAAAAUAUUAUAAUUUUUUAAAUUUUCUGACCAAAUUUUGGCUAAAUUUUCUUGCCAUUUAGCACUUUCCUGAAAAAUAUAUACUUUUUUUUACAUUACUAGAUUAUAUUUAGGCAUAAUAUAUAUACGUGUCGUUUAAUUUGAUUUCAUUUCAUAUUUAUGCUCUCUAAUUUGGAUGUGCACAAUUAGAUACUUUAAGACUUAAGUUAAUAUAUAAAAUUGAAUAAGUAAACACAUCAGUCCUACAUGACAUAAUAUAUAUAACACACUACGUAAGAUGCAAAUUACCAUGUAGGAUCUCGCAUAUGAUGCAUGUAUCUAUUUAUUUAACUUUAUAGAAGUUUAAAUAUCUACUUGUAUACAUCCAAAAUUAAAAAACAUAAAUAUGAUAUAAGAUUAAAUUAAAGAAUAUAUUUAUAUAUUAUGCCUUAUAUUGGAGAAUAAUGUAAUGAGUUGGGUUAUGUCUCCUAUGGUGAGUGGUUGCCCCCGGGCUCUAUGGGCUUUGCAGCCAACCAAGGAAACAAUUUCUUCACUUAACCAUUUCUUCUCUCUUUCCUCUCUCACAUAGUUUCUGACAAGAUUUGGGGGUUAUGAAGUAUUCCUCCACCCAAUUUAAUAUGACGUUUGUUUGACUUGACAUGAAAUUUUAAAAAUAAAAAAAUUAAAAUUUAUAUGACUAUAAGUUAUCUCAUUAAAGAUAAAAUAGACAUUUAAAAGUUAAAUUUCUACAUAAUAUAGAAACGUGUCAUUUUUUUAAAUUAACUAAAAAGGAAAGUGAGUCAUAUAAACUGAGACAAAGGGAAUAUAUAAUACACAAGCGUGCUCUUUAAUUUGGUUUCUAUUUAUAUCCUCUAAUUUUGAAUGUUUAUAAGUAGACAUUAAACUUGUAUAGAAUUGAACAAAUAGAUCGAUACACAUGUUACUUUACGUCUUACAUAGUAAUUCACGUCUUACAUGACAUCCUACAUGACGUUCAACGUGUAUUAUGCUACGUAGAAUGCAAGUGUUUACUUGCUCAACUUUAUAGAAGUUUAAAAGGCAUUAUGUAUUAUGCCUAUAUAUAUAUCCUACUCAUAUUUGAGAUCCUGUUAAUUUUCCUUCAUUCUCCAUAUCUGAGUAAUUUUGGUCAUUGGGGAUAUAAGGUUAUGAACACAAGCUAGUGUUUAGGAGAAGAUUAAGUUGCCAAAAAUGAAGUUUAUGAAACUUGGAUCCAAACCUGAUACAUUUCAGUCAGAUGGGAAAAAUGUCAGGUCAGAUCAUGUGCUUAGUUCUUCAAAGUUUUAUUCACCACUUUUUUCUUGUUGUGAUUAUUCAGAGUAGUUGCUUUAUUGUGGAAAAAACUGUUUCUGGUGUUAUAUUAACACAAAUUUAACUUAUUUGCUUAUCCCCUUUUGCAUUUAUCUUGUGUCAAUCAUGCUAUGUUUGUUCAAUUGAAGCUAGGUUUUGUAUUUUCUUUUCAUACUGUUUUGAUAUGCUUUACUUGAGUUGAGCGUCCAUCUGAAACAACUUUCACGAGGGAGAGGUACAAGGACGUAAGGUUGCAUACAUACCAACUCCACUCAUGGGAUUACAUGGGGUAUAUUGUUGUUGUGUGUAUCUGAGUAUACCGAUGUGUUUUGUUCCAGAGAUUAACUCUUUAGUAGGGUUAAUGUACAUUUAUUCAGUCAUAAGAAAUCUCGCAUUCCAAUUGCUUAGCUGUCUUUUGAUGGUUUCAUUUUUCCAUAUGAAGUACCUUCUUAGAGCUUGUGUAACACCCCAAUUUAGGAUAAGAAGUCUCACAUCAAUAAAACAUAGGAGAGAUGUUGAGUAUAUUAGUAAGUAGGCCUUACAAAGUAAUGAUGCGCUUUAAAAUUGUGGAAGUUUAGGCUCAGAAUGGACAAUAUCUUCACAUGGUUAAGCCAUAUCUGUGAAGUCUAUCUAUCUAUCUAUCUAUCUAUCUAUGUCUUUUCAUCACUCACAAUAGCCUGGUGAAUGUUUGUGUUUUUUCUCUGUUUAAACAAGUACUCAUCAAUAAUAUUUCCGUUAAUGCAGAUAUGUUGCUUCAGAGUUGGAUUCUGACAUCGUUGUUAGUGUAGGAGACGUUAAGUUUCAUCUGCAUAAGGUACUACUAUCUGACAAUUAAUAUAUGCUACCUUCUUCUGUUCGAGAUUUUAUUUCCGAUGUUCUGCUUGCUGGUCUUAAGAAAAGAAUGAAAUAACUGAGCAUACUUUAGUAUUUCUUUUUCAAUUGUAGUGAAGGGUGGGUUGGUUUAGUAUUUCCUGAUACUUGUAAUCGAUGAAAAUUGCAGUUUCCUCUUCUGUCCAAGAGUGCUCAUUUGCAAAAGCUGGUUACAAACUCAAGUGAAGGAGAUGGUGAUGAAGUUCACAUUCAUGACGUUCCGGGAGGACCUACUGCCUUUGAAAUGUGUGUCAAGUUUUGUUACGGUAUGACCGUUACACUGAAUGCUUAUAAUGUCAUAGCAGCAAGGUGCGCUGCAGAGUAUCUUGGAAUGGAUGAGACUGUUGAGAAAGGAAAUCUUAUUUACAAGAUUGAUGUUUUCUUACACUCGACCAUUUUCCGAAGCUGGAAAGAUUCGAUAAUAUUUCUUCAGACCACUAAAUCUAGGUUACAUCUGUGUGAGGAAGUAAAGUUGAUCAGCCACUGUACUGAUGCUAUAGCAUCCAAGACGUCUAUUGAUGUUCGCAAGGUUGAUUGGUCUUAUACCUAUAACCGGACCAAGAUACAAGAGGAAAAUGGAAGUGGUCCUAACUCAAAUGGAAUUAGAAGCCGUGUGGUGCCAAAUGAUUGGUGGGUUGAUGACUUAUGUGAGCUUGAAAUAGAUCUUUAUAAACGGGUUAUGGUCAACAUAAAGAACAAAGGGAUUGUUUCCUCUGAAGUGAUUGGAGAAGGUAUUAAAGCUUAUACUUUAAGAAGGUUCCCGGGCUUUAGCAAGGGUGUUUGCCAGUUCAGUGAUGUGUCCAGAUCGCGCUCAAUAUUGGAUACGGUUGUAUGUCUAUUACCUGCUGAAAAAGGUAGUGUCUCUUGUAGUUUCUUGUUGAAAUUGCUAAAAGCAUCCAUUUCUGUAGAUUCUGGAGAAAAGGUAAAGGCAGAGCUAGUAAAAAGAAUAGGGCAGCAACUGGAGGAGGCUUCUGUCAAUGGUCUUUUGAUUCGAGCUACAGACGGGGAAGCAACAAUGUAUGAUGUCCAUGUCUUCCACAAGAUACUAGAGAACUUUGUUGUGCAUAAUAAGGAUUUGAAAACUCAGUUUGAAGAUGGUAAUGAAAUUCCAGGGGUUUUAUCAGAAGCUUCAAAGCUCAUGGUGGCGAAGCUAGUAGAUGGAUACCUUACAGAAAUUGCCAAGGAUCCUAAUCUUCCUUUGUCGACAUUUGUUGGUCUAGCAGAGAUGGUAACAGAUUUCCCUCGCCCUAGUCAUGACAGCCUUUAUCGGGCAAUUGAUAUAUACCUCAAGGUGAGAAUCUGUUGAACUAUCUAUGGAACUUUUUUGAUUACAAAAGAAAUGACAUUACUGUAUUACUUGAAUAAUUAAAAGUAAAGUCAUUCAAGUAAUACAUACUUUUAAGGUAUGACCUUUCGUAAAAUAGUCUAAUAUUUCCCGUGUCACAUACAUUAUUGGUAGUGGAAACUAGUGCAGAAAGUUCCUACUCUCAACUAAUGAAUGCUAGCAAUUAUACUUAUUGAUCUUCUUGUGAUGUUGUAGGAGCACCCUGGGAUCAGCAAGAAUGACAGAAAGAGAAUUUGCUGUCUGAUGGAUUGCAAGAAGCUCUCAGUUGAUGCAUGUACACAUGCCGUGCAAAACGAGAGACUUCCAUCACGUGUUGUCGUACAAGUUCUCUUCUUUGAGCAAGUCAGGGCCAAUGCAUCAUCGGGGAGCAGCACUCCGGAUCUUCCCAAAGCUAUUAGAAACCUCACUAGUGCUUCAUAUGCGAGCUCAAGGUCAGCGACAACAAAUACAGAGAAUUCGGAGGUUACAGCCUCUGCAGAAGAACUGAGGGCUUUGAAAGAAGAGCUGGCAGCCUUAAGAUUGGCAAAUGGAGGACUAAAUGGCGAUACCAAACGUCACGUUGACAAGGCUGCCAAUGGUAGAAUGAAAAGUAUACUUUCAUCAAAGAAGAUCUUUACAAAAAUUUGGUCAAGCAAAGGCAGGAAACAAGGGGAAAAUAGUGGCUCAGAUUCAUCUGACAGCUUGGAAGAAGCUAAGUACACACCUUCAAGAAAAGGAAGAUAUUCAGUUUCUUGAUCCUAACUUAGUACCAGAAAAUGUAGUCACUAGUAUUGGUGGGUCUUUUCUUUUCUGGGAAUUCUUUCUUUCUUUCUUUUUUCCUCCUAGACUAGAGUUUUCCUUAAAUGACUUUAGCAUGUCAAAAACUAUAGUCAUCUUAGUUCUUAUUUGUUUUCAUUAAAAUUAAGAUGUCUGAAUCUGAAUACACAUUUAAGUUUAAAAUGUGCAUUAUGAUUUAGGUGUUUGAAUCUGAAUACACAUCUAAAUUAUAAAGAUGUUGUAUUAAGAUCUGAAUACUAAAUAAUUAAGAUUGUUCUUUUUAAUAUCUGAAUAUAUAAAAAUUGUCUUUAUUUGAAAUUGAAUACAACAACAACAAUAUACCCCGUGUAGUCCCACAAGUGGGGUUACUUAAAAAAAGAUUAAAUGUAAAAGUCAAUAAAAUACUUAAUUAAUUGAAAAUUAAAUUAACAAAAUAUUUUUUAAAAAUUAUUUGGUGGUGGUGGUGGUUGUUAGUGUCAGGAAUGGUGAUGUUGCGACUGUUAGGAUAUCUCCAGGAUAGCAACCUUAUAUCAUUAGGAGUUUAUUUUCUCUGCUUCUAGACUUCUUAUUAUAUUAGGAGUCUAUCCCCUAUGUAUCUAUUUAAUAUGUACGUGCAUGUUAUAAUUGAAUGAGCAGAGAAAGUGAGAUCUUCUCCAAGACUUACGGUGACUAGUUGAUGGUGAUGGUUGACUAUAGCAGGUGAUGGUGAAGGAUGAUAGUUGUGGUGGACUAAUAGUGAUAACUAAUAGUGAUGAUGAAUUAUAUCAAUGGUUGAAAAUACAUAGUGAAGAUCCAGGGUGAGGAUUUUUAGUAGUGAUUGUUGGUUGUUAUGGUAGUGAUGGUUGAUGAUUGAAAUAGUGGCUAGUGGUGGUGAUAGCUGAUUAUAGUGAUUUACAUUGGUGGUGAUUGUGUAUGUGGAUAGUGGUAGUGAGUGAUAGUAAUUGAUUAUGGUGGGCAAUGAUAGUAGCGGUGAAUAAAUAAAAUUGGGGAACUUGCAUCUUUGUAGAACUUAAUUCUUAAGUAGAUAUCUUAAUAAUAUUACUUUGUUAUAAAUCUUAAUCAUUCAAAUCUAUUCAAACUCAUUCAGUGGUUGUAACGUGAGAAAACUACAUAAUAGUUAAGAUCUGAAUGAUUAAAAUUCAAACCUAAAAAAUACACAGACUUAGACCUCAUUUGCUUUCAUUAAGAUUAAGACAUUUGAAUCUGAAUGUACAUCUGAAUAUUAAGAUGUUCCAUAAAGAUCUAAAUACUUAGUUAGGGCUAUUUAUUUUCUCAAUAUUUGACAUAUAAAAUUUGUAUUUUUUUAAAAAGAAUAAUAUAAAAUUCAAAUAAACAAUAAAUUGAUCUAAUACUAUAUCAAGAAAAUAUUUUUAAAAUUCUAAAUGACAAUUGGUGGCAGUGAUGGUUGAUUAUGGUGAUUGUGUGUGUCGAUUUGAAAUGAUGCUAAUUGAUGGUGGUUGUGGGUAGUAUCUUAUGGUAUAGUGAUUGGCCGUAGUGAUUAAUCGUGAUUGUUGGUGGCGACAACUGAUAAUUAGUAGUGGAAUGAUACUAAUAGCUAAUGACGAUGAUGGACCGGGAAGGACCAGUAAUUAAAUGUGAAGAUGGAUGAUGAUUUCAUUUUAAAGAUUAUUUUGACUAUUAUCAUUUUUGUUUUAUUAGUUGUUACAUUUCUCAAAUAGUAAAUAUAAUAUAUAUUUUUUAUAUUAUUGGUUAUUAAUACCUUUCUCAAAUAAUAAUUAUAAUAUUUUUUUCUAUGUUAUUGGUUAUUUAUUAUAAUUUAUUUGUAAAAUCAUUUAAAGUUUUACUUUUGCUUAUUUUCUUAGUAAUAAAAUUAUAAAAUUUAAUUCACAUGAGAUGUACGCCUCUAUUCUUGACGUGAACGGCCGCUUUCUUGGAACUCAUUCAUAUGCACUAAUGGGCCCUGUAGAUCCAUGUGACCUAUGCCUCGCCCCGUACUACAUAAAAGGACUCGUCUCGCGGCCCCGCCUUUUAAAACUCCCUUCAAAGAUCAUAGUAGCUCCAUCAUAAAUUUUCAUUUAGAUAAUGAUAAGAAAAUUUCGUAAUAAAAUAGAAAAUAUUUUUAUUUCUUUAUCUUUUUCGAAUUGAAGUAGAAUAAACAUGUAAUAAUAAACAGGAAAUAAAUAAUAUAUUUAUUUGGAAAAAAGGAUAAUUUUGAUCUAUUUCUUUGUUUUUAUUCAAACUAUUGACAAUAAAAGACAUGUUUUAAUCAAACUAUUAACUGAGUACUCCAUCGGUCCCUAAUUACUUUUUAUGGGAUACAUUUAUAAAAAAAUUUGGGUACAAAAACUAAUCCCAAGUGUUGGAGCAAGUUAUGUAGUCCAACAUGAGUUGUGGUGUAGUAGUGGGACUUUGUUGGGAGCGCCACCUCUGAAUAGGCCUGCAGUUCGCAAUUCAGAUUUAGUCGGAGCUUUAAUGUGGAUUUCGAACACCGAAUGAAAAACAAAAAAAAAAGUUAUAUAGUCAUUGAUCUUAAAAACCCUUAAAAGUGGUCCAUUUAUAGGAGCGGAAGUCGCUAUUUUUGUAUCCAAUAUCAGUGUAUCCCUAUUUCAACUUCGUUCCUGCCCUUCAGGUAUCAAAAUCCCCAAUUACUUAUCGACAAAAUCGUUUUUGGUUUCUCGAAGAAAUUCUUUUUAAUCAUUAUCGUGGGAGUUUAAACCGAUCUCUAAUUUGUUUGUUAACAAGUGUGCCUGAAAUUCUGAAUGGAUACAGUGGAUUGUAGCUGAUUCCAUCUUCUGAUAGAACCCAAAACCUUAGCAAUAGGUAUCUUUACUUUGAUGUGCAAUACUUCUUAGGCUUGUUGGCAUCAUUGCCAGUAAUGCUUUUCUAGGGGUUUAGCCGUUUUCUUAUAGUGUCUUGCUUUUGAUUACACUAUCACUUGUUGAUUGUGUUUAGGUUAUCACAUUAGUUUGUGGUUGUUACUUUUCCUUAUUAGUUGCUUUGUUUUUGUUUUCCCUUUUUCAUUAUUUUGAUAUGUUGUACUUGAGCCGAGGGUCCUCUCUAAAUCUGAGGUAGGGUAUGAUCUGCGUACAUUCUACCCUUCCCAGACCCACUUAUGGGAUUUCAUGGGAUAUGUUGUUGUUGCGUUGGAAGUAAUGCUUUUGUAUGUGGGCUUGAAAUCUAUCGUUUAGCUUUCCAAAUCUUAACUCUUCUUUACCUUUUUGUUUGUUUAUCUUGUUAUCAACUUUUGUUGGAUUUACUCUUUCUAUUAUACCAAAAUCGAUAUCAUAUAAUAUAUUUCUUAUAUCUUUUGGUGUCAUAUUUUUUUCUUGCCUGUUCCACUUUACUUGUUUUAGAGUGCUUUAACUUUACUUUGCUGCAGUCUGGUGCUGUGUUACAUGCUCCUCUUCUUCUUUUUUUCAUGUCAUUCAACUCUUAAGUGUGAUGCUCUUCUUUUCCCUAAAAAGAUUCAGACAAUUGAUUGAUAAUUUCCGAGUCUUCUUUUCUGUUCAGAUUUCAUUGAAAUAGCAUUUCAAAGUCUUCUAUAGCUGAUGCAAAAUUAUGCUGUCCCUUAGUUAAAUUUGUCAAAUGUGGCUAACAUAAUCGUAUUUCGUCAAUCCAGAUCCAUGGCAACUGGAACUUCUUCAUCGUCUUUACUUCCUAUUGAUGAAGAAGAUGAGAUAUUGAUGCUAUACGGGUCCGAAUCAGGUUGGGUUGAGGCCAAAACUCACUGUGAUCACCUGGCUUCUUUGUCAUCUGAUCUCACCCAUAUUCCAACUCCUGAUACUCCUUGCAACAGGUUCAUCUUGUUACAACCCUAUAUUUUCUUCUCCUUUGCAAACUCCUAGAGACCCGUACAUAUGAUAUUAUAUUGUAUGGUAUUACUGUACUUCCUGUCACACUAAGUUGUCAAGUGGUACAUUUGUCUUUGUUUCAUUUUAUUUCCUUCUUUUUUGAGCUUGUAAUGAGAUUAAUUUGUGUUAAUUGUUUUAUGCAAUAAGUAGUCUAAUAAGCAUUUUAUUUCUUUUAGACUUUCAAUGUUUAGCUAUUCAAAACUUGUUUCUAGAUUAAAGUAUCACGAAUUAACAAUCAUGUUGUUAUGGUAUUUUUUCCCCUUUCAAGCACCCCAUAGUAGGCGCUAAACACUCCUUUGCGUCUAGGACCUUACAUCAGUUCUCUUUUUGUGGUGAUGUUACUAAUUUACACCAAAUAUAAGGAAUAGAGAAUGUAUGAAAUGUUAGCAUGCUGUGUUACCCGGACUCAUCAAAAAUGUCAUCGGGCGUGUGUUGGAUCCUUCAAAAGUAAUGCAUUUUUGAAGGAUCCGACACAGGUGCAACAACAUUUUUGGAGAGUCCGAGCAACUUAGUUAGCAAGUUCCAAUUUGAGAAGUUCAAAAACAUGAAAAGAGAAUAAAAAUGGACUGAUUUCAAGGUUGAAUAAACAUAUUUAGAGUACUUUUUCUUUAUCUUUUAAGAAGGAAAUGUAAAUUUUAUACAUCAAUAUCCUUUUGGUUCUAAAUUAUAUGUUUCGCAUUGUGCUAUUUCAUACGCAUUACUGUAUGUCCUUACGGAACUUGCUGGUCAGUCCACUCUCAGUUCUGUAGUUUUUAAGUCUGUAUAUUGGAAUUAAUAGUCCAUUCAUUGGUUUGGUUUUCAGAUAUCACAUAGGCAUUUAGCGAUCUGAUACACUUCCACCCAUUUGUAUAGAUGUUUCUAGUUAUUCCAGACAAGGAAGGACUGGUUUUAAUUUACUUCGCUUGACUUCGUUAUUAGACCUACUAUACCUGUGAGAAUUAGCUGUAAAUGGUUAUGGAAUUUCUUGUUGGAAGGAAAACAAUUUGGUGACAUUGUGCAAAAACCUUUUUGAAGGUGCCAACAUCCAGCAGAGAACUGGCUAUGUUUGUGUUGCAAGGAGGUUCUUUGCAGUCGAUUUGUUAAUAAGCACAUGCUCGAGCAUUACAAGCUGACCGAUCACUCUUUAGCCCUCAGCUUUAGGUAACUUUUGUGAGACAAGACGUCAAUAUCUUUCAUCAUUUUAGUCGUCACAUCUUUGAGCUGAAGAUACACAUGUUUAUGGAUUUCCUUUUUUUUUUUUUUUUCUGGAGCAGUGAUCUAUCAGUAUGGUGUUUCUCCUGCAAUGCGUAUUUAGAUGCCCAAGUUAUAAUGCCGUUGCAGUCUGUUCAUUUCACUGCCUACGUACUGAAGUUUAAUGAGCCUCCACCUUUACGAGCAGUGGAGUGUGUACAUAUUACAGAUAACAGAGCAGACGGUUCUUCUACUUCUGGGAAGUAAUUUUUUCAUCUUCUCUUUGAUGCCUGUGAUGUUAGGCUGUUUAAAAAUUCUCUUCAAACUGAUUUCUCUAUAGGAAAAUGGUUUAGCAAAAACCAAUUUGGAUCAUGGUGUUUUUAUCUAGAUAUUGGCACAUUAACCUCUUAUUUCUGUGCUUCGUAAGCAAAAUAGUUUCUUGAGGUAUGCACCAUUUCGCGUAAGAAUAAUAACAAUGUAAAAUCUGUUUGUACUCUUAGGGAAAUAUAAUUAGAGUUUAGAACUCUGGCUGCUGGUAAAAAUUGGGUUGCCCUCAACUCUGGACAUCUUUGUUAAAGGAUUGGAAAAUUGACUCAAGAAGAGGUUAUUAAGUACUUGUGUAAAGUGGAUAUGAUUAUACUUUUCAAAAUUUCAAAGGGAUAAAAAACGGAAAUUGAAGUGAGCUCAAUUCACAUUCAAUUUAUACUAUUACUGUGUGUUAUGCCAAUAAAAAUAUUGUAUACAAAAACAUAUCCAAUCUCAUUAUUGAUCAAUCCAUAACGUUAAGAUUAGGUUGAACUCUGCUAUAAAAAGUUGCUACUCAAGUUUUGAUAAAUUAGCAAAACCUCGGAUCUUCUAAUUUGGAUAAAAUUAGAUAACUUGCCAAUUUUUUUUAUUUCGUAUGAGAACUUCAGUAAUAAUUUGUCAGAACCCAAAAAUUAACAUGAUGUCACUUGUCUAUUCUCAUCAAGCCAAGUCAGUCUCAACCCAAUGAAAUAAAAGAAAAAGGGAAAGAUAAUGCAAAAACAACAUAAAAGCGAAAAACUUAUUCUUUCUAUUAACACACCAAAACCUGGUUGUCACGUGUACAAGUCACUAAUACAUAAGUGCAAAAUUAAUAAAUAAGUACAUAUCUCAACUCUUUGUUUCUCAAAUAGAAUAAAGCAUAAAAAGAAGAACUAGAGGGUCCGCCAGGAUGACAAACAACUACCUCUCAACAAUUCUCUGACAAGCCUCGAAGAUGGAGAGAAAGAGCGAUCACAUGAUACUGGGCUUGGAACCUAUACAAGUGCAGAAGCAAGGGGUGAGUACCAACAACAUGGUGUUCAACAAGCAACCUAAUAAACGAAGCAACUUAAUUAGAAAACGAAUACUCCUUUCAUCCAAACCGAACCUCCUAAAACUACAACAUGCACAUAAAUUAGUCAAACCUAACAGUUCUAGAGUGACAACUCACAAGUUUCAAUAAGGGAAAAAUAUAUAUAAUAGCAAACUAUUAAUUCAAAUUAAAUGUUAUAAAUAUACUUUGAUUUAAUUGUACCCUAUAGCAAACUAUUGUUAUUUUCGCCACUCUCCCUGGUGGAAUCUCGUUCGCCACUCUCGUUUGGUGGCAGUCUCGCUCGCCUCUCUCGCUUUUAUCAAAUCAAAUGUAUAAAAUGCGUUUGUGUUUGUAUAAAGAGAGAGAAAAUUGUAUAUAUACAUAUAUUUUCGUUCCCCUCUCUCCCCCUCUUUUAGAUCUCACUCGCCACUCUCCCGAAUCUCGCUCGCCACCCUUGCCUCUCUCGCUUAUACAAACAGAAACGAAAUGUAUAAAUUGCGCUUCUGUUUGUAUAAAGUGAGAGAAAAUUGUAUAUACACAUGCAUAUACAUAUAUCUUCGUCCUAUACACUUAUAAUUAUACAAUACAAAUAUUUCCCUGCCCAGUUUUCUUUUGCCUUUCUCUCUUUCUUGUUUUAUACAUACACAGAUUAUACAAUUGAUCUUUUGUAUACAACUGCUUUCUUUUGUAUAUGUAUAGCGAAAUAUACAUAUUUAUGUUUGAUAUGGAGCGCAAUUAUAUUAUACAACUGCUUUCUUUGUAUAUGUAUAGCGAAUUAUACAACUGCUUUCUUUGUAUAUGUAUAGCGAAUUAUACAUAUAUAUGUUUGCUAUGGAGCGCAAUUAUGCAAACUUUGUUAUAACAUACAAAUAUGAAUUUUGUGUUUGCUAUAUGCGAAAGUUGUUCUUUCAAUAAUCACAGUCCAAUCACAAUUUCACAACCAACACGUAUCAAGUAAGUCAAUCUCAAUGUCAGGUAGAGUCAAUCACACGUAGCAAGUGCAUCAAUCACAAUUAACAAGUCAAACAUAAGCAUCAAAACACAUCAAAUCACAAUAAUCAAUCUCUUGCCGGAACUAUUUUCCUUCAACACAAUAUCACUAGUCGGAACCAUUUUCCAUAGGUUUUAUAUCAAAUCACUAGCCGAAACCAUUUCCAAUCGACUUUAUAUCACUAGUCUAAACCAUUUCCCGUUGUCUUUAUAUCAUAUCACUAGUCAGAACCAUUUUCCAUCGAUUUUAUAUCAUAUCACUAGCCGAAAUCAUUUCCCAUCGGUUUUAUAUCAUUUCACUAGUCGAAACCAUUCCCGCCGGCUUUAUAUCAUAUCACUAGCCAGAACAAUUUCUCAUCGGCUUUAUAUCAUAUCACUAGGCAGAACCAUUUCCCAUCGACUUAAUAUCAUAUCACUAGCCGAAACUACUUCCCACCGACUUUAUAUUAUCUCACUACCCGAAACCAUUUCUCAUUGGCUUUAUAUCAUUUCUAUAGCCGAAAUCAUUUCUCAUCGAUUGCGUAUCACAAGUCUCAUCACGGUGUACAACAAUCAAUGCACAUAGCAAGUUCACACUAUAAGGAAGAGGCAACGAUUCAAGCAAUUCAAGUUCACAUUCAUGUUAUCAAGCACUUCAUCAAUCAAUCAAAUAAGGGUCACAACAAGGCAAUUCACAAAACAUUAUGAUCAGCACAUAAUCUUUUCUUUAAUUCCCUUUUUAUUCAUUACGAUUUAUCAAGUGGAACAAUGAAUCCCUCACCACAUACCCAUUACUCCUAACACACACACACAAUGAAGGCAAUACACAAAUUCUACUAAAUUACAAGGUUUAGGAGAUGACUUGCCUUAAUUUAACCAACUAGUCACUCCAAGACUUGAGUCUUCUUUUUUCGACCAAUGUCUAAAGCCACACAAUCUAUAUCAAUCAAGUAUUCACAAUAAAUUUCCGAAAACAACAAUACCCAACUCAUAUACUUUGAAAAAUGAGUCAAUACACAAAAUCCAAUUCCGAAAAUGAAGUUUGAAUUCGAAAUUCUUCACUUGAAAUCAUUACCCAAUGCAGUUGGAACUUAUUGGUGAAAAUCAUUUCAAAAAAGGACUUAAAAUCAAUUCACAAUCUCCAUUUUAGUUUAGAACUUGAGUUCUUGAAAAACCUUGUCAUUUGUCAAUAAAAAUCCCAAAUUUUACUGUUGAAAUCCAUAAAUGAUCAAAGGGAGAUGAAGUUCUAGGAUUACAAAAGCUUACCCAAAUGAUUUAGCCCAAGAAAUCCUUUCAAAAUUGCCACCAAAGAUUUUGCCAAGCUCAAAACUAGAAAAAUGGGAUUUAAUCCCCGAAAUUUUCAAACCAAAAACCCUCUCUUAUGUCGCUUAAGCGGAUGCUAUAAAAAUUGGGGGUCUUGCUUUUGCGAACCAGGCUUUGCUUAAGCGACCACCGCUAAAGCGAGCCCUGAUCCGCUUAAGCGAACCACGCCCAAAAGCUCAGUUACGCUUUUGCGAGCCGACCUUCGCUAAAUUGAAGUUCGUAAAAGCGAAGGCCCUCUGCAAGAGCGACGAUGCAGCACCAGAAACAUUAGUCAACACAAAAUCAUUGAAAGGACCCUCAUAAUUUGUUCGAAAUCCUGUACACACAAACCACACAUGCAAAUCGAUUAUACUCGAUGUUUCGGACUCAAUGGAACAGUUAAAAUACGAAUCUGAGGUCUCCUUGAUCUGACAUACAUGAAGACCACAAUAAACUAAUAUAACGCCUAAAACGGCUAAAACAAGAUUCAGACCUCUCAAAAAUUAACCAAGACCUCACCUAGGUCUAAAAUCAUCCCUCGAAACCAAUGGAACUCUUGGAAUCCAGGUCCGAGCAUCUGAACCCUGAAUAUUGACUAAAGUUAGCUCAAAGGCUAAAUUCUCAACAAUUUCCAACUUAGGGUCUCAAAUUCUCAAGAAGACUCCAAAUCUAAAACCAACGACUCUCACUAAUCAGAUUCCACAUUUCUGAACUGAUGGAAUCGACAAAAUUUCAUUCCCACACUCGAAAUUUCAAACGACACUGAAAACCACUUUUUAAAACAAUAUUAGUCUUUCAAACUCAAAUCUUACUUAAAAUUGAGUUUGGAGAAUUCUAUAAACAUAAUGAAAUAGAGAAUUCAUCUUUAUCUAAAUAAUUUUUUUUUAUCAAUUAUAUAUAGUAUAAAUACACUGUAAUUAGAAUAUGAAUUAAGGGUUAAACAUAUUUAAACUAUCCAGUUUUUAUAGUUUCAUACCUAAACUAUUGAAAAUGUGAGUUUUCUACCUGAACUAUCACCAAUAGUUAGCAAAAUACAUUUAGACUAAUUUCUAAUGUUGUGUGUACACUCUCUCUUUUGUUUAAAAAUUAUGUCUCGUGACACUCCACGUGAAAAAAUAAUUUUAUCGUGUAAAAUUUAAAUAAAUUAAUAUUAGGGUAAAAAUUAAAAUGAUCAUCGUAUAAAUUAAUUUAUUCCUAUCGUGAUGUCCAACAUCUUCUUCUCUACCUUCUUAGUUGUGGUCUCGCUUCUACCUUGGCAUAUAUAAACAAUAAUUUUUUAUGCUUAUAGCAUCAAUAUUCGCAUAUGUGGAAAAUAUGUAUUACUAUAUAUAAUAAGUGGGAAUUAGAGGAGUUUGAGGUCAAGUUUCUCAAUUUACAAAGAGAGGAACUAAGUUUCUUUUUAUUUCAAAGCUGACCCACCUACUUUAGUUCCUUUUUAUCACAAAGUUGGCCCACCUUCUUACAAAUGCAUUAUAAAAUUGUGUCUCCUCUAAUUCCUACUUAUUAUAUAUAUUUUAUUUUUAUUUUAAUAUUUUUAUUUUUAAAUAGUUACUAUAUAUAAUAAGUGGGAAUUAGAGGAGCUUGACGAGAGAGAGUUGCUAAGCACCCCUCACUUCCAAUUCGAAGGUUACGAGUUCGAGUCAUCAAGAGAGCAAAGAGCGGUGGGAGAGCUCCUAGGGAGGGUUAAAAAAAAAGGAAUUAGGGUAGCUUGAGGUCAAGUUUCUCAAUUUACAAAGAGAGGAACUAAGUUUCUUUUUAUCUCAAAGCUGGCCCACCUACUUUAGUUCCUUUUUAUCACAAAGUUGUCCCACCUUCUUACAAAUGCAUUAUAAAAUUGUGUCCUCUAAUUCCUACUUAUUAUAUAUAUAUAUAUAUAUAUAUAUUAUUUUUUUUAUUUAUUAUUAUUUUUAUUUUUAAAUAGUACUAAAAAUAUUACAAUUUGGUUAACUUUCGAAAUUUCACUCAUACUGUUUAAUUGGGACGAAGGGAGUAAUAUAUAUUAUUUGAAAAUUACAUAAAAAUACCAUAAAUCAUACUAAUAAUUAACAACUUACAAUAUUUGAGAAACAUAUUCACUCUCAAAAUUUCACAUGUACCACAUAAAUUGAAACAAAUGGGGUAACGUAUAUUAUUUGAAAAUAGUAUUAUUACUAUACUCUAUUAAUAAGUGGGAAUUAGAGGAGCUUGAGGUCAAGUUUCUCAAUUUACAAAGAGAGGAACUAAAUUUCUUUUUAUCUCAAAAUUGGCCCAACUACUUUAGUUCCUUUUUAUCACAAAGCUGGCCCAUCUUCUUACAAAUGCAUUAUAAAAUUGUGUCUCCUCUAAUUCCUACUUGUUAUAUAUAUUUUGUUUUUUUAGUUUAUUUUUAUUUUAAUAUUUUUAUUUUUAAAUAGUACUAAAAAUAUUACAAAUUUGGUUAACUCUCGAAAUUUCACGCAUACUGUAUAAUUGGAACGACGGGAGUAACAUAUAUUAUUUGAAAAUUACAUUAAAAUAUCAUAAAUCAUACUAAUAAUUAACAACUUACAAUAUUUGAAAAACAUAUUCACUCUCAAAAUUUCACAUGUACCACAUAAAUUGAAACAAAUGGGGUAACAUAUAUUAUUUAAAAAUUACAUUAAGAAUACUAUUAAUCACAGGAACUAAGUUUCUUUUUAUCACAAAGUUGGUUCACCAACAUUAAAACCUCUAUAAAUUAAUAUAGGUGGGACCAUGAAAUUUUAUUAUUUUAUAGAGAUAUUAUUUAAUCAAUAAAUUAAUAUUUAUUAAUUUAAAGAAUGGUUUGAGAUUUAACAAAGGUUAAUUUUGAUUAUAUCAAAAUCAUUGUAUUUUACUAAUUUAUGUAUUAUAUUUAUUGAUUUCAUAUAAAAAAAAUUAUACAUAAAGUACAACAAAUUAAUACAUCAAAAUCAUUAUAUCUUACUAAUUUAUGUAUAAUCAUGCAAACAAAAGGCAUGGAUGACAAGUGUGCUUUUUGAUGAAUAUAUUUGUUGGUUUGACCACAAAAUGCAUGGUAGACGAGUUUUGCUUAUGGUAGAUAAUUGUUCAGCCCAUAAUAGAAAUAUUGAAGGACUACAAAAUGUUGAAUUGUUUUUCUUUCCACCCAACAUGACAUCCAAAAUUCAAUCUUGUGAUGCUGGGAUAAUAAGAGCUUUCAAGAUGUAUUAUCGUAACAGAUUUUAUCGUAGGAUAUUAGAAAGCUAUAAAGUGGGACAAACUGAUCCAACAAAGAUUAAUGUUUUGGAUGCUAUCAAUUUUGCAAUCCCUGCUUUGACAACAAAUGUUCAACAAGAGACAAUAUCAAAUUGUUUUCGACACUGUAAUUCGUUUGGGGAAUGCAAUCUUAGAGAAUUUGAAUGAAUCCACUUGUGAAAAUAUCAUUCAUGAACUUGAGGUCAUGAUUAAUGAUCUCGGUUACCACAAUAAAAUUGAUGUCAAUAACAUGUUGGAUUAUUCGGGUGAAAGUGAUACAUGUUCAGAGGUCCAAAACUUAAAAGAAAUUGUGGAUACCAUCGGAAAAAACAAUGUUGAUGAUGAAGUUGAAGUUGAUACUAUAUCUUUGGAUCCAGUUAUUGGUAAAUAAUCACUUAUCGCAUCUAGAUUUUUUCACAAUUUUAUGAUGCAGUUCAAAAAGACAAUAACAGAACUCUUGGAUGCAAUAAGAAAAGUUAGAGAUGAGCUUCAACUAGAUUUGAAUUUUAAGGGAAAAAACAGAACACAAUAGAAUCAUAUUUCACUAAAUUGUCUUAGAUAUAUUUGUAAUUUUUAAGAAUUAUUAAUUUAUGAUAUUAGUGGAACCAUAUAUUUAUAUAGGGUCUUCUGAAAAUAUAUUAUCUUAUUAUCUUAUAUAGCAUAUAUUAUUUGAAAAUUACGUUAAGAAUACUAUUAAUCACAUGAACUAAGUUUCUUUUUAUCACAAAGCUGGUCCACCUGUACUUACAAAUGCAUUUAUAAAUUUGUGUUGUUGGCUGGCCAAUUGACCGGUUUGCCCUUAUUAUUUUAUUUUUUAGAAUUUAUUUUUAUUUUAAUAUUUUCCUUUUUAAAUAGUACUAAAAAUAAAUUUAAAAUAUUACAAAUUUGGUUAACUCUCAAAAUUUCACGCAUACUGUAUAAUUGAGAUGGGGUAACAUAUAUUAUUUGAAAAUUACGUUAAGAAUACUAUUAAUUGCAACUUAAAGUAUUUAAAAACAUAUGAAUUAGAACAGCUUGGGAUCAAAUUUCAAAAUUUACAAAGAGGGAAACUUGCUUUAGGUACUUAGGGUCAAGUUUAGAAAUUUAUAAAGACGGGAACUAAUCUGAAAUUUAACCUUCAUAUACUACUUUAUCUAAUUUGAUGGUUCUCUUCAUUAAACAACAAGUGUGUAGUGUUGUCUUUCGCUUCACUUUCCCUAAAAAUAUUUUUUAAUUUAAAACUCAAACAAUCUCAAAUUUAAAUUAAUAUUGAUAAUUUAGAAAAAUGUGAAACUUUUGAAAUUUCAUAUGCACUACAUAAAUUGAAAAAAAAAGUAACAUAUAUUAUUUAAAAAUUACGUUAAGAUUUAUAAAUCACACAUAUAAAUAAUCAAAUAAAGUAACAAUUAUUGGCCCGUGAUUGCACAAGCUCAUUGUAUCUAGUAUAUUAUAAGCAUAUAUUUUAUAAAAAUAAAUAUGUACAUUAUUUUUUUUAAAAAGGUGUCCUAAUUGACAUGGGAUACUAGGAAAAUAUAGGGAGGAAAAUUUAUAUUUGUGCCCUGAAACCCAUAAACCUUGUUUUGGUUGAGAGCUCCAUGGACACGGAGAUGGGCGGCGCUGAAUCGAAGAAGCCAAUUUGUGCAGAAGAAGAAGAAGAUCCAUGGAAGAGGGAGUUGCCACAGAAAUACUUGGCGAAUGAGAAUCUGUGGAAUGACGACGAUUUUAUCCCCAAAACCGCUUCAAAGGAUAAUCGUGAUUUGUUUCGCAAAAUUUAUGGAAGAUACUUCCGUCAGAUUCUCCAAUCCGAUGUUUGUCUCCCUUUACUUAUCCGAAUUAUUGCUCCAUAAGUUGUUUAAUUGGGGUUGAAUUUCAUGGGAGUUGUUUUCCCCCUUUUUCGUAGGGUGUUUAUUUGGGGCUAGCAUGAUAUUGUGAUUAUGAUAGGACCUAGAGAAAUAAAAUUGAGUGAUUAGACUUAUACUUGCAUAUUUCAUAAUCUAAAUCCCUGUAUUUCAUCUAUGCAUCUCUACCUCGUCGAGGCAUUGCUAAGGCCUGCGUGCACUCUAUCAUCCCUGGGUGGGAUGGCAUUGUGGGAUUUCACUGGGUUUGUUGUUGCAAUAUAUGAAAUUCUCACAAUCAGAAUUGCCAUAGUUACUUAUUCUCUGUUUGUUCUUUACAACUCUUUCUCUUCCGCAGACGUUAUAGAUGUCCCAUGCUUGUCUGACCUGACCUAAUUCAGAACAAACUACAAUUUGAAUGCUUUGAGUAGCCUUUUAGCCAACUCAGGUCUGUCUAGGGGCACUUUUACCCAUAAUGUAUGUUAGAGUAACAAUUCUUAGCCUCUGCUAAUGGACCAAAUACUAGAAGAGAAUUUUCGCUUUGGAUUUCUUUACCGGAUUGAAUAUCAACUUUUUUCGCUUUCACUUGCUUUAACUUACCGUCUAUAAUAUAAAAUCUGGGACAGUUCAUCAUGUACCAUUCAAUUAGACCUCUCCUUUUGUUACAGCUUGGAUAUGACUUAUGAGUUCAUGACUUAUUGGCUUAUUUGACAGGGUUUCGACAUUGACAUUUAUCCUGGUGAUGCUAAGGCAGCUAUGUACAUACCAUAUCUGGAUUUUGAGAAAGAAACUGACUUGCUGAUGGAAUUGGCUAACCAUGCUAUUCAGGAUUACAACAAUAACGAAACCAAUGUAUGACUCUGUUCCUCUUUGCUUUGUGUAAAUAAUAUCCCUCAAACCCUCAAUGACGUUACAAUAUUUUCUCUAUGCCUUGCAGGUUUACAAGUACAAAGUUAACUAUGUUGAAACAGUGAACUUUAUUUUGGCUGAAUGUCGUGAAUUUUUCAUGACUGUUAAAGUUAGUAACCUGACUUUGCGUACACCGAUUGAAACUUUUCAAAUCCAUGCAUAUAAAGGACCACACGAGGAGAAUGUUGUCCGUCUUUGUAGAAAAAAGACGUUGAGAUGAUGAGGUAUUCAAUUUCCUCCCAACUUUUUUCUUUUCAUUGUUUGUGUGAGGGGUAAAAACAAACCAUAUUUACCUAUACUUGGUUGCUAAUUUACCUUGGUUUGUUUUUUCUCGACUAUUUUGCAGUUGGUUUAUCGGCUAAGCUAAAUUGGAGGAGGCUAGGAAAGAUAGUUGAAACUAUAGUUUUUUAAAUCUUAGAUCGAACCGGUUAUUAUUAAUUAGUUGUAGAAGUAUUUGAUAAAUUUUUAGACGUUGUCCAAUUUAUGUAGUGUUACGUAUAUUGUUCUAGUUUUUUUGAAAUGCAUGAUCAUUCACUAGUCUUUGUGGACAUGGAUGAAGAAAUCAUCUAAGGGAUCUAUACUAAUGGAAUUGUUUACAACUAGACAUUGUGCACAAUUGUCAAGGAGAUACUUACAAUUAAUGGUUGAAGGAAAUAUAUAUAAAAAUUAAAAAAUCAAUAUCGAAAUUUUGGCUUUAUAUAAUAAAAGGACUCUCCUUUCUUUUUUAACAACAUUUUAGUUUUUAAAGCUGUUAAAUUUUUGUAAAUAUAUUUGACAUAACUUUAAUUUAAAAUUAUAAGAUUAAUUUUUUUUUAUUUUUUUUAAACUUGGUACUAAAUUUAGGUCCUUAUAUUUUUAACCAAACGGAGGGAGCAAGUGCAUUAGUCUAAUACGUGUGCACAAGUCAAGUCUCCAUUCAUUUUAUGCAAGCACGUGCAGUAAGCAUAUUCUCAGUUUGACUAUGUCCAGUUUUCAAUCCAAGAAAAGACUAUGUCCAGUUUUCAAUCCAAGAAAAAAAAAAAGAUGGGAUAUUUUAGAUGAUUGAAAAAUUAUUUUACAUAUGAUUUGUUGCACCCAAAUCCAUUCCAUAGAAUUCGGAUCUCCAGAUUUACUAUCUUGAUGUUGGUGGGUUGACUUUUUGUUUCUCUCCCCCACCUCGAUGAGGGAAAUGGUGAAUGAUAUCAAGAACACUGCAAAUGACAAGAAAAAUCCAAAAUUAACUUUAUUACCUCUUAUUGCUCUCAUUUUCUAUGAUGUUUCAGGUGGACCUUUUGGUAUUGAAGAUUCAGUUAAAGCAGGUGGUGGCCCUUUAUUACCUUUACUUGGUUUCUUGAUUUUCCCUUUAUUAUGGAGCAUACCUGAAGCUCUAAUCACAGCUGAAUUAGCCACAAGUUUCCCUCAAAAUGGUGGUUAUGUCAUUUGGAUAUCAUCAGCUUUUGGCCCCUUUUGGGGUUUUCAAGAAGGGUUUUGGAAAUGGUUUAGUGGUGUUAUGGAUAAUGCUCUGUAUCCGGUACUCUUCCUCGAUUACUUGAAGCAUUCUUUACCCAUAUUUACUCAUCUAAUUGCAAGAAUUCCGGCUUUGUUAGGAAUUACAGUUUCGUUGACAUAUAUGAAUUAUAGAGGACUGCAUAUUGUUGGUUUUUCGACUGUUUUGCUUGCAAGUUUUUCGCUUUUACCCUUUUUAGUAAUGGGGAUUCUAUCGAUUCCUAGGAUUAGGCCAAGAAAGUGGUUUGUUGUGGAUUUUAAAAAGGUUGAAUGGAGGGGAUUCUUUAAUAACAUGUUUUGGAAUUUGAAUUAUUGGGAUAAGGCUAGUACUGUAGCAGGGGAGGUUGAAGAUCCUAGUAGAACGUUUCCAAAGGCGUUGCUCGGGGCUGUGGUUUUGGUGGUUUUGUCUUACAUAAUUCCACUUCUUGCCGGUACAGGAGCGUUGAAUUCUAAUCCUAGUGAGUGGAGUGAUGGUUAUUUUGCAGAAGCUGGAAUGCUUAUUGGGGGUUUAUGGUUAAAAUGGUGGAUUCAGGCUGCAGCUGCAAUGUCUAAUAUGGGGUUGUUUGAAGCUGAAAUGAGUAGUGAUGCCUUCCAACUUCUUGGGAUGAGCGAAAUCGGAAUGCUUCCGUCUAUAUUUGCUUCAAGGUUUGACAAAUUUUCAAUUGAUACUUUGAAUAUUACAAGCUAGAGAUUUUCCUUGUGUGACUUAGUGAUAUUCAACUGAGGUAGAUCAUAAUCAUCAAACAAUGAACUCCUGUUGUCCCAAUUGACGUGGCACCCUUUUUCUUUUAGUCUAUCUCAAAAAGAAUGUCAUCUUUUUAUAACUAGAAACAACUUCCACACAAAUGUCCAAGGUUUGUUUUAGACCACAAAUUUCAAAAGUUUAUCACCUUUCUUUUUUAAAUUUUGGGUCAAGUCGAAACGGUGCUACUCAAAUUGAGACGGAGAGAGUAUUUAAAGAAGAAAAAUCAAGUCUUAGGAGUACCUUAGGAAAGGUGCAGACACAGUAUAAAAAUGAGGACUUGUUAUUUAAGGUUUUCAUAGAUUGAUAUCUGGAUUUAAGUAUAAUGAACAUUACUAAAGGGAAAUAACAAAUUUACAAUUUAGCGUGGUGGCUUUCUUAGUCUAUUAUCACAAGACAAGUUAUUACUUCAAAUCUUGCAGAUCAAAAUAUGGGACACCAACUAUCAGCAUCUUAUGCUCUGCAACCGGCGUAAUCUUUCUGUCAUGGAUGACUUUUCAAGAAAUCUUGGAAUUUCUUAACUUCCUCUAUUCAGUAGGAAUGCUUCUUGAGUUUGCAGCCUUCAUAAAUUUAAGGAUAAAGAAGCCAGAUCUUCAUAGACCUUAUAAGGUCCCGUUGCAAACGGUUGGAGCAACGCUGCUUUGCCUGCCGCCUUCUCUGUUGCUUCUUUUUGUCAUGUAUCUGGCUUCUUUAAAGACGUUUAUAGUAAGUGGCUCAGUCAUUAUUCUAGGGCUGUUCUUGUAUCCUGCCGUGAUGUAUGCAAAGGAGAAAAAGUGGUGUCAUUUUAAUACAAGAGAACAAUUGGGACUUUCUAAUGAUCUUGAGGACCGAUCAUCACCUACUGAACUUGAUCAGGUUGUUGCUGAUGAUGCGUCUCUUAGCCUACUCGGACACUCUAAGACAGUACAAGAUUCUAAAACUUUGUCACAAGAAAUUUCAACAGUGGAUUAGAAGAUACUUCCAUAUUUUGUGUACAUUUAAACCAGAAGGGGGAGCUUUGGUGCAACAAUGUGACCUAGAGGUAAUGGGAUCUCUCAAUCGUGAAGACAGUAGAAAUGCAAGGUAAGAUUGCGUAAAAUAGAUCCAAUCUGAUCCAACCCUUCACUUAGGGACCUUUAUGCACCAGGCUGCCCCUUUUUUUUACCAGAACGGAUUUAUAUUUACAUAGUUCAAGCUAGGAAAGGUAUGCUUUUACAGAAUGAGCCAGACACUAUGGGAGGAAAAGCCCAAUUAGAUUUAUGUAAACUCUUUGAAUACCUUAUAUCUGAUGUGAAACACUACAUAACUUAUCAAUACAAACUCUGUACAUACUUUUGGUACAUCACACCAAUCUGAUUUCACGUAAAUGUUUAAGGGAUCGAGCACACCAGAUUCAUGGCAGCUAACUGGUCUUCAAAUUUCACAUAUUAUUUUCUCUUUAAUAAAAUGUCAAUCUACUUCAACAUGUUUUGUCCUGUCAUGUUGAUCAGGAUUCUGAGCAAUUUGUAUAGCUGAUGACUUGUUAUCACACCACCAAAGAAGUUGGCAAAUUCCCUUUGUGAAUUCUGCCUCUGCGCUAGAAAAAGUCACCACGUUCUAUUUCUUGCUUCUACAAGUCAAAUUAGCUGAUGUUGAUCUUCCAGCGCCCAGUCUGCGUCUGUAUAGCCAUCAAUAUUCAAAUGAUUGUGUUUCUUGAACACAAGUCCUCUUCCAGGAGACGACUUUAAAUCUUGUCAACAAGUUGUGAUACUGAAACCUCCCUUUGUUUGUUGGCAGAUGCUCUUUUAGUCCAUCAUUUUAGACUAAAGUAGUGUCAUCUGCUCUGCAAUUGACCAUUCAUGUUUCUGUCAAUAAGUCAACAACAUUUUCUCUACGGGAAAGGAAAAAUACUUUUGCUACAUUGGACAACCUCUCACUACAGCAAAAACAACCUUUAGUUAACGGUAAUAACUUAAUUUAGUGUCAGCUAGCACUCUUUGUAAAUGUCCUUAAAGCCUAUAGCGACAUUGAAUUCAAUGACAAUUAACUAGUGUCAAUAAAGGCUUCAACACUCUUUGUUAAUGUGUAUUUUUAUUGUCCCGAAAAGUUAUUUUUACUGUAGUGUCUGUCCUAAAAAAAUACUUAAGUCCUCCAAGGUUCUUCAUUUUGAACUUUAUAUGUAGCUAAAUAUCCUUGCAACUUCUUAAUCUCUUUUUUUGUCAUAUCAUCAACAUGGAUAAUUAAGGUUGUCACCAUACUGAUUCUAGAAUAAGGUGUGUGUUCAAUAUUGCUUUGUUUAUAACCUCGUGUCUUCAUGGCCAAGUUAAAGAAAAUUUUAACAUACGCCUUAAAAAAAAACUUUAAUUAGAGCUAAUUGACUUGACACACCUUAAAAAAAUAAUUUAAUUAGACAUAUAUUUUACUAAAUUAAUUUUAUUAAUAAUGUUUUGGAACUUUAUAUUGGACUACUAUUAUUUUUGGUCAUUUAAUACUAAGGAUAACUUGAAAAGGAAGUCUUGAUUUGCGAAAAUGGACAAUUAAAUUAAAAAUUGAUUUUUAGUAAUAAAACAGAGGGAGUAGCAAUAUUACUAAUAUAUUGUAUUCAACACUAUUCUUAUAUUGUUACACACUAUCAAACGACCCCUAAUAGUUUUAGUUAGAUCUAGUAACACGUAUAGGUUAGUUAUUAUCUUGAUGAAUACAUGCGACUUGCGAGUUAGUUUUUACUUUUUGGGUGUGUUUGAUAUGAAGAAAAUUGUUUUUCAAUUUUCUCAUGUUUGAUUGGCUUAAAUAUUUUGAAAAAUGUUUUCCAAAUCAACUUAUUUUCCUCAAUUUAAGGAAAAUGACUUCCCUUUAAAAAGUAACGAAAACAUUUUCCAAAAUUAUUUUGAACCUCACACCUCAACUUUAAAUCCUAACUUAAGUCUCAAGUAUCGAUUUCCAAUACUAAUCCUAGAUAUGACUCAUGAUUCUCGAUUCGACAUCCGACUCUCGACCUCGAUUCAAGAUCCAACUCCAAAAUUUCAAAUUGAGUCGGGGUCAAAUCUCAAGUUAGAAUUAGAGGUUGAGUUUCGAGUUGAGGUUGAGUCUUGGGUCGAGGUCAGGUCUCGGGGUCGGGAUCGGGAUCGGGGUCGAUUCUCGAGUUGGGUGUCAAUGUCAGGUUUUGGGGUCGGGGUUAUGUCUCGUGGCCUGGACUUGGGCUCGGGUCUCGAGUUGGAGUCGGGUCUUAGGUAGGGUCUUGAGUUAGGUAUCAGGGUCGGGGUCGGGUCUCAGAUCACAUGUCAAGGUCAAGGCCGGGGUUGGAUUUCAAGUUGGGGUCGGGGUCAGGGUAGGGUCUUGGGUCGGGGUCAUGUCUUCGGGUUGAGGUCGGGUCUUGAGUCGGGUGUCGGGGUAUGGUCUCGGGUCGGGGUCGGUCUCGGGGUCGGGGUUGGGUCUCGACUCGGAGUAGGGGUCGAGUCUCAGGGUUGGGUCUCGAUUCAGGUAUUGGGGUGGGUUUCGGGGUCAGGGUCGGGUCUUGAGGUCACGGUCAAGUCUCAGGUCAUGGGGUUCAAUCUCGGGUCGGGUGUCAGGUCGCGGUUAGGUCCUGGGUCGGAGUCAGGCGUCGGAUAGAGUGUCAGGGUUGGAUUAUGUUUCAAAAGUUGGAUCUUUAGUCAGAUGUUGGGGUCACUAGUCGGGGUCAGGUGCAGAUGUCUGGAUCAUAUUCCAAUUCGAUCGUCGAGUUUCUAGAGGGAUUAGGUCAUGGGUUUAGUCUUGGGAUAGUGGUCCUGAUUCAGGUCAUGGUCAGGGUCAGGGUCAGGUUUCAAUGCAAAUGCUAAGUCUCAUGUUGGGAAUAAGGAUCAGGUUCUGAAUCGAGUGUUGGGGUCAAGUGUCAAAUCGAUUAUCGGGGUUGAUUUUCACAUCAUAAACUAUUUUCUAAAAAGUAUUUUCUACUCUCUAUCCAAAAAUAAAAGAUACUUUCUGUAAAGUAUUUUUCAUUCACUAAUCAUACACUAGAAAAUAUUUUUUCGGAAAUUAUUUUGUACUACCAAUCAAACAUGAGAAAAUAAGUUAGAAAAUAUUUUCCAGGAAAACUUUUGUCGUGGAAAUCAUUUUCCUUCCUAUCAAAUACACCCUUUACCUUAUAUGAUUCAUGAUUGCAACUUUUCGAGUCCGAAAACUAAAAAUAGAAAUGAACAGGCUAUAGAUUGUAUGAUUGUAGUUUUCGAGCCUAAAACUUAAAAGGAAUAAUUCUAGAGGGUUUUAGUUAACAACACCGGUAUGGAAAAUUUGAAUUUGAAAUUUGAGAAAUAUUAGUAGAUUUUCAACUCUUAAAUGGGAAAGAAAAUAAAUAUGGUAUCUUCUUUUUCCGUAACUAACUACUAAGGGUGUGUUUGGUUUGAAGGAAAACAUUUUCUUCCAAAUCAACUUAUUUUCCUUAAAUUUAAGGAAAAUGAGUUCCUUAAAAAAGUAAGGAAAACAUUUUCUAGACUAGCCCCCAGACCCCAUCACCCAUCACCCAUCAACCCAAAAUAUUUAAAAUUUAUUUUUGAAAAAACUUCAAAUUUUAAAAAUUUCAGUUUGUUUUUGAAAAAUAUUUCAAAUUUUAAAAUUUCAUUUUUUUUUUCAUACUUCAAGUAUGCUCUUAAUUUUGUUGAACCCUCUAAUUAAGCUAAGAUGAAAAGGAAAAGACCAACCGAGCAAGACAAGAUUCAGGUAGAUUUUUUGAAGAGCAUAGGUGAAGUAAAUAUUGAGUGGGUCGAUUGAGUUGUUUAAUAUCAUAUUUAGGACGACUGAAAUGCCAGAAGAAUGGAGGUGGAAUACAAUGGUUCUAUUGUAUAAGGACAAGUGUCACGGGCCUAUUUUCUAAGGUCUCGUGGGACAGCGAAGGAGGGCUUGCACAGAUCCUCGUAAGCUCAGUCCUAACACAAAGAAGUACUAUAGUGCAACAACAAAAUCAUCUACAAACAGUCCACUCAAACAGCCAACAAGAAAGCAAAAUAAGAAAGCAAGUUUUGGAAGGCAAGUGCCAAUUUUCUUUGUAUUUUCUCCAAGUGUUCUUCUUACAAGUGAAGUCUUCCAAUAUAGUCUAAAAGCUGUAAAAACAAAGCUAAAAACGUUAUGGGACAAGUUCCUAAAAGAAAGGACUACAAGGGUGUCUUUACAAAGUCAAAGAUUAGGUUGGAUAUUGUGGAGUGUCCCUUAUCACAAGUCAGCCUUGUCCCCUCUGCUGGGGCCCAUUUUGGCUGAAAGUCAAGGCUACUACAUGCUCAUCAUCUCCAAGUCAUCUCCGAAAGCUGGAAAAUAAUUGACACGCCGUUUGAGACCCGCUGAAGCGCAACGCGAAUCUGCCACACCCUUGGAACUACUGAAAUUUAAUGUAGCUCUUUGCGGGGCGGUACACAAGGGUGAUAUUUAGAAUUGCAACAACUAUAGCGGUAUCAAGAUACUAAGUCAUACUACAAUAGUUUAUGUCUAUCUACGAGAACUAAUUAAAAUUCAUAUUGGGGUGAUUAACUACAAAUUAUCCGAAAUCUUGCAAGAAAAUAGAAUUUCAUAUUGAGCUUCAAACAUAUGUUAUUGUGAUGGCUCUUACUGGCUCCCCCCCUCCCAAACAACAUGUGUAAGCUCCCCCCGCUUAUGACUUAAGUGACGAAGUCCAUUUCCUUCGCACUUAAUAAGCAUUUUGUUGUAGUCAAGCUUACUGCUAGCCUAUCGCAUAAAGCCCAAGCUUCGAUCGUGAUUAGUCAUCGCUUUUGGCCACCUUAUUUCGUCAUUUAUUAAUCUUAUAAGAAUAUUUGUUGAGUAAUGUCAACAUACUGCAUAUGGCAAGACCCACGAGGGGUUAGGUGGCCCAGGUCAGAGUCAUGAUUGAACACGACGCUUGCUUGGUGAACUUAGUUAAGAAAUAAUGUUGUGCCUUUGCUAUAAACUAUAACUUUUGGCAUGAUAAUAAAUGCUUGAUCCUAAUAAGUGGUAUCAGAGCCAAGGUCGUGAAUUUGAUUCCCAAGAGCAACAUUUUGCACGAGACAAGUGUUGGGAGGGGGAUUGUUGAGUAAUUUCAAUAUCCUGCCAAUUGUUGACACCCAAUUUUGACAUAACAUUUUCAAGAUUCUUAACUUCUAAGUUUUAUUUAUUCAAUAAUUCAAAAUAUAUUUUUUAUAAUUUUAAAUAAAUUUAUCGAUAUUUAUCCUUAUUUAUCAAAAUUUUAGAUUUUUUAUCUGUUUAUUUUAACUACAUUACUUUUUGUCACAGCCGAUUGAAUACGUUCAAAGAUUUGUUCAUUUUGAUUAAAUCAUUAUUUAUGUUAAAUUGCAUUGUUUUACACAUCAUGAGUUACGUUCAUUACAUUUAUUAAUAUUCAUUUUAUUCAUUACUUUUAUUAAUAUCAAUUUUGGUUUUUUUAGCACAGUCUAGAAAAACUAUUAAAUUAGGAUAAUAAUUAUAUACACAAAUAUUUUAUUUAACCAACAAUUUUGGGUCAUAAUCUCAAGCCACAAUUUGAGUCCAUUGUAAAAUUAUUUCCUAUAUAAGUUUUGAUUAGAUUAAAAAAUAAAGGGGGUAGUGAACAAUAUUUUUAGACUAAGGGGUGAAAACUUUUCAAAAUAGAAAAAUACCCUACAAGUUUCUCCUCCUAUUUUUUGGCACAAAGACAGCCGCCACCCAACCCCCAUUUUCCAUUCUUCUCCAAUCAGUCAUUGCCUAAAAUGAAAGACACCACUAUCUAGCCACCCACAACCAUGAAAAUACAAGCAACCCCAAACCUCCGGCAACCCCAAACAGCUGCAACAACUCCUACCGUCGAAAACCACCUCAACGCCACUUUAACUCCAGCAGCGAACAACAACCAGACCAAAGCCCUCUUUAUCUUCACCUCUUUUUCGGUGAAAUAAUCACCGGAAAUGAACCCAAAACCACCAGACCCCUUGUUUCUCCUUUAGCGAAACCACCAGACCCUAUAGCGUCAACACGAAGCUCCACCACCGAAGAAAAUGAUGAUGCGAACCAGUCCCCUCCCCUCCCUUUUUACGAUUUUGUUUUGUUUUUAGGUACUCACGCUCGAUAUAUCGAAAUAGCGAGCCCUCACACUCUUGCGAGCCACUCAUGUCGCGAACAAGACCACCAAACAACCUCUAGCACGCUACCAGUGAGCUUUAAAGUUCCGAUUACUAUGAAGCUUUGAGCAAGUGAAACCCAAGAGCCUACAGAUUUGGAUAGAUUUUCAUUUUGACGGUGAUUAACUUGAUUUUUGGAAAACUUCAUCUUCUUUGACUAUCUUUGCUGCUAUUUUACACUGUUUAUUUCAUUCUUAAGGUCGAUUUGCCAUUGCUUGUUGAUUUGGUGAGAUCCGAACUUCAAUAGUAUUGUCAUAUUUUGCUUAGAUAUUUAUUUUAUUGUUUAUUUUUCUUAGUUUUUCUACUGUUACUAAGUUAAUUUUAUUUCUUUCUUGGAUAGGUUUUGUGCAUUCUUUAAUAUUUUGAUAAUGGGUAGCAUGUUUUGGUUAUCAUGUUUAUAUAUCGUUUUAAACUCUGGUUAAUUUUGUAUAUUGUUUAGUUUUAUUGAUAAUUGUUCAAAAUGAGUUUUAAUGAAUUUGUAUAUUGAUUUAAAUGUCGUUAGUUAAUAUUUUUGCAUUUCUCUUUUGAUAAAUUUUUGUUUGUUGCUUGCUGAUCAUGUUAAUAUUAUUAAUGUUGGUCUUAUGUUGUUAUUUUUGUUUUUAAUAUUUGUUGUUAUUGUUAUAUUAAAAUUGGCCAGUGAAAAAAUCUCUCCGUCGAUUUUGGAGGCCUCCCCAUUUUAAAAGACAGAAAUUUUAGUUUAAGUGUAUAUCCAUUAUUUGUUAAAAUUGGCCGAUGAAGAAAUUAUUGACGAUUUUCAAGGCCUCCAUGUUAAUAAGACUGAUUUUUAUUUUGAAGUUUUUAUUUGAUUUAUUUAAUUUUAUUCAUAUUUAUUUAUUGCUAAUACUUUUACUAAGUGUCUUUACAGGUACCCGGAAAUGUUUCCCAUUGAAGUUAUUCGAAUGGAGUUCGAGUUAUAUCUUUUAUUUACUAUUGUGUAUGUUAUCAAUGUUAGUCAAACCUUAGGACAUUUUUGAUAUUAUUAUUUUGUUUUAUUACUUGUGUAUAUCGUAUAUUUGUUUUACUUCUAUAUUGUUUUUAUUUCCUCCUCAAUUUGAAAAAAAUGAAUUUAGUCGGGACUCACAUUUGUGUAUUUCGAAGGAUGCCUAACACAAUCCCUUCAAAAUAACUUGAACCCCUUACCUAGAAUCUCUUGGUUGCGUAGAUCACUUAAAUGAUUUCCUAUUUUUUCCUAAAAUUAGGUGGCGACUUCUUUAAAACUCUUAUUUCCUUAAAAUUCUUUUAAAAUCAAAUUAAUUGAUUAUUCUUUGAGACACCACGGUGUUUCUCCUUAUUUGAAUAAAAUAGGGGUGAAAACAGAAUGGCGACUCCGCUUGGGAACGUUGUUGACACUCAAUUUCGACUCUCCCCGAUAAUAAUUAAUUUCUGAGCUUCUUAGUUUUGAAAUGAUUUAGAACAACUAAUUUUAUCAAAAUCCAAAUAUUUUUCAAGUUUAUUUUAAAGUAAUUUUAUUAAUUUUAUAUUUUUCAAAUGAUAAAUGUGUUUUAUAUACUUUUUGUAUAUGAUUAGCAUAUUCUAAGUAUAUUCGAGGAAUUGUCUCAAAAGAGUUUGUUUUACUUAAAUAUUUUGUUAAGUUAGUUUAUUUUAGGUAUGAUUAUAAUCGUGAAUAAAUUAUUUUAUAAUUAAGUUAACUAUUUUAUUUCGGUAAGAUCAAGAAGCUCAUAAAUUAAUUAUAUCAAUCCGUGUUACUUAAUUACUAGUCGAGAUUACCUUUUGACCGAUUUUGACUACAUCGCUAAUUCCCAAUUGGCUACAAUUUAAAUUUAUAUGGCCAAAACAUAGUUUUGUCCUUAACCAUAUUAAGGCCAAAGUUUUGGGACCCUUUGCUUGACAUUUCUAGCAACCCAAAUCCAGACCGUCCCACUUUAAUUCCAAUUAACCAAUUCCUCUUCUCCAAUUUUCAAUCGACCCAUCCCACUCUUUCACUCAUAACCCGACCCAAUUUCUUCAGCAGAGAAACCCAUCAAUUCUUUUCUCCUCUUUCACGUUAACAAUAACAAUACACAACAUCUCACAAGGCGACAACAAGAACGGAUAUAAACGCCACGAAAUACAAGCGGUAGCAGACGAUGCUUUCACGCCUCGAAACGGCGUCAAUGGUACAGCUCUAUCUGCGUCUCCCUCAACUCGUACAACAGAAGCAGAUAUGCUUUUCAAUCCUGCCAGCCACGUCUCGUCCUUGACUCGCGUGGAUGGACGCCACGUCGAGUGUCAAGGACGACCAACCGAUCAAGAUCGUCCGCGUCCUUUUCACUGGAAAUCGGGAUUCUCGUACAAAUAACAGCUUUUCCCCAUCCUUUGGAAAGAGAUUCAAAUGGAGAUGGGAAUUUCAGAAUUCCUAUUCUCGCCUUUUCCCCCCAAAAUCGAAAACCCUAGACUGCCCCCUAUAUAUCUUCCUUCUUCUUCAUUGUAAGUGUUGGAAUUUUUUUAACUUAGGCAACGAAAAUAGCUAAAACACCAUACUAAAUAUACUUCAAGGAAAAAUAGAGGAGAUACCUUUUUUUUUGUGCUUGGGUUUGAUAAUCUUGCCCAAACUUCUCGGCUACUGUUCGUGCUCGAGUUUCCAUGGUGAAGGUUGUCUUUUCGCUUAUUUGGUCUCUGUUUCGCUGCCCCGAAAAAGGUGAGAAUCUCGCCUUUAUUUCACUUGUAGCUUUUUCUCUUCUCAACCUUUGUGUAUCUACUUCGGUCUCUCAAGUAGCUAUUUUCAUUAAGAUGUCUUUUUGUCAUUUUUGAAGUGAUCUAGUGCUUACUUGAAUAUGCGUUUCUCUGUUUGUAGUUUGCUUAAAUCCUUAAUUGUUGUUCUCGUUUUAAGCUCGACCUAUUUAUUCGUUUAUCACUCUGACUUUGUUUUGUCUCCAUCGAUUUUGGAUAAUUUUUCUUGUCUUGUUUAUAUGUGCUGAAAAUGUCGAUGAAACUAUUAUGUUACUCCUUUGUGUAUUUUCAGGCAUAGAUUAGAAAUUCAUGCUGAUGUAAAUAGGCGUAUAUUUAUUUCACUUUUUACGAUCGUUUUAUAUUUUAGAUGAUUUCGUUAUGAGGCCCAUAAAUUACUUCUUCUAUAGUUCUUGUUCUAUCAAUGGUAUUAUGUUUUGUUUGCUGGAAUGAUAUCUGAAACGAAUGUUAAAACGUGUUCCCCCUCUCUUCCCCGUUUUAAUGAAGUUGUAAAGAUGUUGAAGCUCAUUUCCCGUUCAUGUUUGUGAGUUCUUAUCUUACUUUAUUAAUACUGUCUUUGGUGCAUGUGAAGCUUGUAAUUUAAUUUUUAGUAUCAUAUGAGUUGUUUGUCAUUUUGUUUAAUCUUAUGAGAGCAUAAGGUGUUUAUAUUUAUUAAAUUAUUAGGAGUUCACUGAUUACUAAGAAUGACAAAAAUUGUUUAUGUGCAUUUAUGCUGUAAUAAUGAGCUAAGUAUUUGUUUAUUGUGGGCUGUUCUAGAGUUUUAUUGUUCCCUUAACUUCACAUGUUUCAUUUUGGAUUUUAGUCAAAAGAAGCAUGCUUUGACCCUUUUAUUUUCUGUGACUUGCUAUCACUAGUAUGUAUCUGCUCCUUGAAGUGUUUGCUAUUAAAUCAUUAUUGGGUGUGUUGGUUUAUUCAAAGUCGCGUGAUCACAAGUUGAUCACAGCUUGACUAUCCUAAAUUGGAAAUCUCAAUUCUGGCUAUAGUAUUAGUUGUUUAAGGUCACUAAAUGUCAUAAAAAUAUAGACUUAAGGCCCUUGGUGAUAUACAUUGUCUUUCACUGUGCUUAUAUUGAAAUAGGGUAGUGAAUGAAUUCUGUUUUAUUUGGGUCUUUUCCUUAUAUUAGUCAUGAUUCUUACUUACUAGUUUUCACUUUGUGUUUGCAUGUAAAAUCUGCCCGAGUCCUCACAGACUCCGUUUUACUUUUCCGCUUUUCGAGAGAGUCGUAAAGACUCAAAUUCCUUUAUCGAGUCAGCCAACCAGCUGUAAAAAAUCGACGAACAGGUCCCAGUGUUGAAAAAAUAUGAAGCAGAUUGGAGAAUUGAAAAGAUUGGGCCAAAGGCCCACUCUUAGUUCCAAAAUUGUAUUUUGUUGCUUUUGGGCGUAAGCCCACUCACUUAUUAUUAUUUCUGUUAGAAGCUUAGGACAGGUGAAAGAAUUGGGCCUAAGGCCCAAAGAAAAAAUAUUCCUUUUAUGUUAGUUUAGGACAUGUGCAGGUGACUCAAAUGGGCCAAGGGCCCAAAUCUUCUCUCCCUAUCUCAUUUAUUUGUUAUUAUGCGUUUUAUGUGCUCACUUAAUUUUAAGGUUUCAAAAAUUCAACUCCCCAAAAGAUAACCAUUUUGAAUUAAAAAUUUAAAAUUAAAUAAACUUCUUUUAAUUUCUCUUAUUCAAGUAGGCGUAUUAUCUUAAAAAAAAUAAUUUGCCAAAUAGUUAAUUAUCGGAUAACCGCGUGUUAGCGGAUAUUUCAAGCGCUUUAAAACCCUUCUCGAAAUGCUAAUAUGAACCUCGAACCCAUUAAAUAUUUUCAAUUGAUUUCUGUUUUGAUCUUUUGAAAAUAAAUAGUUUUCUUAAUUCUACUUAAAAAUUAAGUGGCGACUCUUUAAAAUUAUCGCAUUCUUUUAAAACCCAAUAAAACACCUAUGGCUAUGAGGGGCUGGGUGUCCCAGAUCGGAAUAAUGAUUGGACAUGACGCUUGCUUGGUGGGCUUAGUUAAGAAAUAAAGUUGCGUCUUUGCUAUAAGCUAUAACUUUUGGCAUGAUGGUAAGCGCUUGAUCCUAACAAUAUUGCUACAGCAAUAUAAGGACAAAGAGAUUUACAUACGAUGCUCAUUGACCUAGAAAGGUUUACGAUAAAACCCCGAUAGAGGUCCUUUGAAUAUAUUUGGAGUGUAGAGGUGUACUUGUGGCCUACAUUGGAGCAAUUAAGGUUACAUACGAUGGAUCCAAGACUUGGUUAAAAUAGUGAGAGGUGACUCAGGAUCCCGAUCAUGAUAGGAUUGCUUGAGGAAUCAAUGCUUAACUCGUUUCUAUUCAUCUUAGUAAUGGACAAAUUAACACGAAAUAUUCAAGGGGAGGUAUUGCGAUGUAUGUUAUUCUCAGGUGGCAAAGCAUUGAAUGAUGAGACACUGAUGGAGUCAACAAUAGGCUGAAAGUUUGGAUACAAGCUCUAGAGUGCAUGUUCAGUAACAUAUCACAUGAGCCGAAGGUGAAGAUUGAUGCACAAUUCGUACCUAAAAGAGAAAAUCUCAAGUAUUUUGGGUCAAUACUUCAAAGAGAUGGAGAGAUUGAUGAUGAUAUCACACAUCGUAUUGGAACAAAGUGGUUAAAAUGGAGGCGCAUCUCUGGGGUAAUAUGCGAUAAAAAUGUGUUGCUAAGGCUUAAAAAUAGUUACAAAGUGAUGGUUAUACUAACAACAUUGUUGUAUGAGGCAUAGUUCUACUCAGUCACCAAUGUCCAUGCUCAAAAGAUGAAGGUAUCAGAAUGGAGAUGCUCAGAUAGAUGUGUGGUUAUGCUUGGUAAGAUAUGAUUAGGAAUGAAGUCAUAUGAGACAACAUUAGAGUGACCUCUAUGGCAGACAAUUAGCGACUAGACUAUACAUAACACAACUUCAACUUACCGAGAACAUGACCCCUAGAUAUGAAUGUUUGGAGAGGUUGAAGAUUAGGAUAAAAAGUUAGCAAAUAGCCAAGUGCUAAUGCACAUCAUGUAGGAAAGGUAGGGGAUAUCUAGCCUUGUCCUCUCCUCGAUCUCCUUAUUAGUAAUAUUAUUUAAUAGUGGCGUAAUUUCAUUUUUUAGUAUAUAUUACUUCAUUUGUUUUGUAUCUUGCUAUUUUUAAUGUCAUUUUCUUUCUUGCAAUCCUUGUUUGAAAAAAAUUUCCUUUAAAUUGAGGGUUUAUCGAAACAACUUCUCUACCUCCUAUCAAGGUAGAUGCAAGAUUUGCGUAUAUCGUAUUCUCUUGAUACAAUUAAAUAUAAUCUUAAAAUAUUUAAAAAUUUUGUACUCGAUUAAACACGUGGAAUAAAAAUGAAAUUAUAGAUAACUAAGAAAGAGGACACGGUAGUCAAAAAUUAGAAGGAGCUGACAACGCACAAAACGGAUAAAGCAGUAUUUCGCUUUGGUAUAUAUUGCGCGACUAGUUUUGUAAGAGAUAGACGCGUAAAGGGUAGGCUGUGAUUAUUCCGUGUUUGUCUUUUUCAAUACGCGCUUUUCCCCCCUUGACUCUCUCCCAACUCUUUUAACUAAAAUCCCUCUCUUCUUCCACUUUUUUUUCCCCCUAUUUUCUUCCUUCUCCUAUCUUCUUCUUCUCUCUCUCUCACACACACACACACACAAAAGUUUGGGAUUCAGAUUGUAAUUGAACGGAAUAAUUACAGAUGAUGAGAUUGUGUUAUCGGCCGUUGGAAAGGUGUUUUGGAAGGCGGAGUGGUGAUGGACUUUUGUGGCAUACGGAUUUGAAGCCUCAUGCAUCUGGUGACUUUUCUAUGGCUGUUGUUCAGGCUAAUUCAUCUCUUGAAGAUCAAAGUCAAGUACUUACUUCUCCUUCUGCUACCUAUGUUGGUGUUUAUGAUGGUCAUGGAGGUCCUGAAGCUGCGCGUUUUGUUAAUAGACAUCUCUUUCCUUAUUUAAACAGUACGGUAUCUUUCUCUUUCUUAUUGCGAUAAUCUGUUGUUAAUUAGGUUUUUGUAUGUGUACGAUCUAGUUUAAAAGAGGUUAGGGAGAGAGAAUUGUGAUUUUUGUUAGUUUAAUUAUGAAAUGUUUUGUUGAUCAGUUGCGGUGAUACUUGAAUUUGCCUGAUUUUAUGUUGAAUUUUGUGUACCUCUUUUAUCUAGGGUUUAUUUUUAGGUCUUUAAAAGUUGUCUCCGUUUUACUUUUUAGUAUUUUUGGUUUUGUUUUCUGGUUGGAGAGUUCAAACAUUGGUGUUUUAGGUUAACAUUAGUAGCGUGGUCUAUUAAAAUGCGCAGUUACUAUUCGAUCACUACCUCUGUGGUUGAUAGAUUAGUAUUGUUCUUAUUUUGCAGUUUAUCUAAUUUAUUUGCUUUCAAUUUGGUGUAGAGUUUCAGAAAGAGCAAGGGUGUUUAUCAUCAGAGGUGAUAAAGAGAGCAUUUAAUGCAACAGAAGAGGAUUUUAUUCGAUUGGUGAAGCAAUCAUUGCCUUCAAUGCCAAAGAUUGCUUCAGUUGGAUCAUGUUGUUUGUUUGGUGCUAUUUCGGGAAGUGAAUUAUAUGUAGCUAAUUUAGGAGACUCGAGGGCAGUUCUUGGACGCAGAGGUUUUGACGGGGAGAGAAGUAAAGUGGUUGCAGAAAGAUUGUCCACUGAUCAUAAUGUUUCAUGUGAGGAGGUGCGGAAAGAGGUGGAAUCACUUCAUCCCGAUGAUCCAUCUAUAGUGGUCUAUUGUCGAGGAGUUUGGAGAGUUAAAGGCAUAAUUCAGGUGAGCUUGCUUAUUUGGUGCUUACUUUAAACCGAAUUUGUCGCCUUUCUUUAUGGAUGACGUAAGCAUUUUUGGUUCAAUGCUGUUGUUGUGAUAGCUCUAAAUAAUGUUGAUUGUGAACAAUCCAUUCAUUAUAAGUGAACUGCGUUUUGGAGUUCUCUAGCUUUCCCUGUUUUCCUGUUUUCAUUUUUGAAAAGUAAAAGCACGACUUACGGGAGUUUGCUUAUGAGAUUCCCACUUAUCUUGGUUAUGGGCAAGUCAUAGCUGUAAUCUCAAAAUGUUGUGUUGUUGUCGUUAAUGGUUGUCUACCUUAUGGUCAAUGAUUCGCCAUUGCUUUGGCGUAGCACGUUUAGUUGGAUUUUCUUGAAAAUAUUUUCAUUCGUCUUCCUGAGAGUAGCUACAGAGUUCUUUAGUGUGUAGAAUUGAACUGAAAUUUUGUUCUUUCUGCUUCCUUUUCUGGCCCAUGAACUCAUUUUGUGUGUAGGAUCUUUUAGUUAUGUAAAUCAUGAAAGCUAGUAGUCGAGGUAUUAUUUGAUCCUCUCAAUUUCUAGCUCAGCUUAAUCCCGGCUGAAUCACAGAAGUUGUUGAGUUAUUAAAUCCAGCAGAAGUGCCCUACUUAUUGUUUUCUUCUUAAAAAAUGUCCAUAUUGUUUCAUGUACGUAGUAUUUGGACGUGGUGUAUACCUUGGUGCUUCCCAUUUUCCCUUUUAUGUUGCUGACUAUACCUUCGAUUCUUGAGAUAGGAAGAUUUCAUAAGGCAGAGAUUUGUGAUUUCAGAGAAUAUUUAUCCUCUCCCUUUUUACUUUUUUGGCUAUAUAUUCUAAUGAUCUUGAUUUUAUUCUUUAUGUGUUUGUAAACGUAUGAACAUUAUCCUGGGAAAGUAAGAGAGAAUAUCUGCACUUUGUUUGUAGCCUUUUUGUGUCUCUGCUCUUUACUCUAGACUUUGUCAUCUGAAUGUGUGAGAAAGAUACUUAUGCAUGGUACCUUUUAUUUGUAGCCUUUUUUCUGUCUUUGCUCUUUAGUCUAGACUUUGUCAUGUGAUUGUGGGAGAUAGAUACUUAUACAUCGCACUUUGCAGGUCUCGAGAUCCAUUGGAGAUGCCUAUCUUAAGAGACCGGAGUUAAACAGAGAUCCUAUCUUUCAAAAAUAUGGAAAUCCUGUUCCUUUGAAGCGGGCUGUAAUGACAGCAGAACCUUCCAUUGUUACAAGAAAAAUUAGAACUCAUGACUUAUUUGUGAUAUUUGCUUCUGAUGGUCUCUGGGAACAACUAAGUGAUGAAGCGGCUGUGGAAAUAGUCUUUAAAAACCCAAGAGCUGUAAGUUGACCUUUCUUUUGUUCUUAUUUUCUGUUGACAAGUUAUGGAAAAAUAUGUACAUUUUGUUGAGCUGCUAAACAGACUUGUGCUUGGCUGUGUAAAGUCUGAACGCAAGUCUGUUUAAUCUUAGAGGGGAUUAAUAAUGGCUUUGAUGACAUUCUUGUUUAAGUCAUCUUAGCAAACUAGAUACCUGUUUCUCGCUUAGAUGUAGAGAUAAGAUAUGGGAGUGGUUCUUGCUAUUUCGUUUGUUUGAUCCAAUAAAUAAGAGAUUUUGUACAAUGAUGGACUGAUCUUUUGGUUGGUGUACUUGCAGGGAAUAGCUAAGAGGCUGGUGGGAGCAGCACUUAAGGAAGCUGCUAAGAAGAGGGAGAUGAGGUACAAGGACAUAAAGAAAAUAGAGAAGGGGAUUAGGCGUCAUUUCCACGAUGAUAUAUCAGUCAUAGUGAUCUAUCUUGAUCACCAGAAGAACUCUUUCCAAUCCAAAGGCACCGUUGGCUGUAUCUCUCCGCCUGUGGACAUAUCGUCCUAUCAUUCAGAUGGUGUUGCAGAUGAACCAAGUGGUUAGAGUUUCUUAAAACAGGCAACUUAUAAUGGGUACAGUAGGAUUAUGGUAGUGAAAAUGAUAUGAUGCGUGGAAAGAAUGCUGAUUAUUGUACAUAAAAUCACAGUUUUGGGUGUCUGGUUGAAUGCAUUGCCAGCACAAGCUUUCAGUUUAGGAGCUGACCAAACACAUUUUUUUCCAAACGGAUUCUCCUUUCUUUUUUCCCUUUAUUUUUUAUAUAUAUAAAAAGAUAAAUAGUUAAAUGGAUGUCCAUUAUUUUGAGUUGAAAUAUGUUUUUUUAUUACGUACAAUCAUCCUAAAUUUCUGUGAGACCAGACACUUUGUACAUUCCCAGAUUUACGUUAUACAUAUUUUCUAAGUAUUAAUCACUAAUAAUUUCAUGUGACGAUGUUUAAGAUCAUAAGAUUAAAGAAUAUUUUGUAUAUUUUACAUUUUAGUUUAAUACUAUAAGAUUCAAUAAAUCUCAUUUAAACUCUAUUCCAAGUUUAUGUCAGAUCAAUAAAUUGAAAUGAAGGGAGUACAAUCUAAUAAUGUAGAAGUUAUUUAUUUAUUUUCUCGAUAGUAGAACUAAUGUGUGUGAGGGUAUUUUUUUAUCAACUGUUAUUUGUCCGUAGUAAAAUCUAUCUAAAUUAAUACUUGAUAAAUUAAUAAUAUAUCCAAGAUAAUAUUUUCCUCCAGUUUUGACUUGAGUCAAUGAAAAAAAUCACUCAUCUCGAUAAGAUAAUAAGAUAAUAUAUUUUUAGAAGCCCUUAUAUAAAUAUAUAAUCCUUUUUAUUAUUAUAAAUUAAUAAUUCUUUAAAGGUAUAAAUAUAUGUGUGAAAUGCUAAACAUCUUUUUUGCCAAGUUUUAUUCCGAAAAUGGAAAAGGGUCAAAAAUACCCCUGAACAAUUGGAAAUGGAUCAACUAUACCCUCCGUUUGAUUUUGGGGUCAAAAAUACCCUUACCGUUAGUGUAUUGGCUCACUUUUACCCCUCAAAACUAACAGAUGUCAUGUCACCUUAAAAAUCACAUAAAACAAUAGUAUUUUUUUGUUGACUUGGAAAUACAAAUGGACAAAAAAAUAUAUAAAAUAAAAAUAAAUUUAUCUUUCACUUCUCUUUCUUUCUUUGAAGAAAAGAAUGAACCUGUGGCUUUGUAAGAAAUUUUUCUUCAUUUUUUUUCAUUUGAAUUUCUUUCUUAUCUUCUCCUUCUUCUAUACUUUCAAAAAUUCUAUUAUUCCUCUAAGAUAAAUUAAUUAUCUCCCUUAUACACAAUAAUUUUAUCAUUAUUCUUUUGAAUUUCAAGUUUUCAAUUCUCAUUGUGGCAGCAGAUAAAGGAAAAAAAACCUCAGAAUUUUGAUGAGGGAAAAUAAAACAACAGAGGUUUCAAUAUUAUUGGCUGGGGAUAAUUACUCCAUAAGUCAAAAUCCUUGCACAAUUUUAUUUAUUGUAUAAUUUCCUGUAGUUUCAAUUCUUCACAAUAUAUUUUCCUAUGCUAUUAAUCUUCUCCAAUUUCAAAAGAAAAUUAAAAAUUGCCAAGAUGAUGAGAAGGCAACCGAUUGAGUCAAAAUUUCAACGCUUAACGGUUUUUUAAUAAGUUUCGCCGAGUUUUAUGAAUGGUAUCUACAUCAUCUUCGGGUAGGAGAACAACAAUGGCAACAUCGAUGUUGUAGAUUACUUUCGAUUGGAUUUGCAUCUUUGCUUUCAGUGAUUUCUUUUGCAGAUCCAUGACUAUUUCACUACAAUUUACUCGUUAGGUCUUUUUGUCCAUGUGUAUUUCCAAGUCAGCAAAAAAAAUAUUGUUUUAUGUGAUUUUUAAGGUGACAUGGCAUCUGUUAGUUUUGAGGGGUAAAAGUGAGCCAAUACACUAACGGUAAGGGUAUUUUUGACCCCAAAAUCAAACGGAGGGUACAUUUGAUCCAUUUCCAAUUGUUCAGGGAUAUUUUUGACCCUUUUCCGAAAAAUUACUUCUACUUUUUAUGACUAUACAGGUCCGUAAUCCUAAUAUUGAUUAUUUAAUAUUCUUUUAUGUAUUUCUUUUCUUUUCUUCGUCUUUCCCUCAAUUCAAUCACCUUCUUCCUUCAAAUUACUGUUCAUUGGUGUUCUCGGUUAGAUUUAAUAUAUAUAUAUAUAUUAUAUAUAUAUAAUUGUAACUGUUUUUACCAUAUUUGGGGAUGCAUGUUUCUUUCCUAUUUGGUUAUAUUUUGAAAAAUAUUAAUUAAUUGAAAGAAAAUCCAUUAUUUGGAGAGUUUGUGUUCGACACUCUUUUCAGGUUUUGAUCAAUAUUGGCCGUAUGCAGUUAUAAUUUAUGUUUUUUUUUUUUUCUGGAAUAAAUUUGUGGUGAUUGCUAUUAAGCGUAUAAGCGCACUUCACUUUGCACAUCAUGUAUUCGAUAAAAGUCCUGUUCAUAUUUCUAGAACAAAUGUCUAUUGAUUCAAAUCCUUAAUUUCCCUACAAUUGAAAGCGAUGUAUGUUUUAAAGUGCAUGUGCUCAGAGACUUGACAGAGAAUAGAGAUGCAAACAGUUUCACUUUCGAGAAUAAAUCAAAUUGGUUAGCUUUUAUUGUAGCAUGUAGAAGAAAUGCUUGUUGGAUUGUUGCUAUGUCUGCUACAGUUACAAUAGUUGAAGAUAGACUAUCAAGUAUUUGAAUUAAUGUAGAAAAGAGACAUCUAUAUGAUUGAGAGAAGUUGAUAAUCAAGUUGACGUCAAAAGGUUGGUGAUCAAGUGUAAUAUUGAUACAUUCAAACUUACAUCUCAAUUAAGAAGUACAAACGGUCGAAGUCAAUUAUAGAACUCAACUGGAGUUCGUCAACCCCUCCGUAGUCCCACACUUAGACAGUGGUGUCUCCCUUCACUGUUGGUCGUCACGAGCUACUAGACAGCUCGUCUUAAGCACCGGCCAUGGUCCGUCUAGUGCUCCGUUGACUUCAGUUUUCACUUAGGUAGCUAGUGGUUCCACUGUCACUCUCCACGAGCCAUAAGAUGGCUCGUCUAAUGGACCACGGCUCGUCUGGGGCCUCGUGGUGUUAGACUUGAACUCUAUUCUUUCCAAAUCACUCCCACGAGCAUCUUCACGGCUCGUGCAACACUUCACGACUCGUGUAGCCUUUCGUAUAGCUUCUUGCACUUCAUUUCCCAUCUUUCUUCUUGUCCUUUGCAUCUAAGUGUUUCACCUGUACAACAUAAAAGAAACCAUCAUAUCCACAUAAACAAGCUCGACUUCUCACACUAAUCCUUAGUUUUGAGCGUCAAAUGUUCUAUGAGUUCACGACACAUCAACAAAUGAUCAUCAUGAUUCAUGAUUCUUAUGUAAGUGGUCAUGUUUUUGCUGAGUAUUCCGUGCUUGUGAAAAGUAGGAAUUAUGUCGAUCUAGAACAACAAAUUUCCUCUAGCUCCUGUCAUACCUGAGAUUAUACAUGAUGAUCAUCGUGAAACAAAGGGAAUAAUAUCAAAUGUAUCCUCCUCUGCUGCUUGACAGCCUAAGGAGAAGAUGAUCAUGCAAAAAAAUAGCUAGGGGAAAUGUGUUGGCUCUUUAGAGGAGGGUGAAGUGUUCAUGCUCCGAAUUGAGAUCGAACAUAUCUUAGAUUAAUAAUUAGUAUUAAAUUCAUUUUUAAUCUGACAUAUUUUUAUUGAUUUUCUAAAGAAUAUCAGGGCCCGUGGAGUAGAAGUCGAGUUUAUUACUGCACAACUAUGCACAGAGAGUAGAGUUGGAUUUUGCAGGAACUCAGUGCAAGUGUAAGUCCACGGAAUAAGAAAUUCAAUGGUGUUGGUGUUUCUCUGGCUAUUUACCUAUUGACAAUUGCUAAUGUCAUAUCUUAUCAUAUAAUGUUAUGCAACUAUAUUGAUUGUAUAUUUGUGUCAUCUUUUUAGACACUCAGAUAUGAUGGUUGCUACCUUUUUCUUCAGUGGAUCGAGCGUAAGGAUGUAAGUUACCCAUGUUCUCCUUCCAAUUUUAGUACGGAUUAAUGUGGUGUUAAUGUAUGUAUGCUAGAUAGUAGAUGAAAAAAUAUCAAUGAAAUUUUCAAAUUUGUGUGUUAUAUAUAUCUUAUUUGUGCUUAUAUUAUAAUAACCUAAAACAGGAACUAGACAGAAUUAAUAGCCAACAACAGAAGACAUUUAGAGUAUAUUAUAUUUUGUUUUUCUUGCACCACUAAUGGAAGAGAAGUCUUUAGAGGAAAAGAAGUUGCAGUUAGCUGUAUUAUGAGAUUUUUUGUUAUGUUCAUAUUUUUGGCAUAAAAAUUAUUGAGCUCUUUGGUUGUACAUUUGCUUUAUGCUCUCAGAAGACACUUGGUGCUUCCCAUGAAAUGAUAUUUAUAUCCUCUUUUGGUAAAGGAAUUUUUUUCUAGCAAUAGAUAAUGCUUGUAAGAUCCUUGGUAAAAGUUAUAAAUCUUGUGCUUGGUGUAUUGUGAUAUGUACUGAUUGAGACGCUAAUAAAAUAAAAUUAAUUUUUUUUCAAAUAAGAAGUUAUUUAUAGUCGUUGAGGUACCUACCUUUUCACUCAACUUUUAAGACUAUGAUCUAAAGCAACUUCACGUUGAUAUAUAUUGAAAUAAAUAUCGGACAUUCAUAAAUAUUGGGCAUGUACGUUCACGAGUAAUUAUCAAUUUAUAUUUAUAUAUGUGAAUGCCUAGAAAAGAAUAUAUAAUAAGUAGUUAAUAGUUAUUGAAAGUUACCAAAUAAUUAGCAUAGGUAAAUUAAUAGAAAAAAUCACUCUAGCAUUCCACUUUAUUGUCGUAAUUAAAGGUUUGUAACAAUCAAAAUAAUUAGGAAAAAUUACUGAAAUACACGUCUUAUGUUUUCCUUAUUUCUAAUAUUUCCUUCUAUUUCUAAAAACCUCUAAAAUUCCUUAUUUCUCUCCUAAUUCUAAAUUAUUUUAUAAUGUAUCCGAGCUAGUUUUUAAUGUAUUCGAGCUAGUUUUUAAUUGUAUCCGAGCUACAUAUUAUGUAUUCGGUUUAUUUUAUAAUGUAUCUGAGCUACAUAUCAUGUAUCCAGUUUAUUUUAUAAUGUAUCCGAGCUAGUUUUUAAUGUAUCCGAGCUACAUAUUAUGUAUCCGGUUUGUUUUAAUUUUUCAGGGAUUAAUGUAAUUAUAAACUAAAUAGGGAUAGAUUGUAAUUUCAUAUUAAAACUAUGUGAUUCCUAAAAUUUAUACUAAACAAGGAAAUUUCUAAUUCGGUUAACUUUUGACUUCACGAUUGUUAAUGAUCGACAACAUUGGAUUUUUAUUGAUCAUUACUAGUGGUGGCAAAUGGGCGGGUUGAGUCAAAUUUGGGCGGGUUGAAAAUGGAUCAACAUAAAAUGGGUAAUAAUUCAAAUCACCCAUAUUUGAUAUGGGUAAAAAAGGAUUGGGUAACAAAUGGGUUGGGUAAAAUACUAGUUUAGCCAUAUUUUCAUUUGUAAAUAGUACUCUACUUAAGAAUUCAACAUGGAGAAAAUAUUUUAGUCCUUUUUUAGAUGAAAAAUGUUGAAAAUGCUUCUUUUAGUUUUAUUGUAUCAUAAAAGUAAAAAAAAAUCCUAACUUUUCAAUAUAAAAUAAAUUUAUGUAACAACAAGGAGUAAAUAUUUUUAAUUUCAAAGUAAAUGAAUAGUUGCAUUUUAGGACUAAAACAUGCUUAAUGUACUUUAACCAAGAUCAAUACUAAUGCAUGAUUUGCUUAUUUUACACUAUUAUUUAUUAUCCAAUAUAAAAUCGAACAAAUAAAAAUAUAUAAUUAUAAUUAACAAAAGAAAUGUACAUUUAAAAUAUAUUUUUUGGAGGGACAAAGACUCCACCUUUUCAAUUAUAGAGAAAAAUAAUUAGUUCUAUAGAAGCACAUAAAAAGGAAGAGAAGUUACAAUUUCUUUUUAGUGAUAUCAUGAAUUUUGAGUGAAUAAAAGUUAUAAGUUUAACUCAUUCAGUUAAUCCAUACUUUACUCAUAUUUUACCCAUAUUUUUAUGGGUUGAAUAUUGGUAUCAACCCAUAUUUUACCCAUGUAAAAAGUCACUCACCCAACCCAUUAAAAUAUGAGCGGGUUGGGUGGGUUACCAAAAUAUGGGCUCAUUUUGCCGGCGUUAAUCAUUACUGACUAAUAACGAUCAGAUUAGAAUUUUUAACAAUUGCAUUUUCUCUUACUAAAAUGACCUUUUUCCUUGUAGCAUUCAUUGUACGAGAAUAAAUGAGGGUGAGGAGGGGCGUGUUUAUUAUCAAAACCCAAUUCAAAUUCAUGUUAGGGCGAUCAACUAUAGAAGUGUAACGAUCUUUUUUGGUAGUUAUGGGUAGAGCAAUGGUAAAAGAAUUAAGUCAAAAAACUUUUGUAUAGUGUCUGAAAAAUCUAGGCUAGGCCAGUAUUAGAUGGAAUCUGAACAAUGUGAGGUCUAGGGUAAUUCGAGAAUGGAUUGGGUGGUAUGUCUAAACUUGGAUCAGAUUUCCUAGUAGCUAGGACAUUAAGGAAUUCACAUGGCCUUUCAAAAUCGAAUUCAGGUGAGUAAAACUCUCGGUAUCAAAUUUGGCGUUAAGGGACUAAUAUAGAACAUCAAGAUUCAAAGGUGUUUUGCGAAAUGAGGGUUUUAGGGAGGAUUUAUGAGUGUCUAUCUCCAUGCAAGUUGUUAUAGUAGGUAUCGUGCCGAUGUAGGGGAAUAAAUUAAUUUUCUCUAUAGCGGGUGGACAGGUAUGGCGAUGCCGCUUAGCGGGUGGGGCCGCUGUAGCGGGGUUAGUCGGGUUUUUGUGCAUAAAAAGUCUCAAAACCUCUUAUUUUCUACAACUUUGUUCUUGGGAAAAGGAAGGGCGAUAUAUUGCAGCUUUCUUCAUUUUCUCCACCAAGAUAUUCGAUAAAGGUAAGUUAAUUACUUCCCCAACUUGUAUGAUUCUUAAUCCUUAGAAUCUAAGGUGUUACUCUUGGGGAAGGGUUAUAGCCUGAAUUAAUGGUGGAAAAGACCCUUGUUGGGUGGAUGAUCAUGAGAAUUGCUUGGGGUUUAAGAUUUGAUUGUAGUCUGAGUAUGAUUGGGACAUUAUUCAUUAAUUGUUAUGUUAAUUUAUUGUUUUAGACCACGAACAAGUCGUAAUUCAUAACAAGGGGAGAACUCAAGUUCUUUAGAGUUUCCAAGACUUGAUUCGAGGUAGGUGGUGGUUGUAUGUUUUUUCCGUUUACGCUAUAUGUGCUUAUUAACUGUGUUGUUAGUAAUGCAUGCAUGAUAUAUGAUUAGGGAAAUGAGAAAGAUAUGUUGUGAAUUGAAAGAUGUUUUCAGUCACAUGCAAUGAAUGAGUUACAUGUGUGAUUGUGUUUCAUUGUGGUUGUGAUUACGUUGUGUUGAAGAUUAGGAUCGGGUACCACGUCGACACAUACUAUUGUUGGAACGGGUACCACACCGGCACACUAACAUCUGAAACAGGUGUCAAGCCGGUACAAGGGGAACAUGUACCACACUGGUACACUAACUAUGAGAUUGGAUACACCGUUACACUAAUAGUUUGUAUGUGUGGGUUCCAUGAGAGAACUAAGCUAACUUGUUGUGAUGUAAUGGUUUAUGUUUAUUGUGUAUAUCAAUUAAAGGUAAGGAACGAGAGUCCGAGCUAUGUUGUACUUAUGUUUGUGACGGUAUAUUAUUUGAUUACUACGUUGUGGUUGCCUAUGCAUAUUUCAUAUACUAGAGCUAGUUGAUGAUCAUACCAGUACGUUGUGGUUGUGUACUGAUACUAUACUUGAUCUUUCUUUGUUGAGUACAAGGCAUAUGCAUGCGGCUGCUUUGAGAUCUUAGUUGUGAGAUGCACGACAUUUGAUCCAAUGGUGAGAUACCUCUUCUGAGCUGAUAUGGAUUCUUCCCUACCUUGUUGUUCAUCUUUUCGAACAUAAACAUUUUAGACUUUAAAUUUAUGUUUUCUAGUUGGGGUUGCAUUCUCUUAUCCUAGAUUUGUGAGAUGUUUUAGUAUUAUGACUUUGAGGUUGUAGGGAGUUCAUUCCACACUUGUUUUAUUGAUUGGUUGAGUUUAUGUAAAUCGAUCUUUUAAUUGUUUUAAAUUAUUUUCUUAGUAUUUCAUAUCAUGACUUUGUUUCCUAAAUGGUUUGAUGGUUUAAGUUUUGGGUUGGUAGUUGGUUCUCCCAUCGGAGGGUUGUGUGAAUGUCACUCACCACGGGUUAGGAUCGUGACUAGAAGUCAUUCAUAUCUUGAGGAGAUUGGUAGAGAAAUACAAGGUGAGGAAGAUGAACUUAUAUAUGGUGUAUAUAUAUAUAUAUAUAUAUAUAUAUAAAAUAAAGUAUGGGGUCUUUGGGGAUAUUUGGGGACUAGAGGUGUACAUGUAACAUUAGAGUGAUUAAGGACAUGCACUAUGGAUGAAAGAUCCAAAUAAAACAAUGAGGAGACCUUAAACACUUUUCAAUUGUUAUGGAGUUGCACCAAGGAUCAUCUCUUAACUCAUUUUUAUUUGUCUUGGUGAUAGAUGAACUUAUGCAGAAUAUCCAGGGGGAGGUGUCAUGAUGAAUGCUAUUUGCAGAUGACAUAAUAUUAAUUGACAAGACGCAUAAUGAAGUUAAUGCUAAUCUAAAAGUUUGGAGAUAAGACCUUAGAGUCUAAAUGAUUUAGGUUGACAGGUCUAAGAUAGAGUACUUGGAGUGUAAUUUCAGUAAUAUGACUUAUGAAGCAGAUGUGCAAUAGUGCAAGUGAAGAUCGAUACACAAGUCAUCACUAUGAUAGAAAAUUGCAAGUAUCUUAGAUCAAUAAUGCAAGAAAAUUUAGAGAUUGAUAGUGAUAUUAGACAUUGUAUUGAUACGGGAUAGAUGAAAAGAGGUUCAUAUUUGAUGUUUUGUGUGAUAAAAAUGUACUACCAAGACUUAAAUAUAAAUUUAAUAAAGUGAUGUUGCAUAAGUUAUGUUGUAUAGGCAAAAUGUUGUCUUGUCAAGAGAGAAAAUAAGGAUAUUAAAAUAAAUGUGUGGGCAUACUAGAAAAGGUAUAACUAGGAACAAAGAAAUUAGGGGCAAGAUGGGAGUAACCUCCACGGUGGACAAGAUGAGGGAAACAUGACUGAGAUGGUUCAAGCAUGUCAAAAAAGGAGAUACACAGAUGCCCCUAUGAAGAGGUUGUCCAUGGUGGUUUUGAGGAGAGGUAGAGGUUGACCGAAAAAGUAUUAAGGAGAUGUGAUUAGACAAGACAUGACAUCUAUUAGCUUACUGAGGACAUAGCCCUAGAUAGAAGAAAAUAA